This 175721-nucleotide long non-coding RNA is filed under the name Oryza sativa (Asian cultivated rice). Its description in RNAcentral is "long non-coding RNA (OSAT_LNC001411)". The record is from RNAcentral. Lineage: Eukaryota; Viridiplantae; Streptophyta; Magnoliopsida; Poales; Poaceae.
UCCGAGUUGAAACUGUCCCUGGGACACUGCAGCUUGUAUCUACGCUUCUGGAUGCUGAUGGAAAGCCAAAAAGAGGACACCCACUCCUGGAUGCAGAUGAUGAUCAAGAUCAUUUUGUUGAUAUAGCAGAUAGACAAGAUAAAAGACAUGAUAUAGCUGGUAACCAAGGGCAGAGACGAGAGCCGAUUGGGGACACCAAUAACCUGCUGGAAACACCAACCCGAUCAACACACAUCAACGACCAAAGAUACAUACCUAGAAUUUGGCAGAGGAUACUGGAGUACUGGUCGAUUCCCAAGGAGCAGCCAUUGACAGACGAUGAUCUCCUCCCUGCACUAGGCAUGUCAAUCAUUUAUAGCCUUGCUGGCUGUGAUCAAAAUAAUUGUGUGGAAAUAGACAGAGUAACUGAUCUGAUCCCCAAUAUAAUUGGAUUCACAAGCUUCAGAAGUGCAAUGGUAAAUUCCGAAGCACAACAGAAGGUUCUCUUAAAGUCAUCGUUGAAGGUACUGCAGAGGCUCACAAGCAUUGAAGGGGAAAUUGGCAUAACACUGCGGUACAAGAUAUCAAAACAUCCCUUCUUACUGCGAAACCUUGCAGAGAUCUUGCGAGACAAUAGCAGCAACAAACAAGAACUAAGGAAGCUCGUGGUAGGAAUCCUCAGAAACCUUGCCAUUGACAGACACACAAGGCAAGAGAUGGGACAAAUGCAAAUGCUCAUUACCACGCUGAUCAAGGCAUUCCUCGAUUUUAAAGGAUUAUUUAGUUCAGAUGUUGAUUGCUUGCUGCCAAAGGUCGCCGGGCAAGCAUUGGUAAUGCUGUCAUCAGAAAAUUCGCAUAACUGCUUUGUUAUGUUGAAGGAACCAGAUUUCAUUCAUAAACUAAAAAAUAUGAUCCUAAUCCAUGGUGAUAAAUACAUAUAUGUGGCAGCGAGUCUAUUGCGUAAUAUGUGCCUGUAUGCUCAACAUGAGCUCACAGAAUCAGACCAAAAGGAACUAUCUCACACAUUGCGAGAGGUGAGCCCUGCUCAUACAUACUACAAGUCCAAUAUAGAGGUGUAUAGCAUGCCGUAUCAUUUUUGCAUUCACUGUCUAUUAAUUUUUGUCUUUGUUUUGCUAUUUUUGGUAAAAAGAAGGGGGCAUUUAUUUACCAAUGAAGUAUAUAAGUAUAACUAUAGUUUGUACAACUAUAUUUAUCAUACUACAUGACAUUACUGGUUCCACUACAGGUGUUGGAAAGAAUAAUGGACACUGAAGGGGCAGAACUAGAAAUCCUCAUUGGCCUUAGUUCACAGAUAUGCAAACUCAUUCCUGAAGAAUUUUCCCAAGAGCUAGAGCAUGGACAGAUUAAGCGGAGAUUCAUUAAGAGGCUAGUGGACACCCUGAAUGCAAACAUGAACCCAAGUUCUCAUUGCCCUGGGAUCCGGAGGGUGGUACUUGAGCAAUCCAUACACAUGAUGGAGUACAAUUCUCGCUAUGCCAAUUAUUUCAAUGAAUACCAGAUGAUGGAUGCACUGUCGUUUGUAGAAUUGACACCCUCAAGGGCUGAGAAUUACAUGGUUUUCUUGGGUGACGCAGGUUUCAUGGAAUGUAACACACCUCUCUCUGCCCUAGUGGACAGGGCAAAAGAACUGAUGGGUCGUCAGUGGCUGCAAGGUAUCAGCAGUGCCAACUGAAAAAAAAUAAAAUGUUUUUGCAUAUACAGUCAGAAGACCUUGCAUAUUGUUAGUGCAGGGCAAACAAAGUGAUUCUGCAUUUACAGUCAGAAGACAACGCAUGUUGCUAGAAAGAACAUAUAUUUACCUUUAAGAUGAGCAAAGGGUAUUGUAUCUGUACAUCAUGAAUCUUGCACUGUAAUCUGUGUGCUAUUGAUGAUUUAUCCAAUUAUCAUUUGUUGAGUGGCCAUAUUGCAACUCCUAUCCCACGUUCUAGCUUGUUCCAGUUUUGGCAUCGCUUAUUUCCAUAAAAUCUGUGGUUUAUUCGACACCAGAAAAUUGGGUUUUCUGCCCUUGUGAUUAACCCCAUUCAACACAAGUUACUAUGGCUGAGAAAUUCAGACCAUGACAAUGCGCAACUUAUGGAGUACAAUGUUCCACUUUCUUGUUGUCUGGACAGAGCAACAAUGUUGAUUAAUGUGAACUCGACUCCUAUUUAAGUCAUGCGUCCAUGUCAGUGCACUAUGAUGUUAAUAUCAAUGUGCCACGGUGCCUGAUUUUUGUGGAGCACAGGGUUCUCAAAUUCACAUAUACGUCUCUCAUAUUGAGAUCAAAACUACGGUGCAUUGAGUUUCUGCAACCCGAGUAACCACUAUAAACUAGUAAUCGAACAACACUCCCCAAGUUUCCACAUCCCUAACCCAUGAUUCUCUCUAUUUUCUUUAACGUAAGUAUAACCAUGAUUAGAACUGAACCGAAUUACCAAAGCAACGAGAAAUAAAAAAAAAAUCAGUUUCCUUGUCAAGCGAAGAGGAUCCUAUUUGGGAUUCGGAAAAAAAGGGGAGGGGAGCAACAGUUGGGGAAUGGCCUGGAUGGUUACCUCUCCCUCGCCGCGUCGGCUUCCCCUGGCCCGCCGCGCAGCCGGCACCGUCUCGCCGCGCCGCCGUCGCUGGUCGCCCUCGCUGUUAGUCGGUGGAGGUAGCCCGCAGGCAGAGGCAUUUGCCCCCGACCAUACGAAGCAAAGUAGACAGCGGUAGGUGCUAGGCUAGUGUACAUAGUAGAUGGGCCUACCAGGUAAUUGGGCCGGUUCCAUACAAAGGAUAUAGGGGCUGUCUAAACUUGCAUUAAGUUCACUUUAGGUCCCUCCAUUUUUCGCCAACUCUGAAAUUAAGCCCUAAACCAAAAUACUCCUAUCAUAUAUAACGGGUCCCUCAACAUUUACAAGACCAGCUCACCCGAGAUCAUAAGCAGUAUCUAUAUACCUCCUUAAAAUAUUCGUAACUAUCCGAUCUUUUUCGUCCGUCACCCAUUUUUUCGUCCGUAUCGCGUGCACCUCCUCUCUAAAUCCCACGUCAAAACAAUCACAACCCAACCCAAAAACAAAAUUGCAAUCCAAAUCCAAUUGGAAUCAUCAAAAGAUCAUCUAACACAACUACAAGAACAGAUUUCAUCAACACAAGAAGACGAAAAAAACGCUGACACCAAAAGGGGAGGGUGCCACCGUCGCCGUCGCUGACUUCCCUCCCGUUGGAUUCGGCGGAGGGGAGGGCGGCGCCGCCGCUGGGACGCCGACGGGCUGCCGCCACCUCCCCUCCCACUGGAUCCGGCGGAGGGGAGGGCACCUCCCUUGUUCGCCGCCUCCCCUCCCGCCGAAAGGGAGGGCGUUGCCGCCUGCCGCCGCCGGCCACCGUCGAGCCCUCUCGCGGCCCCAUGGCGAGGGAGAGGAGGCGAGGGGCGGAAAGGCGCAGCCACCCGUCGCCGCUCACGGAAGGAGAGAGGAGGCGCCACGGCUGAGCCGCCCGCCACCCACCGGGUGAAAGACGCUGCUGGCCGGGGGGAGGGCGCAACGGCAGAGGCGCUGGUGGGAGAAGGGCGUUGCGGUGGGGGAGGGCGCCACCGCAGCCGCUCGGGGAGGGUGCCGCCGCUACCGCUUUGAGAGAGAGCAAGGGGAUCGGGGGGGGGGGGGGGAAUUAGGGUUAUGUUUUUUUUUACUGCCCAGUAUUUAUACAGGUCGGGAAUUAAUCGGGACUGUCCAUUAGAUCGGACGAACCUGGCUUCUCCAGCGUGGGCUGUCGCACUAUUGGGCCACACGUACCUAGCAGAAGAAGGCUGCAAGUUUGGGCUAAAAUCAGUGUUUUUUCUCUCAAUAAUUUUAAGUAUUUUUUCUAUUUUCAGAAAUAGAAUUAGUAACAUUUUAAUUGUUUAUGACUGCUUAGUAAUUUCAUUCUAGCUAAAUUAAACCAACGAGAAAUUUUGGCUAGAUGUUUCUCACGAUAUGGAUUUGGGAUUCCAAAAGUGUUAACAUGAUAUGGAUUUACUCCCUCCGUUUCAAGUUAUAAGACUUUCUAGCAUUGUCCACGUUCAUAUAGAUGUUAAUAAAUCUAGGCACAUAUAUAUGUCUAGAUUCAUUAACAUAUAUAUGAAUGUGGGCAAUGCUAGAAAGUCUUAUAAUAUGAAAUGGAGGAAGUAGUAUUUUCCGUUGUAACGCAUGAUCACUUUUUCUAGCUAAAUGGAGACACCAAAAAAUAUAAUUAUUUAUCUUGCACCAUUAUACUCCUGCAGUACCAAAAAGAAAAUAGUAAUGAUUUCGUAAAGAAGUAUAUAAAAUGCAAAAUUUUGGCUUGGAUCAUGAUAUUUGAAAGUUGAUCGUCUAAUGCUUAUAGUUUUUUUUUUCCAGUGCAAUGCACGGGCAUUUUGCUAGUUAUACCCAAUAUUAGCUUACGUGGCAAGCAGAGUCAGCAUGGGACCCACGUGGGACUCAUAUGUCAAUGAGUAGUAUUUUCUGGAAAACUAUUUUGAUCCCUCGAGAGAAUGUUCCCUCGUUGUUUGUAUGUCACUCAAAUGGUCAUGAAAAAAUUUUGAAAAAAAUUUGAGAAGAUGUAUUAACAUGUGAUAUAUCACUCCACAGACAUGCAAGUUCAAAUUCAACUUCUACAUCUCGCAACGAAAAAAACAAAUUUGAUUGUGAAUUUACGUUAACUAGUUGUAGUUUAAUUUGUUUUUUUCGUUGCGAGACGUAGAAGUCGAAUUUGAACUUGCAUGUUUGUGGAGUGAUAUAUCACAUGUUAAUACAACUUCUCAAAUUUUUUCAAAAUUUUUCAUGACCAUUUGAGUAACAUGCAAAUAACGAGGGGAUAUCCCCUCGAGGGAUCAAAAUCCACUCCCAGUAUUUUCUUCCUCCUCUCUAUACCAGUAUACCAUGAUUAGUGAUCUUUGCAUGAAGGAGAUGAGCUACCAUGAGCAGGAGCACCAAGGGCUCAUCGCCGCCGCCAGCAGCAGCGGCUUAGACUAGUUCGAGGAGUCCACACUGGUGGAGAAACCAUCUUUGGUCAGUCGGCCGAAAUCCACAAUAGUCCCGGUUCCACUAAAAACUAGGACUAAAGAUGAUCUUUAGUUCCGGUUGGUAGCUACAGCAGGCAUAUACGAUCUUUAGUCCCGGUUGGUAACACCAACCGGGACUGAAGAUCAUCUUUAGUCCCGGUUCUUAAGAUGUCAAGCCCGGUUGAUAACACCAACUGGGACUAAAGAUCCCCCUUUAUAUAUGUCUUUUUCCUCCUCCAGCCCAAGCAAGCUUCAAAAUUUCUCCUCCAAAAAAGAGGGGAGGUCAUGCCAAAAUUUCUUGUGAAAUUUUUUUAGUGUUUAUAUACAAAUCGGAGGUGUCUAAAUGGUUAGUAACUUCAUCCUCCAAUGUUUUUUUGUUGUUAUAUUACUUUUGGAGCUAUGUUUCACAUAUUUUUUUUGUCUCCAAAACUUUGUUGUAAGUUGAUGAGAGAGAAAAUUUGUGUGGGGAAGAAGAAUAUAUAGGAAUUUUGUUUGUUUACUUAAAAAUGCUUUAUUCUCAUAGUUUAAAAUGUAAUGAAAAUUAAUCUUAAAAAGUAGAAAACAAACUAAAUUGAAAAUUAAAAGAAGUAAAACAAUAAUAUUAGUUUAAAACUUCAAAAAUAAUAAAUAAGAAUUAUUUGUUGGAUUAUUUUAUAAUUAUUGAAUGAAUAAUGAUAUGUCAUUAUUGUAUGACUGUUGAAAGAGUUUUUAAUUAUUUUAUCAUUAUUGUAUGACUGUCAUUAUUGUACGAAUAUUUAUUUAUGUACGAUUUUUUUUCAUUUCAUGUAGAUGGAUCGGCAAUGGAUGUACGCUGACCGGCGGUCCAAAGAGUUUAUCGACGGCGUGCAUUAUUUUUUGAGAGUAGCCGAAGCUAACAAGCAUAAGGGUUUUAUUUGUUGUCCAUGUAAUAAGUGUAAGAGCCAGAAGGAGUAUUCUACAUCCAGGACUAUUCAUUUCCACUUAUUUGAGUCAGGGUUCAUGCCAAGCUAUAACUGUUGGACAUCCCACGGUGAGCAAGGGGUUGAAAUAGAAGAAGAUGAAGUGGAAGACGGGAACAUUCCGGACUGGGCUCAGUACGCUGGAUUUGAAGGAAAUCAAAUGGGCGAGGUGGACAGGGAUGCUGACGAUAACGACGCUGUGGAUGAUCUUGGUCAGAUGUUGUAGGAUGCCAAGGAGGACUGUGAAAGUGAAAAGGAGGCCCAUAAAUUGGAGCGUAUGUUAGAGGACCAUAGAACGUCGUUGUACCCAGGUUGCGAGUAGGGGCACAAAAAGUUGGAUAUCAAUCUGGAGUUCUUGCAAUAGAAGGCAAAAAAUGGUGUUAGUGACAAGGCAUUUGGCGAUUUAUUAAAACUCGUCAAGAACAUUCUUCCGGAGGGAAACAAAUUACCCGAGACAACGUACGAGGCUAAGAAUAUAGUCUGCCCUCUAGGACUGGAAGUUCAGAAGAUUCACGCUUGUCCGAAUGAUUGUAUCCUAUAUCGCGGUGAGGAGUACGAGAACCUAGAAGCAUACCCUGUUUGUAAAGCACUACGAUACAAGAUUAGACGAGAUGAUCCAGGUGAAGUUGACGGGCAGCCAACGAAGAAGAGAAUUCCUGCUAAGGUGAUGUGGUAUUUCCCUAUAAUACCACGGUUAAGGCGUUUGUUCAGGAACAAGGGGAAUGCUAGAAUGAUGCGUUGGCACGCUGAAGAACGUCAACAGGACGGGAUGCUGAGACACCCCGCCGAUGUUUCGCAGUGGCGAAACAUCGACAGAACAUUUAAAAACUUUGGAAAUGACACAUGAAACAUUCGGUUUGGUUUAAGUACGGAUGGCAUGAAUCCUUUUGGAGAGAUGAGCAGCGGCCAUAGCAUUUGGCCCGUUACGAUGUGUAUCUACAACCUCCCCCUUGGCUAUGCAUGAAGAGGAAGUACAUUGUCACACCCUAAAAAUCUCCAAAUUAUAAAUUGUUGUUAAAUUGGAAUUAUUAAAAUUUAUUUUAAAAGCCUAGAAGAGAAGAUCUAAUUUUAAUAAAUAAAUUCCAAUAUAAAAUGGGGCCAGAUAAAAUUUUAUUAAAUACUUUGCUUAAUUCCAUAAUUCCUAGAUUUUUCUGGGAUUUAUUUGAGCUAAGGAAGUAUUUUUAAUAAAUGGAAUUGCAUUUAAUGAAUAAUUUAAAUUGAAAAAGGUUUUUAAAAUCUUCCUUUAGGCUUUGGGCCGAAAGUCGGCCCAAACCCUUCUCUCUCUCUCCCCGGCCCAGUCCGCCCGCAGCCGCCGCGCGCGUGCGCCCCGGACGCUGACAGGUGGGGCCCACCUGUCAGGCCCGUUGUCUUCCUCCCGACGAAACCCUAGCCGCGCCGCGCCGCCGCCGCCAUUCCAAUCCGGCCGAUCCUUUCCGUUUCCGAUGAAAUCAAUAGAGGGGAAAUGAUCUUCUCGAUCUCCUCUAUCUUUUCUCUUUUGGAAUCACCAGCUAAAAUCGCUUGGAAAGUGUUUGAUUCGAGGUCGAAUCGGAUCGGUCUCUCUCCUCCGAACCCUAGACUUUCCAUCCCGCCGCCGGUCGCCGUGGGCCUCCGUCGCCGCCUCCUAGCCGCUAUAAAUUGACCCCCAAGCCCGCCGCUACCCGCCGCCACCCUCGCCUUCGUCCCGCGCCGCCCGUAGCGCCCUAGCCCCGUGCAGUCUAGCGCCGCCGUCGCCGCCGCCGCUCCAGCCGUGCGCCGCCGUCGCUCCAGUCGUCACCGUCGCACGGGGAGGUCGCCGUCGUGGUCGCCGUCUCGUCGCCGUUCUCGUCCGCCCCUUCGCCGUCGCUGUCGACCGCCGGAGCACCGUCGCCGUCGUCAAGCCGAAGGUUGCCGCCGCUUCUUCCUCGUCGCCGACGUCGUCCGGUCAUCGUCCGCCGUCGCUUUGGUCGCCGGUGAGUUCGCCGUGCCGCCCGCAACCCGUAGAGGCUUUCCGUUCGCGCUGUCGUGCCGUGGUUCGCCGGCGAGCUCGCGUGGUUCGGUCGCCGCCGGUGGUGACGUCGUCGCUGACGUCAUCGUCGUCGUCCAUCCGUGAGCCGCGGUGGAUCCAAUCGUUCUCGGCCGUCCGUUGUGGGUAGGAUAGAUCUCAGCCGUCCAAUCUCGUGAACCGCCGCCGUGCACCCAGUCCACCGUGAGCCGAGCCCGCUGACGCAAUAAACCCCUUUUUCCUUUUCAAAAAUAAUUCAUUAUUGCGUCAUAAUUCAAUUAAAAUCCAUAUAAAUGAUUUAAAUCGAUUUAAUCUUUGAAAAUUCAUAACUAAUUCAUCUUAGCUCGGAUUUAGUUGGUUCAAGUCUCUAAAUUUUUCUAAAAUUGAGAUCUACAUGUUAAAAAUAUCCACAUGUACUGUUCAUGCUUGUUUAUGUGCUGUUUUGGUAAUUUUGUUCUUUUCUCUUUAGAUUCCGACGUUCCCGGAGAGUCCGAAUUUGCAGGAGAAGACUUUGAGGAUUUUCAAGGCCAGCAAGGCAAGUCACACAGAUCCCAAAUAACCCUUUGAGCAUGUUGAUCCUAUUUAAAGCUAUUGUUUCUAUUCAACUAUUGCAUCUAUUUUCGAAUGUCAUUGGGUGGAAUUAACCUAUUCUUUGUUAUGGCCCUUUUGUACUUGAUUACUUUAUUCUUUGAUACCUUGGGCUAUUAUAAUUUGACUAGUUGAGCUUUAUAUAAUGGUUCAGCUAGAUGUUAGGUAUAAUUGCUUAUCCAUGCUUAGAAACAUUAGUUCACUAAUGGGAUAAUUUAAGAUUCACUAUUAUUUAAUGAUGGCUUAAUGAUAGCUCAUGAUGGUUAAUCAUGAUUGGUUAAUUAAUUAAUUUGACAAUUAAAAUAUGAUAAUGGUGGGUUGUGAGCAUAUGGUUUUGAUGGUUGUGCUCAUGACAAUUAAGGACCGGUUCACGAUUUUCGGUUGUGAAACAUUUACCGUGCCAACCACAAGCCAGCAUGGGCAACGGCUUUACUUUCUAUAUAGUAUGGUUCAUAGUAGAGCACCAGACUGUGAAGUGGCGGAGAUAAGCCCACGGGGGUCGCUGGGGAGUCCAUACCUUGUUUAUAAGGGGGUGAUUAUGAUCCGGGAACGGUGCACUGCUUUGAAUUGUAUUAUAUAGAGGGUAUUGUCACAAUCUCUAUUCGGGUACUUGUCAAGUAUCGCGACGCAUGGUUGACAUGAUGUUGAGGUUGUGUCUUGUGGGUACAGUGGUACACCUCUGAUCAGAGUUUAAACUAUUCGAAUAGCCGUGCCCGCGGUUAUGGGCGGGUCUAACAAUGUUUUUCGUGAUUAGUCUCACCCCCACACUAUAUUAAAUGAUGAUGUUAAUAACUUGUUUAACUCCUGGUUUGGAGAUAGACUUGUGCAGCCGGGAUUGGUUGUUCAGAAUGGUUGGUCCUAUGCAACAGGGUAUGUUGUAUAGUGUUGGAUUAAUAUUGCUUAAUUACUGUUUAACUGUUUUAUUAAAUUCUGAGAUAUUUAUUAAAUGCUGUUUAUGCAAAUGAGACUAUACUAUGCCAUCCUUUGUUAUCCUGUGCAUUUGCAUAUUUGCUGCGUGGCUUGCUGAGUAUGUCAUAUACUCACCUUGCAAUCAUUCAUCAGAGGAGGAGUUCUACAGUGAUGUCGAUGGAGUUGAUGAUUAGGCGUAGCCCUGGUCAAGCUGCCUGUGGAGAGGAGUCGUCUGCGCUGUUUCUUUUUUUUUUCCGUUGCUUAGGACUUUAUUGAUUGAGAGGAACUAUCUAUCUCUGUAAUGAUAUUUUGUUCGCUUAUUAAUUAGAGUAAUAAUUUGUACUCUAUUAUCAAUUUGUUAUUGUGUGCCUCGGCUGAUUCCUGGACGAGGGUUUAUACACAUGUAAGCGUUUGGAAUUUUGGAUAGAAAUUCCGGGCGUGACAUACAUCAUGAUACCGAUUAUUAUUCAAGGCCCCAAGCAACCUGGUAGCGACAUCGAUGUGUACCUAAGACCACUGGUCGAAGAUCUGAAACUGUUGUGGAAGAAAUAAGGUGUCCUCGUGUGGGACGAGGACAAACAUGAGGAGUUUAACCUACGAGCGCUGCUGUUCAUAACCAUCAACGAUUGGCCUACACUUAACAACUUAUCCGGGCAGUCUAACAAGGGGUACAAGGCUUGCAUUCACUGUAUGGAUGAAACUGAAAGUACGUAUCUUAAGCAUUAUAGGAAGGUUGUGUAUAUGGGUCAUCGUCGAUUCCUUGCUGCAAACCAUCCUGUACGGAAGAAAGGCAAGCACUUUGAACAUAAGGCAGACCACCGUACGAAGCCUAAACAUCGCAGCAAAAAAGCAGUGUUUGCUAUGUUGAAAGAUCUUAAAGUAGUGUUUGGAAAGGGACAUGGCAGCCAGCCUAUAGAGAGCGAAGAUGGUCACGCGGCGAUGUGGAAAAAGAACUCUAUUUUUUGGGAGUUACCCUAUUGGGAAUUCUUGGACGUCCGCCACGCAAUCGAUGUGAUGCACCUCACUAAGAACCUUUGCGUAAACCUGCUUGGCUUCCUAGGUGUAUAUGGAAAGUCGAAAGAUACACUUGAAGCACGUAAUGAUCUGAAGCAUAUGGAACAACGCGGCGACCUUCACCCAGAACCAAAGGAGAAAGGAAGCCAUUACUUGAGUCCAGCCAGCUACACUCUUAGCAAGGCAGAGAAGGAAAGUAUGUUUGAAUGCUUGGAGAGCAUCAAGGUACCGUCUGGAUACUCCACGAACAUAAAGCGAAUAAUAAGCACGAAGGAGAAGAAGUUCACAAACCUAAAGUCUCAUGACUAUCACGUGUUGAUGACACAAUUGCUACCAGUUAUAAUUCGGGGUAUCCUUCCAGACAAUGUCUGGGCAACAAUAACAAAGCUAUGUGCUUUCAUGAAUGCAAUUUCGCAGAAGGUCAUCGAUCCGGAUAGAUUACAAGCCCUUCAAAAUGAUGUGGUGCAAUGUCUUGUCAGCUUUGAGUUGAUAUUUCCACCUUCAUUUUUCAAUAUAAUGACGCAUCUGCUUUGUCACCUUGUCAAAGAGAUCGGUAUUCUCGGGCCUAUGUACCUACACAACAUGUUUCCUUUCGAAAGGUACAUGGGCGUUCUGAAGAAGUAUGUUCAUAACCGUGCUCGUCCAGAGGCAAGCAUCGCCAAGGGGUAUGGAACAGAGGAGGUCAUUGAAUUCUGCGUAGAAUUUAUCGAAGACCUUCGCCCAAUUGGGGUGCCUGAAUCACGCCACGAAGGGAGACUACGGGGAAAGGGGACUCUCGGAAGGAAAGCAAUAAUGCCGGUGUUAACAACCAAAUUUGGUAAUCUAAGUAUCAGAGAUGAAGAUCAAAUCGAAGCGGAGUCCAAGACAAAAAUCGUUUCGGAAAUAGAGCAAGAAUCGGCUAAGUCCGAAUCGGCUGCGACCAGAAUCGGUAGAGUUCGAGUCGGACAAGGUUAGCCGAUUGAGCCGAUUCCGACAAUACGACUCGAUACAUGACAUCUGGUUAGGUUGAAGUGCUUCAUAUGGAUUGCCAUGCACGGAUUUGAGUCCUGGAAAGGCAAUUGUAUCUAUUAAUUAGGAUAUUUUAUGUAAUUUCCUUAGAGAUAAGUUUGGGCAAAAGUCUGCCGCAAAGACUUAUGGUAUCUUAGAGUUUGUUAAAGAUAAGAGUCGUGCCCGACAAGGACAUAUUCUGUAUUUCGGGUAUAAAUAUGACCCGGACCCAUGUAAUCAAACAGACGUUCAAUACAAUCUCGGCGCAUCGCCACCCUUUUACUUUCGUUUCAUCUCGACGAGUUCUUGCUUUCGGGUUGAGCUGCAUCGGUUUUGAUCUUCAACUAGAGGUAAGCUUGUCAUGCCGGCUUGUGUUCUCGGGAUUAGUGCUUCUAUCUUUAUGAUACUCUAAUCUUGUUUAUGUAAGUUGUCGAGUUAUCAUAUAUUCUAUAUAAUCUCUGGCAAUAUUGUUAUUUAACCUUCAACCGGCUAACAUCUAUCAUUAGGAGGCAGCCGAUUAGGUUAAACAUCAAUGUUGACUUAGAUUAUAUAGGGUAUCUACCACUCUAUGAAACAUCCAACGGCUUGAUUGUCUAGAUAUUGUCUUUCUUUUCAUACUUAUGGCUGCUUCAGUUAAGUGUGAUCUCAUUAGUCGUGAUUAGAACUCCAAUCUCUAGCCUGCUUUUUGGUUGCCGAUUAGGGUAGUAUCGUGGUUUCAGCCAAUCUUACCUGAUUUAACUACUUUAUAUCCUAUAUGCUUGAUUGAUAUGUUAAAUCUGCCCUUUAUGUUAAGAUCUUGUUGCAUUUAAGUAUAUUAAGCUUCCUAUUUGAUAUAUUUUGCUCGCUUUAAUAUCUUAAUAUAGAGUGGUAUCGGAGUAUUAGCUGAUACAUGCUAGAUCUAUCUAAUCGGCUAUGCUAUGAACGUUUAUAAUCUUCUUGUUAAUAUAUAUUUCGGUCUAAGUGAUUUAUACUGUAUCGGCAUGGCGACCGAUCUAUCCCAAUCACUUGAUUCAAAUAUAUAUCGAUAGAAGUAUUAUAUUUCGUUAAUAUCUACAGCCGAUCGAGUAGAUUUAGUUCUUUCUUGCUUAUUUAUUACUGCCGAUCGAUGCAAAGAUGACAUCGGCUCAAAGAUAAAUGAUACAUCAUCGGCGAUUGACCGAUCGGCUAUCAUUUAUGGAUUUAACUAUUAUUUUCCUAUCUUUGUUUCUUGUUGAUUGCAGGAUCAAAUCAACUGACACGCUCACGAACUUAAAGACAAUAUUUUUGGACCUGCACUGGAGUUAAGCAGAUCUCCCAGGCCUCGUGUUUUUCACAUCAACACACUUUUGGCACGCCCGGUGGGACCUGAUUAGAAGUCAGAGAUUUGCAACUACGAUUUCUCAUGGCCGAGAAACCACCACAGUCACCAUCAUCGGCAACAAAGCCGGUGGUCCCUCCUCAGACCAAGAUUCCAAAGCCUCCGGGAACAAAUGAGUCCGAGGUUCACGAAGCAAACAUCGUCCCAGUCACUAUAGACAAGCUGUCACCAGAGCAGAAGGAGUUUGAAUUAAUGAUGAAGCAUACGCAACAACAAUUCAUGAAUUCAUUUACAGAGACUCGGCAAGGGAGUGUCGUUCAAAAGUACAAGUUGAAGCUAAUUGCCGAUGUACCGGGAACAGGUUCUUCUCAAGAUGGUGAGAUGCAAAAAGCUCAAGUCAGUACAGAUGGUUCAGGUGGUAAAGGCACUGCCGAUGGCUCGGGCAAUAAACCUCAGGAUGGCUUGGUUGAGGGUCUUGGUGAAGAUAAUGACAAAGAGCAAUUGCAGUGCAAUAACUUCCAAGAUCGGAUUGAUUAUGCUGUGCAGCAUGCUUUGAUUAACCAAUCAGGAGUCCUUGUCAAUACUUUGUCGAAUAUGAUCAAGACAAUGGUCGAUGGCACAAUAGCUGAGCACCAAGCAAUGGGACCAGUUUAUCUUCCAGGAGGCGUUUUCCCAAAUUACAGAAGCUUGGUAACUGGUAACCAACAGCCCACUGCCAAUGCGCCACCUGUUCAGCCGGCGGCACCAGUUUCAACUUCAGCACCAGCUGCACCUUCGUCGGCACAAAGGCAGAUGAUAAAUCCUCGAUUGCUGACCAGAGAACAGCCACAACAUGUUGGACAAAAUAUCAAUCGGCUGACUCAGGAACAGGUUGCUGCGAUGUUCCUACCAAAUCCACGAACGGCCGAUCCAGUACAAUCGGCGCCGAUUUAGCAAACACCACUGAGACAGCAGACGGUUCAGCCGAUUCAACAGCAAAAGUUGCAACAUACAUCGGCUAGGUUGGGAACACCUGAUAAUCGGCAGAGGCAGCACAUUGUGAAUCAAGUUAUCCCUGAGCACUCGGUCCAUAAUGUCCAACCAGAUCAGUCAGUUGUACCCCAAGUUAUUCCUGAGCAUUUGAUGCGUAAUUGUGGGCCCCGGCUUUACACACCGGAAACCCCAUGUAUCUUACAAUACCAUUCCCUGGAUCAGUAGAUGGCACACACAUGGCACAGUUGUAUAUCACAAGCUGACAUCGUUAUAUAGGUUGAACUAUACAUUAAUAAUACAAGGGUAGCCCAAAUGGGUCCCAAAUAGACCGAGCAUGGUUAUGUACAUUACAAAAUACUAGAAGAAGUAGAUGAGAUAGCGGAAGCGAUGCAGCGGCGGUCUAACGUACUCCACAGGCAUCGACUGGUGUACCUAGGUCCCGACUCCACAGUCUUCGACAUAUCUUCAUCAGCAUAGUUCCCGAAUGGUCGACUCCAACUCCUCUCUAAAAGAUUUAGUUAAGCAAGGGCGAGUACCAACCGUACUCAGCAAGCCACCACUACAGAAUGUAUUUAGUGCACACAGGGGUUCAAGAAUGGCUUGGUUUAUUUCCAUAAAGCUAUAUUUCACAAAUCAGUUCACAAACCUAUGACUUAGCAGUUUUAACUAAAAAACAACGUUAAGUUGAAGUUGUCAUUAAUCCGCGAGGGUUCAUCCACCUUCCCCAAGCCUCGCUUGGUCCGAUUUACCCUCACAUCCAGUUUUCCACAUUUCCAACAUCAUCAUGACCUUUGUCACGUCCUGAUAAAUUCAUCCCGAAAUAAAAAUCAUUCGCUAAAAGGAAUAAUAGAAUUAAUUAAAAAUUCGAAAAGAAAUUGGCAAACACUAAAAUGCGUAUAAGAAAAAUUCAAAUGUGACCCGGAGAAUUUUUGUUAAAUUCUCCUUGGUCUAAAAGGAGCCCUCAAAUUUUAGUGGAAUUUUCAGAGCACAAAUAAUAAAUGAGAAGAAAUAAACAAAGUUAAAAAGGUUUUAUAAAAAGAAAAACCCUAAAAGUCUUCUUUUCCCCCCUCCCCUUCUUGGGCCGGCUCGGCCCACUUCCCUCCCUCUCUCUCUCCUCUCCCCCGCGGCCCAUCGGCCCCCUCCCCCGCGCGCGCGCCGCUGACAGGCGGGCCCGCCCGCCAUCCUCGCUGACGGGUGGGGCCCACCUGUCAUCGCCUACCUCGCGCCGCGCCCGCCGCCCGCCCGUGCCCUAGCGCCGCCGCCGCCGCCGAAUCCGCCGCAUACCGCCGUCCCCGCGCGCCAUAAAGAGGGGGAAAUCACUCCCCGUGAUUCCCUCCCUCUUUCCCCCCUCUUUUCCCUCUCUCUCUCCCUCGGAUUCGUCCGGAUUCAUUCCCGCAAAGUUCGCCGGCGCAUCAAUGGCGGCCGAGAUUUCCGCGGCCGAUUCCUUCCCCACCGGCCGCUCUCUCCCCCUCCCGACGCUAUUUAAUUGUUCCCCGUGCCUCUCUCCUCCGUUUCCGCCGCUCGCCGCUCGCUCUCCCCGUCGGAUUCGUGCUCGCGCCGUCGUCCUCUCUCUCCGCCGUCGCCGCCGAGCUUCGGUUCGCCGCCGUCGUCGCCCCGGACCUCCUCCCGUCUCGGCGUCACCUCCAUCGGCUUCGCCGCGUCCUCGUCGACCUCGUCCGCGCCUCCGUUUCGCCCGCCGACCGUCGGAGCGCCGUCGUCCUCGUCGUCCCGAACCGCGCCGCCGCCUUCCUCCGCUUCGGCCGCCGUUCCCGUCGUCGCCGUCGACCCGGGGUGAGCCGAAGACCGCCCCUUUCGCUUCCCUCUCCUCUCCGCUCUCUCGGGCGCCGCAUCGCCGCGCCGGUGGUCGCCGGCGGUGACCAUCGGGGCGCGGGCGCGCCGCUUCCCGUCGGCCGUGCCGGCAAGGCCGCCUUCGGGCGCGCCCCGCGGCUGCCAUGUGGGGCCCGGCCGUCAGCCGCCCGCGCCCUCGGGUGCGGCUGACGCGUGGGACCCACGGCGCCGGCCGCCGCCAGCCGCGUGCUCCCGGUCCACCGUGGACCGAGAGGCUGACGCGUGGGCCCCACUCCCGUGGACCCGGUCCGCGCGCCCUCUCUCUCGGCUGACGCAAUAAAUGAGUUUUUAAUUAAAAUUUAAAUGAAGAAAUUCGCAAAUAUCCAUUUAAAGAGCAUAUAAACUUCAAAUGGCCAUAACUUGGCCAUUUGAACUCGGAAUUGGACCGUUCAAGUCUCUGAUUUUUCCUUAAGAAGUCAAGAACCCAUUUUUGUGCUUUGUUUCUGCUUGUUAUAUGGAGUUUAUUAGAGUAAAAGCCUUUUCUUUUCCGUUGGUCGUGUAGACGCUGCAGCUUCGGAAGAUCCGCUCUUCGUGGAAGUUGAAGCCGUCGUUUGGGAAAGCGAGCAAGGCAAGUCACAUCAUCCUUGAACAUAUUGAAUCCCAGUUUAUAAAAUUAUGUUGCUUUAAAAUAUUGCAUUAUCGCUUUAUUUAAAUUCCCGCGUGAUCACUGUUUUAUUUAGCCAUGCCUAUUUACCUUUGUUAUGACCUCAUUAUUAUUGCUAUUGUUAUUAUUACCUUGUUCACCCUAGAAUAAACAAAACCCCAACUAGUGGGUACUCUAUUCCUGGUUCCACUAGUAUGAAUUUAGGUAGAUGCUUCGCUGAUUAAUAGGACAACAUUAGGUGGUUUUUAUAACUUUAGACUUUGGGAAUUCUCAUAUCAUUUGGACACUAUGGAAUGGUUGGCUUAUGUUGGAAUUGGACACACACCUCCCCCUCUAUUCAAAACCCCCAAAAUGGUUUUAGGCUGGGCUCGAGGUGCGUGGUUGGGUUUUGUUAGUCGUACCUCGGGUACUAUAAGGAUUAAGCUCGGGCCUCUGUUGCAAAGCACUACCGUACUUCCACAUGUCUAGUGGGUAAGGCUUAGUUUGUGGCUCAGUCUGGUUAUAAACAAAAGUACACGGAUGGAGGUGGAUGAAGUCGGGGGUCGAUGGACAUUCUCCAGGGCAAAUGAAGGCUACACGAGCUGCGGCCCGGUAGUCGAGAUGUCGUGGCAGAGGGUUGGUGCCCUGCUGCUUGGGGCUCAGUCCUGCCUGCCUGUCCCGGAGGUUCCGGCCGUAGGCGGGAUUGGGUCGGUACUCUUGUCUAUGGCUAGGAUGGGUUGGAAACUAUGUCACGUCUUCCGUCUGUAUACCGUGGUGGUAUGUGGCACGUGGUUACACGUGAGGAAGAUGUGUCUUGUGGGUAAAGAUGUACACCUCUGAUCAGAGUAUAAUCUAUUCGAAUAGCCGCGCCCUCGGUUAUGGGCAAGCCGAGCAAUGUACCCAAGUCAGUGUUUUAAUUCUUAAAAUUUGCUCAACAACUAAAAGGUGGAAUGGUUGGCCUGGGUUGGCUUGGGACGAGCUGGGACCCAGGGUCGGGUUGCCAGUUCGGUCUGAAUCAUCGUAGGCCUUGGGUUAAGGCAGGUUCGUGUGGGUUCACGGCCUUGUUUAAUAACACUGUGUAGCUCUAGGAUCGUCUUUAUAAAAUGGCUUUGGGCAACUAAGUGACUUUUAAAUGCUGUUUACUGCAAAACUUAACCUCUAUAUUAUUAUCCCCUUGUACCCCCUUGCAUUAAUUAUGCAUCUCCGGUGUGGCUUGCUGAGUACUGUGGUUGUACUCAUUCUUGCUCAAUCUUUCCCCUCUUCAGUAAGAGAAGCUUUGGAGAAGAAGUCUUAGGUGGAGUCUUGGCUUAUACCCCAGUUGAGCGCCUGUGAAGAUGGAGCCGUAGGCCCGCUAGUCCGCUGCUGUUUAUUUUUGCUUGUCAGGCCUGAAGCGCCUUUGUAAUAAUGUAAAUAUUAUCGAUAUAAUAAAGAUGUGUCUUUUAUAUCAUGUUUGUGUGGUGUACCCCGGCUUUUCCUGGGACGGGGAUUAAUACACUAGCGUUCGGGAAAAGGCAAUUUUCCCGGUCGCGACAACCUUCCCGCCCAUCGGGCAAGGUCACACCACUUUCCUAAUCUAAGCAAGAUUAAAAUCUAUGAGGCUAGUAAAGUGUAGUACAAGUCCCGGUGCUCAAUAACCGCGAGCACGACUAUUCGAAUAGAUUUGAUUUACUCACACUGCAAUGGAUGUACGCUUUUAAUCCCGCACUCCGCGGCUUGCCCAACACAUGAGCCUAGUCCCAACACAUGAGACUUGCCACGGCCCGGUUUUUCAGUUACCCUCGCGUUUCGGCACCCGCUCCAAGGACUAUGGAUCCCCAUUGCACUUCCGGCACAACACACCACCUCGAGCCGGCAGUGAGGAGAGUCCUGGCGCUCCCGGGAUCACAAUGGGUUAUAUUACAUAUAGGUUAGGUGUGUUUUAUGUUUUGCGGGCCUUAACCAAACGAUCGAUCCACUCGAUCCUUCACCUCCAACGUCACCACUUCAGAACCACCAUGACAAGGGUGCGGCCCCACGAGAAUUUCCUUAGUCCACAGGGUCUAUACCCACUCGAGAAGUGCGGUCGUACUCUAGUCGUUUCCUGCAUAGCUUCUUGACUCGGUCCUUAACUGACUAGGGUCGGCGACUAGCCGUUUCUAGAACCACCCAUAUUCUAUCCAUGCCGCCCCAGUCGAAAACAUUUUGUUUAAUUAGAUUUUUGGUUUUCGCAAAGGUUUUUGCUGCGGGUGGUGCUCAUGUCUCCACCCGCCUUCUGGCAAUCACUCUCGACGAGUGACCGCCACCAACACAUCCAUAUCCAACUAUUAUGGAGUGUACAACCAUCUAUAAUUAAACAAUACUAAGCAAUGUCAAUAAUUUACCACGCAUAAAUAAUAGACUCAGGCAACAAGGAUAUAUGUCACACCCUGAAAAUUUAAAAUUUAUAAAUUGUUGUUUAAAUGGAAUUUUUUAGAAAUAAUUUUAAAAGUCUUGAAGAGAAGAUCUAGUUUUAAUUAAUAAAUGCCAAUAUAAAAAGUGGCCAGAUAAAAUUUCAUUAAAUACUUUGCUUAAUUCUAUAAUUCCUAGAUUUUUCUGGGAUUUAUUUGAGCUAAGGAAGUAUUUUUAAUAAAUGGAAUUGCAUUUCAUGAAUAAUUUAAAUUGAAAAAGGUUUUAAAAAGUCUUCUUUUGGCUUUGGGCCGAAAGUCGGCCCAAAACCGCUCUCUCUCUCCUCGGCCCAGUCCGCCGCCGCGCGCGCGCGCGUCCGCCCGCUGACAGGUGGGGCCCACCUGUCGGGUUCGUCGUCCUCCUCCGGCCGAAACCCUAGUUUCGCGUCGCCGCCGCCGCUUUCCAAUCCGGCCGCUCCUUUCCGUUUCCGGCCGAAUUGAUAGAGGGGAAAUGAUCCUCGGGAUCUCCUCUACCUUUUCUCCUUUGGAAUCUUUGGCUAAAUCGUUUUGGAAAGCGUUGGAUUCGAGUUUGUCUCGGAUUCGUUCUUCCCGAUCUUUCCUUCCUCGUCGCCGGCCGCCGUGGGCCUUUGCCGCCGCCUCCGAGCCCCUUUAAAAGGACCCCCGGUGUCUCCUCUACCCGUCGCCACCCUUGCCUUCGCCUCUAGUUGUCGGAAUCGCUCUAGCGCCGUGUGCCCUAGCUUCGCCGUCGCCGCCGCCGCUCCAGCCGUGCGCCGCCGUCGUUUCAGCCGUCGCCGUCGCUCGGGAAGACCACCGUCGUGCUCGCCUAGUUGUCGCCGUCCUCGUCCGCCCCUUCACCGUCGCCGGAGAUCACCGGAGCAGCAUCGCCGUCGUCGACCCGAAGGUUCCCGCCGCUUCCUCCUCGUCGCCGUCGUCGUUCGUUGUUCUUCCGCCGCCGUUUUGGUCACCGGUGUGUUCGCCGCGUCGUCCUCUACGUGCUGGUGCCCUCCGUUUGCGUCCUCGCGCCGCCGUUCGCCGGCGAGCGUGCGCCGCCCGAGCCGCCGCCGCUGUCGGUGACGUCAUUGCCGACGUUAUCGGGGUCGUCCGCCGUGAGCCGCCGUGGACCCGAUCGAUCUCGGCCGUCCGUUUUGGAUUGGUUCGAUCUCGGCCGUCCGUUCGUGUGAACCGCCGCCCGUGCGCCCGGUCCACCAAACCCUAGCCCGCUGACGCAAUAAACCCUCUUUUCCUUUUCAAAAAUAAUUCAUUAUUGCGUCAUAAUUCAAUUUUAACCGAUAUAAGUGUUUUAAUCCGAUUUAAUCUUUAAAAAUUCAUAACUAAUUCAUCUUAGCUCCGAUUUAGUUGGUUCAAGUCUCUAAAUUUUUCUAAAAUUGAGAUUUACACUUUAAAAAUAUCCACAUGUACUGUUCAUGCUUGUUUAUGUGCUGUUUUGGUGAUUUUGCUCUUUUCUGCUUAGAUUCCGUCGUUUCCGGAGAGUCCGUUUUCGCAGAAGAAGAGUUUGAAGAGUUCCAAGGCCAGCAAGGCAAGUCACACAGAUCCCAAACAACCCUUUGAGCAUGUUGAUCCUAUUUAAAGCUAUUGUUUCUAUUCAACUAUUGCAUCUAUUUUCGAAUGUCAUUGGGUGGAAUUGACCUAUUCUUUGUUAUGGCCCUUUCGUACUUGAUUACCUUAUUCCUUGAUACCUUGGGUUAUUACAAUUUGACUAGUUGAGCUUUAUUUAUGUUGGUUCAACUAGAUAUUAGGUAUAAUUGCUUAGCCCUGCUUAGAAACAUUAGUACACAUUCGGGAUAACUAAUGACUCACUAUUAUUUAAUGAUGGUUUCAUGAUAGUUCACGAUGGUCAAUCGUGAUUAGUUAAUUAAUUAAUGUGCCAACUAAAACCUGGUAAUGGUGGGUUGUGAGCACAUGGUUUUGUUGGUCGUGCUCAUGACAAUUAAGGACCGGUUCACGAGUUUCGGUUGUGAAACAUUAACCGUGCCAACCACAAGCCAGCAUGGGCAACGGCUUUAUCUUUUGUAUAGCAUGGUUCAUUGCGGGGCACCAGACUGAGAAGUGGCGGAGAUAAGCCCACGGGGGUCGCUGGGGAGUCCAUGCCUUGUUUAUAAGGGGGUGAUUAUGAUCCAGGAAGGUGCGCUGCAGUGGAUUGUGUUAUGCGAGGGGUAUUGUCACAACUCCUUUCCGAGAUACCGUGGUGAUAUUGAGGCACAUGGUGACAUGAUGUGGGGUUGUGUCUUGUGGGUACAGUGGUACACCUCUGAUCAGAGUAAAACUAUUCGAAUAGCCGUGCCCGCGGUUAUGGGCGGGUCUAACAAUGUCUUUCAUGAUUAGUCUCACACCUCUCAUCAUAGUAAAAGAUGCUUAAACUGGUAAUAAUUUGAUUAGCUCCUGGUUUGGAAUGGUAUAUUCCUGGUUUGGAGAUAGAACUGUGCAGCCGGGGUGGUUGUUCAGAAUGGUUGGGCCUAUACAACAGGGUAUGUUGUAUAGCGUUGGAUUAAUAUUGUUUAAUUACUUAACUGUUUUAUCAAAUUCUCAAAUGUUUGCUAAAUGCUGCUUUUGCAAAUGCAACCCUAUUAUGCCAUCCUUUGUUAUCCUGUGCACUUGCAUAUUUGCUGCGUGGCUUGCUGAGUAUGUCAUAUACUCACCUUGCAAUCAUUCAUCAGAGGAAGAGUUCUACAAUGAGGCUGAUGGUGUGGAGGAUUAGGAGUAGCCUUGGUCAAGCUGCCUGUGGAGUGGAGCCGUCUGCGCCGUUUAUUUAUUUUCCGCUGCUUAGAUCUUUAUUGAUUGAGAGGAACUAUCUACCUCUGUAAUGACAUUUUAUUCGCUUAUUAAUUAGAGUAAUAUUUGUACUCUAUUAUCAAUUUGUUAUUGUGUGCCUCGGCUGAUUCCUGGACGAGGGUUCACACACAUGUAAGCGUUUGGAAUUUUGGAUAGAAAUUCCGGGCGUGACAAGUUGGUAUCAGAGCCUCUUUGACCCUAGGUUAUGCCAAAUGGUUAUCCAUAGAAGCCCUCUAAAAAUAUUGGAAAAGUAGAACUGUUCUCCUCCCUUUCUCUUUUAAUUAAACCAAACUAAUGGCACAUGCACUUCAUAAUCUCUUUUAAUGGUUCUCAUUAAAAAUUUAUUCCAGUGUUAUUAGUACUGUACAUCUAUUACUGUACUAAUGGCUCAUUUACCAGCAAAAGUUUUACAAUACUGUUUUAUUUAAUCUUGCUGCAAUAAAAUAAAUUUAGCAUGUUGAUUUUAUAAUUUUCUUUCAUUUCUUUUGAAACCAGUUAUUCAAAAUUACAAAAUUUGUGACCUCGUUUCCAACUGUUUUAACUUAUCUCGCAAAGCUUGGUUUACUUUAUUUACUUACCUUUUUACUCUGAUUUUCUAACUUUAUUCAAAUUAAUCCAAAAACUUGUGCUAUUAAUUGGAUAAAGGUCUUAACUCCCUCCUUUCACUUGUCUUUAGAUGCCGCGUUACAAGCCUGAGUACCUGUUUGGUGUUGAGGGUUUUGUCCAGGAGUUGCGUACGAUGUCCUUUGUCAUUGGAUUUGGGACUGCCCCUUUUUAUGCCCAGAUUCCUCAUGAUCGUCAUGAAGAGAAGUGCCGAGUCAAAGUCACCUUGAACAGUAAUAGUGAAGAUAUCCCCUCAGUGAUGUUUGAAGCUGGAGGAAGAAACUACAUCCAUGCAUGUCAGGAGGUGGCAAGGAUCGCCAUAGGAGAGCUCCGUGAUCGCUACAGUGAUCAAUUGGCCGACACUGAGUAUCGCUACCAUCCUCGCCAACCCCAGGGAAGUGACCGUGGCAGUUACCUUGAGACUGAAGGAAUUGAGAAUGAUGCUACCACGAAGCAUUUGGUUGAGAUGUUGUGGGCUAUGGAUGAAAGUCGUGCGGAGACUGUGUUAGCCGCUCAAGAUCAUGAAGACCGGAAUCGUGGUAAGAUUUGCAAGUUAGAAGACAAGGUGGAUCGUUUGGAGAAGGAAUUAGCCGCAUUGAAGGGAGAAGCACCGCCGCAGAAGGCCAGGAUUCGUCUUACCGCAAGGAAGAGAGCUCUAUUUGUCCCUCGCUAUCAACUGGCGCCAAAGGUUCGUGUGGUGGAGAAAGAAGUUGCCCCAGCUCAAGCGGAUCCUCCGGUCAUCAUCAUAAGUAGUGAUGAAGAAGAAGAAUCCAAGCGCAACAAUUCCAAGAUUGAGUGGGUAGCAACUCAAGAUGAUAAAGACGAGCCUUCAAUCGACCUCCGAUGCUUGGAAGAACUAGAGUGACUUGUUAAGUCGUUGUCUUAGAUCGUUGUGUUAGUUUGCUUGCUUAAAGUUUGCUUGUGUGUGGCUCGCAUGUGAUUUACAUCAGUGGUGGGAUGUAAGUGCAUGCGUUUGUUUGCUUUUGAGUGUUAGGAAGUUGGUGAGUUUAGUGGUGUGAGAGUCUUUAGUUUGUAAUAAUGAAACUCAGUUAAGAUCAAUAAAAGUUAAAGUAAUUCUCUGUCCUAAGUAGUUUCCCCGGUUUCUCUUCUUGUGCCCUGUCCAUGCCAGAUGGUGAACACUCGCAGCAAUGGGAAUGGUCCCAACAACCCCAAUAACAACAACAAUGGAGAGAAUCCCACUCUUGCUCAAGUUCUUGCUCAACAGACACAGCUUAUGAACAUGAUGAUGCAGCAAUUUCAGAAUCAGCAAAACCAAGGAAAUAAUCAUGCACCUCCACAGAACAAGUUAGCAGAAUUUCUUCGUGUGAGGCCGCCUGUUUUCUCUAGUACCACUAAUCCUGUUGAAGCUAGUGAUUGGCUGCAUGCCAUAGAGAAGAAGUUGGAUUUACUUCAGUGUACUGAUCAGGAGAAGGUCUCAUUUGCAUCACAUCAGUUGCAUGGCCCUGCCUCUGAAUGGUGGGAUCACUUCCGCCUUAACAGGACUACUGCUGAACCUAUCACUUGGCUUGAAUUCACCGCUGCUUUCCGGAAGACGCAUAUACCAUCAGGAGUAGUGUCUCUCAAGAUGAAGGAGUUCAGGUCGCUUACCCAGGGAUCUCGCUCUGUUACGGAGUAUCUGCACGAGUUCAAUCGUCUUGCUCGUUAUGCUCCGGAAGAUGUGCGCAAUGAUGAAGAGCGCCAGGAGAAGUUUUUGGGAGGACUUAAUGAUGAGCUUUCUUACCCACUCAUGGUUGGAGAUUAUCCUGAUUUCCAGAAAUUAGUGGAUAAGGCUAUUCGUCAGGAGGACAAGUACAAUCGCAUGGAGCAGAAGAAACGUCGGAUUGCUCAAUUCAAGACACAACAGGGAAAUAAUCAGAAGCCGCGUCUUACUUUAGGACCCCAGCCCAUGCCACAGGGAGGUUCUUCGUCUGUUGUUCGUCCGCAGCGUCAGUUCUUCAACAACAAUGCUGGCAACAACAUCCGUAAUCAAGCUCCACGUCCUGUUGCAGCUCCAGCACAGCAACAACCUGCCAAGAGGGAGCAAGGCAGCAAGCCCGUGGUGUGUUUCAACUGUGGAGAUCCAGGACAUUAUGCUGACAAGUGUCCGAAGCCCCGACGCGUGAAGGUUGUCCCUGCCCAGAAUAACUCUGCUGUACCAGCAUCCAAGGCUCGUGUAAAUCAUGUCGCUGCUGCAGAAGCUCAAGAUGCUCCAGAUGUGAUUUUGGGUACGUUCCUUGUUAACUCAGUUCCUGCAACAGUACUUUUCGAUUCUGGUGCUACACAUUCAUUCUUAUCUAUGAGUUUUGCGGGAAAUCAUGGGAUGGAAGUAGAAGAUCUUAGACGUCCUUUGAUGGUUAGUACCCCAAGUAAUCAAGCACUCUCUUUGCAACGUAGCCCCUCUGUCAGAAUAGAAAUUCAAGGAGUACCAUUUCUGGCCAAUCUUAUCUUGUUAGAAUCCAAAGACCUUGAUGUCAUCCUAGGGAUGGACUGGUUAGCCAGACAUAAAGGUGUGAUAGACUGUGCCAACAAAAAAGUAACUCUCACCAGCUAUGAUGGUCGAGUUGUAACUGUUCAUGCAUUGUCAUCUGAGUCUUUAAGGUCAAGACUGAACCAGAUAACUUUGGAAGAGAUUCCUAUAGUCCGGGAGUAUCCUGAUGUGUUCCCAGAUGAUUUACCUGGUAUGCCGCCUAAAAGGGAUAUAGAGUUCAGAAUAGAUUUGGUACCUGGAACAACUCCGAUCCAUAAGAGACCUUAUAGAAUGGCAGCCAAUGAGUUGGCAGAAGUCAGAAGGCAAGUAGAUGAUUUGCUUCAGAAAGGAUACAUCAGACCGAGUUCAUCACCAUGGGGAGCUCCGGUUAUUUUUGUGGAAAAGAAAGACCAUACUCAGAGAAUGUGUGUGGACUAUCGUGCACUAAACGAUGUGACUAUCAAGAAUAAGUAUCCACUACCCAGGAUUGAUGAUUUGUUUGAUCAGCUUAAAGGUGCCACUGUUUUCUCCAAGAUAGAUCUUCGAUCAGGGUAUCAUCAGUUGAGAAUCAAAGAGGAAGAUAUACCUAAGACAGCUUUUACCACUAGGUAUGGGUUGUUCGAAUGUACUGUUAUGUCUUUUGGACUUACCAAUGCCCCUGCUUUCUUCAUGAACUUGAUGAAUAAGGUGUUUAUGGAAUACCUAGACAAGUUCGUGGUGGUCUUUAUUGAUGAUAUUCUUAUCUACUCUCGAACCAAAGAAGAGCAUGAGGAACAUCUUCGCCUUGCAUUGGAGAAGCUACGAGAACAUCAACUGUAUGCUAAGUUUAGCAAGUGUGAAUUUUGGUUGUCUGAAGUGAAAUUCCUUGGUCACGUCAUCUCAGCCGGAGGAGUUGCCGUCGAUCCUAGUAACGUGGAAUCCGUAACCAAUUGGAAGCAACCAAAGACAGUUUCAGAGAUUCGCAGUUUCCUAGGCCUCGCAGGAUAUUAUCGGAGGUUUAUAGAGAAUUUUUCCAAGAUUGCUAAGCCCAUGACACGACUGCUUCAGAAAGAUGUGAAGUACAAGUGGUCGGAAGAAUGUGAGCAGAGUUUUCAAGAGUUGAAAAGUCGCUUAAUAUCAGCUCCUAUUUUGAUUUUGCCUGAUCCAAAGAAGGGUUUUCAAGUGUAUUGCGAUGCAUCCAAACUUGGGUUAGGUUGUGUUCUGAUGCAAGAUGGGAAGGUGGUUGCUUAUGCCUCUCGACAGUUACGUCCGCAUGAGAAGAACUACCCUACUCAUGAUAUUGAGUUAGCUGCAGUCGUUCAUGCAUUGAAGAUUUGGCGUCAUUAUCUUUUCGGUACUCGUACAGAAGUGUACACCGAUCACAAGAGUUUAAAGUAUAUCUUUACUCAGCCGGAUCUGAACAUGAGACAACGGAGAUGGUUGGAAUUAAUUAAGGAUUAUGACAUGGGAAUUCAUUAUCAUCCGGGAAAGGCUAAUGUUGUAGCAGACGCUCUUAGCAGAAAAGGCUAUUACAAUGCUACAGAAGGACGACAGUUGCCAUUGGAAUUAUGCAAGGAAUUUGAAAGAUUAAAUUUGGGAAUUGUCGGUAGAGGUUUCGUUGCAGCCUUAGAAGCGAAGCCCACUCUAAUUGAUCAAGUUAGAGAAGCCCAAAUUAAUGAUCCUGAUAUUCAAGAGAUCAAGAAGAAUAUGAGAAGAGGAAAAGCUAUUGGUUUCUUGGAAGAUGAGCAAGGAACUGUAUGGUUGGGUGAGAGAAUCUGUGUCCUCGACAACAAAGAUCUAAAAGAUGCAGUUUUGAAAGAAGCUCAUGAUACUUUAUACUCCAUUCACCCUGGUAGUACUAAGAUGUACCAGGAUCUCAAGGAAAGAUUUUGGUGGGCAAGUAUGAAGCGUGAAAUCGCAGAAUAUGUAGCAGUAUGUGAUGUUUGUCAGCGAGUCAAGGCAGAACAUCAGAAACCCGCCGGUUUGUUGCAGCCUUUGAAGAUUCCUGAAUGGAAAUGGGAAGAAAUAGGUAUGGAUUUUAUUACUGGUUUACCCAGAACGUCAUCAGGCCAUGAUUCUAUUUGGGUGAUAGUCGACAGACUUACCAAAGUGGCUCAUUUUAUUCCGGUAAAGACAACCUAUUCCGGAAGUCGCUUGGCGGAAUUGUAUAUGGCAAGGAUUGUGUGUUUGCAUGGCGUCCCUAAGAAGAUAGUGUCUGAUCGAGGCAGUCAGUUUACUUCAAAUUUUUGGAAGAAACUUCAGGAAGAGAUGGGUUCUAAGCUGAACUUUAGUACUGCUUAUCAUCCACAGACAGACGGACAAACCGAAAGGGUGAAUCAGAUUUUGGAAGACAUGUUGAGAGCUUGUGCUUUAGAUUUCGGUGGAAGUUGGGAUAAGAAUCUACCUUAUGCAGAAUUUUCAUACAACAACAGUUAUCAAGCUAGUUUACAGAUGGCUCCUUACGAAGCACUGUAUGGUCGGAAGUGCCGCACUCCGCUUUUGUGGGAUCAAACGGGAGAACGUCAGGUUUUCGGGACGGAUAUCCUAAGGGAAGCAGAAGAAAAGGUAAAGGUCAUUCAAGAAAGAUUGCGAGUGGCUCAGUCUCGACAUAAGAGUUAUGCCGACAAUCGCCGUAGAGAUUUGAGUUUUGAAGAAGGAGACUAUGUGUAUCUUCGUGUCACGCCUCUUCGAGGAGUUCAUCGUUUUCACACCAAGGGAAAAUUGGCACCGUGUUUUGUGGGACCUUAUAAGAUUGUCAGUAGAAGAGGAGAGGUUGCUUAUCAGUUAGAAUUACCUCAAUCUUUGGCAGGAGUCCAUAAUGUGUUCCAUGUGUCACAAUUGAAAAAAUGUUUAAGGGUACCUACCGAAGAAGCUAAUAUUGAGCAGAUAGAAGUCCAAGAGGAUUUGACUUAUGUUGAGAAACCAAUCCGUAUCCUGGAAACAAAUGAGAGAAGAACCAGGAAUCGAGUUAUCCGUUUCUGCAAAGUUCAAUGGAGUAAUCACUCGGAAGAAGAAUCAACUUGGGAACGAGAAGAUGAAUUGAAGUCAGCUCAUCCGCAUCUGUUCGCCAGUUCUUCCGAAUCUCGAGGACGAGAUUCUGUUUAAGGGGGGUAGGUUUGUCACACCCUGAAAAUUUAAAAUUUAUAAAUUGUUGUUUAAAUGGAAUUUUUUAGAAAUAAUUUUAAAAGUCUUGAAGAGAAGAUCUAGUUUUAAUUAAUAAAUGCCAAUAUAAAAAGUGGCCAGAUAAAAUUUCAUUAAAUACUUUGCUUAAUUCUAUAAUUCCUAGAUUUCUCUGGGAUUUAUUUGAGCUAAGGAAGUAUUUUUAAUAAAUGGAAUUGCAUUUCAUGAAUAAUUUAAAUUGAAAAAGGUUUUAAAAAGUCUUCUUUUGGCUUUGGGCCGAAAGUCGGCCCAAAACCGCUCUCUCUCUCCUCGGCCCAGUCCGCCGCCGCGCGCGCGCGCGUCCGCCCGCUGACAGGUGGGGCCCACCUGUCGGGUUCGUCGUCCUCCUCCGGCCGAAACCCUAGUUUCGUGUCGCCGCCGCCGCUUUCCAAUCCGGCCGCUCCUUUCCGUUUCCGGCCGAAUUGAUAGAGGGGAAAUGAUCCUCGGGAUCUCCUCUACCUUUUCUCCUUUGGAAUCUUUGGCUAAAUCGUUUUGGAAAGCGUUGGAUUCGAGUUUGUCUCGGAUUCGUUCUUCCCGAUCUUUCCUUCCUCGUCGCCGGCCGCCGUGGGCCUUUGCCGCUGUCACAUCCUGAUUUUUGUUUCAGGAUUUAUAAAUUAUUUAAUAAAUUAUUAUUAGAAUUUAUAUUAAAUGUUCAUUAAUUUACAAGUGAAGUUAAAUGUGGGAAAUAAAAUUUUCUAAAUAUAAAGCAUGGAUGGAUUUAAUUUUUAUUAAAUUCUCCAUGGUUAAUUAUACUCUCUGGAAUUUUCUCGGAUUUUUCGGAGCUCAAUUCCUAAUUUUAAUCAUACAAAGAGCAUUUCAGUAAUAAUCCACAUAUUAAAUUAAUCAUUAAAUGGUCUAAUUAUAAUUUUGUUAAGUACUUUGAGUGUCCAAGUAUGUUCAAGAUUUUUCUUGGAAUUAUUUGAGCAUUGGAAGUAUUUUUAACAAUUCAAAGAUCAUUUCAGUGAUUAAUUUAAUUGGAAAAGUAAUUAAAAUUCACCUUUUCCUUUUCGGGCCGAAUUAGGAAAAGUCCUCUCACUCUCGGCCCGGUCUCCUCUCAGCCUGCAGCCCUUUUCCUCUCUUUCCCGAAGUAUGCUUUGUGUCCCUCCUUUAAUCAGUCCUUGGUAGUAGAAGCCCAGCCGAAAGUCUAGUUUGCCUCCCUGGCACUGUUCAUCUUCAAGCUUGGACAGAGCCGAGCCGCCCGUGCUGUGUCCUGUGCAGCCACCGCUUCCUCCGUUAAUUCCGCCACAUCCCGAGCUCCGUUUGCAAAAUUAGUUGAGGGGAAAUAUUCCUCUUAUCCUCCUCUAUCUUUACCCCCAAAAAUCGGAGCUAAUCGUUGAGUAUCUUAUCCGAAUCGAACUCGUUUUCGAGUUUAUCUUCAAAACCGAGUUUUUGAUUUCCCGGAUCGAUUUCUUGCGGGAGGAGUCCGAUCUCUUCAAUCCAAGGCUAUAAAUAGGACCCCCUAGUCCUCCUCUUUCGUUUGCCCCCUCUCCCGUGGUCUCUCGUGCUCCGUAGCUCCGUCGCCUCCGCCGUCGCCGCCGCUUGCCGUCGUCUCCUCGUCGCCGGCCGUCGUCGGUCGUCGUUUGGCACGAGGGUGAGUACCGUUGGGUUCGUCUCGUCGUUCUCUAUGUAUAGAUGUCCUCCAAAAUCCCGGCCGACCACCCUAGCUCCGGCGAGGUCGCCAUCCGAGCCGGCCACCAUUGAUGACGUCAUCAUGACAUCAUCAUCUUUUCCUUUUCCCUUUUUCUAAUAGAUUAAAUCUUCGGAAAUUCAUAACUAAAUCAUCAUAACUCGGUUUUGAGUGGUUCAAGUUGCUAAAUUCAUCUAAAAUCAUGACCUACAUGUUUGUUUACUUUAUAUGUACUGUUUAUUUGGUUUUUAUUAGUCUUUUUCUUCGUUUUGCGUGUUAGCUUAUCGUUUCCGUCGUUGCGAAGGUUCGCGAGUGCGCCGGAAGUAUUCAAGAAGAUUAAUUGAAGACCGAUUAUUGCAAGGCAAGUCACACAGAUCCCAAACAACCCUUUGAGCAUGUUGAACCUGUUUAAAGCUAUAGAUUUAUUUCAACUUAUGCAUUGUUUUCGAAUGUCAUUGGGUGGUGAGCCUUUCCCAUUUAAUUAUGGCCGAAGAUGACAUUAUUUUCCUAUGGGUUAUAAUUUGACUAGCAUGGACCUUAUAUAUUGGAUUGGUUCAGCUAGAUGUUACUUAUAGUUGCUUAGCCAUGCUUAGAAACAUUAGCACACUAAUGGGAUAACUUAUGACUCACUAUUAUUUAAUGAUGGUUUAAUGAUAGUUCACGAUGGUUAAUCGUGAUUGGUUAAUUAAUUACUUGCCAACUAAAACUUGAUAAUGGUGGGUUGUGAGCACAUGGUUUUGAGAGUCGUGCUCAUGACAAUUAAGGACCGGUUCGCGAGCUACUGUUGUGAAACAUUUAUCGUGCCAACCACAAGCCAGCGUGGGCAACGGCUUUAUCUUUUGUGUAGCGUGAUUCAUUAUAGUGCGCCAGACUGAGAAGUGGCGAGAAGUCCACGGGGGUCGCUGGGGAGUCCAUGCCUUGUUUAUAAGGGGGUGAUUAUGAUCCAGGAAAGGUGCGCUGUAAUGGGUUAUGUUGUGCAAGGGGUAUUGUCACAACUCCUUUCCGAGGUACCGUGGUGGUAUUGAGGCACAUGGUGACAUGAUGUGGGGUUGUGUCUUGUGGGUACAGUGGUACACCUCUGGCCAGAGUAAAACUAUUCGAAUAGCCGUGCCCGCGGUUAUGGGCGGGUUGAGCAAUGUUUUUCGUGAUUAGUCUCACACCUCUCACAAUAAUUAUGGAUGUUAUAACUGGUAAUAAUUUGUUUAGCUCCUGGUUUGGAGUUAGAUCUGUACAGCCGGGUAUGGUUGUUCAGGAUGGUUGGGCCUGUGCAGCAUGGGUGUGCUGUUCAGUGUUGAUUAAAAAUUUCUGAUUAAUUACUCCACUGUUUUACUUCUCUUAAAUGUUUUGCUAAAUGCUGCUUUUGCAAAUGAGCCUAUAUUAUGCCAUCCUUUGGUAUCCUUGUGCACUUGCAUAUUUGCUGUGUGGCUUGCUGAGUAUGUCAUAUGCUCACCUUGCAAUAAUCAAUCAAACCUCAGUUGAAGAUAAAGGAUCCAGAAGGAGAAGACGUUUGGCUUAUACCCCAGUUGAGCUGCCUGUGGGAGUGGAGCUGAAGCCAUCGCUAGAUCGUUAUUCCGCUGCUGUUUUCUUUUCUUUUGUAAGUAUGUAACGUUAUUAUUAUGAUGGAUUUGUAUAUUAAAUUGUCAGUUUGUGUACCUCGGCUGAUUCCUGGACGAGGAUUUUAUGCACAAAUAAGUUCGGAAAUUACUAGUGAAUUUCCGGGCGUGACAGCCGCCGCCUCCGAGCCCCUUUAAAAGGACCCCCGGUGUCUCCUCUACCCGUCGCCACCCUUGCCUUCGCCUCUAGUCGUCGGAAUCGCUCUAGCGCCGUGUGCCCUAGCUUCGCCGUCGCCGCCGCCGCUCCAGCCGUGCGCCGCCGUCGUUUCAGCCGUCGCCGUCGCUCGGGAAGACCACCGUCGUGCUCGCCUAGUUGUCGCCGUCCUCGUCCGCCCCUUCGCCGUCGCUGGAGAUCACCGGAGCAGCAUCGCCGUCGUCGACCCGAAGGUUCCCGCCGCUUCCUCCUCGUCGCCGUCGUCGUUCGUUGUUCUUCCGCCGCCGUUUUGGUCACCGGUGUGUUCGCCGCGUCGUCCUCUACGUGCUGGUGCCCUCCGUUUGCGUCCUCGCGCCGCCGUUCGCCGGCGAGCGUGCGCCGCCCGAGCCGCCGCCGCUGUCGGUGACGUCAUUGCCGACGUUAUCGGGGUCGUCCGCCGUGAGCCGCCGUGGACCCGAUCGAUCUCGGCCGUCCGUUUUGGAUUGGUUCGAUCUCGGCCGUCCGUUCGUGUGAACCGCCGCCCGUGCGCCCGGUCCACCAAACCCUAGCCCGCUGACGCAAUAAACCCUCUUUUCCUUUUCAAAAAUAAUUCAUUAUUGCGUCAUAAUUCAAUUUUAACCGAUAUAAGUGUUUUAAUCCGAUUUAAUCUUUAAAAAUUCAUAACUAAUUCAUCUUAGCUCCGAUUUAGUUGGUUCAAGUCUCUAAAUUUUUCUAAAAUUGAGAUUUACACUUUAAAAAUAUCCACAUGUACUGUUCAUGCUUGUUUAUGUGCUGUUUUGGUGAUUUUGCUCUUUUCUGCUUAGAUUCCGUCGUUUCCGGAGAGUCCGUUUUCGCAGAAGAAGAGUUUGAAGAGUUCCAAGGCCAGCAAGGCAAGUCACACAGAUCCCAAACAACCCUUUGAGCAUGUUGAUCCUAUUUAAAGCUAUUGUUUCUAUUCAACUAUUGCAUCUAUUUUCGAAUGUCAUUGGGUGGAAUUGACCUAUUCUUUGUUAUGGCCCUUUCGUACUUGAUUACCUUAUUCUUUGAUACCUUGGGUUAUUACAAUUUGACUAGUUGAGCUUUAUUUAUAUUGGUUCAACUAGAUAUUAGGUAUAAUUGCUUAGCCCUGCUUAGAAACAUUAGUACACAUUCGGGAUAACUAAUGACUCACUAUUAUUUAAUGAUGGUUUCAUGACAGUUCACGAUGGUCAAUCGUGAUUAGUUAAUUAAUUAAUGUGCCAACUAAAACCUGGUAAUGGUGGGUUGUGAGCACAUGGUUUUGUUGGUCGUGCUCAUGACAAUUAAGGACCGGUUCACGAGUUUCGGUUGUGAAACAUUAACCGUGCCAACCACAAGCCAGCAUGGGCAACGGCUUUAUCUUUUGUAUAGCAUGGUUCAUUGCGGGGCACCAGACUGAGAAGUGGCGGAGAUAAGCCCACGGGGGUCGCUGGGGAGUCCAUGCCUUGUUUAUAAGGGGGUGAUUAUGAUCCAGGAAGGUGCGCUGCAGUGGAUUGUGUUAUGCGAGGGGUAUUGUCACAACUCCUUUCCGAGAUACCGUGGUGGUAUUGAGGCACAUGGUGACAUGAUGUGGGGUUGUGUCUUGUGGGUACAGUGGUACACCUCUGAUCAGAGUAAAACUAUUCGAAUAGCCGUGCCCGCGGUUAUGGGAGGGUCUAACAAUGUCUUUCGUGAUUAGUCUCACACCUCUCAUCAUAGUAAAAGAUGCUUAAACUGGUAAUAAUUUGAUUAGCUCCUGGUUUGGAAUGGUAUAUUCCUGGUUUGGAGAUAGAACUGUGUAGCCGGGGUGGUUGUUCAGAAUGGUUGGGCCUAUACAACAGGGUAUGUUGUAUAGCGUUGGAUUAAUAUUGUUUAAUUACUUAACUGUUUUAUCAAAUUCUCAAAUGUUUGCUAAAUGCUGCUUUUGCAAAUGCAACCCUAUUAUGCCAUCCUUUGUUAUCCUGUGCACUUGCAUAUUUGCUGCGUGGCUUGCUGAGUAUGUCAUAUACUCACCUUGCAAUCAUUCAUCAGAGGAAGAGUUCUACAAUGAGGCUGAUGGUGUGGAGGAUUAGGAGUAGCCUUGGUCAAGCUGCCUGUGGAGUGGAGCCGUCUGCGCCGUUUAUUUAUUUUCCGCUGCUUAGAUCUUUAUUGAUUGAGAGGAACUAUCUACCUCUGUAAUGACAUUUUAUUCGCUUAUUAAUUAGAGUAAUAUUUGUACUCUAUUAUCAAUUUGUUAUUGUGUGCCUCGGCUGAUUCCUGGACGAGGGUUCACACACAUGUAAGCGUUUGGAAUUUUGGAUAGAAAUUCCGGGCGUGACAAUAUAAUAAAGGUAACAAUAUCAAGGAUGGUUCACAUACAAAUUUAGGUACGCAAUUUAUAAUUAGCAUGCAAGUUUAUUUAUAAACAAAACAUUUAUAAACUGGGUUCAAUAUGCUCAAGGAAGAGAGCGUAGUGACUUGCCUUGCUUUUAGAAACCGGUAUCUUCAAGAAAUCCACGUUUGACGAAUAACCGGAAUAUUCGAUACGCAGUUAGUACGAGAAAACCAAAUAACAUUCUUCAAUAAAAGUACCAAACAAUUCAAACUGGUAAUGCCAUUGGAUAGAUCUCGAUUUUAGAAGAAUUCCGAAAGUUGAACGGAAUCAAUCGGAGUCACGGUUGGAAAGAUAUGAAUCCCCAAAUUUUAUAGGAUUUAUAGAUCAAGGGGAGAAGGAUACCCAAAAUAGGAUUCCUUUUAUUUUGAAGGAAAUAUCCCCAUGGGUACCCUCUGGACUGGAGGAGGUACAAUGGACUUAUCCUUGGGUGAGCUUGGGCUUCAUCCCAAGGAUACAGGAGGUCGGAUAGGGACGUAUAGCAAACUUCCAGAGAGAAGCUUGGGUUACAUAGGGAAGCAACAUGAACUUUUGGUGGAUACAGAAGCUGAAAGGUGGGCUCUGUCCGGGGGUGUAAGAGGGAGGUAAAAUAGACUCACGUGAGGAGUCAACACUGUGGGCUCCACUGGUGGGUCCCACGAUCCUUUUUCUCCUUUCUUUUCUCUCCUUCUCUCUCUUAACUACUCUCGGCUUCUCCUCCUCACGGCUCUGUUUCUCUCGAUUCUUCCUCCUCUUCUCUCUGCUCUCUCACGCACGCCCCAGAGACGAAAGGCGCCGGCGAUGGUGGGCUGCCGCAGGGCGCGCGCCGGGGAGGAGACCGGGGAGCUGGCGGCUUAGGCCGGGCGGCGCGGCAGGAGGCAGCACCCCUGCCGGGCCAGCGCAUCCAAGCGCGCAGCUGGGGUGACGGCGCGGCACGGCGGCCAGGCGGGUGCGCGGCCGGGAGGCGAUGCAGAGAGGUGGCGUUGGCGGAGGAGGGAGAUGAGGGAGCUGCACCAGGUAGGAGGUGGUCGGGCGCCGGUGGCGAAGGGAGGAAACCGGCGGCGACGGCGGCCGAUGCGACGGCGACGCCGAUGGGCGUGAGGAGGCCGCGGCUGGGGGCGCUCGUCCCGGUGCAGGGACGCGGCCACGCAAAAGGGCCGGAGGUGGCGCCUGUGCGGGCCGAUCUGGUCGCGCGCGGGCGGCGUUCCACCCGGAGCGGCGGCGACCCGGAUCAAGGCGAUGAGGGUGGCGGAGGUCGCAGUGGUUCCUCGGCUGGGCGGAGACAGAGGCGGCCGUGUAAGCUGCUCGCGCGGCCGGUGUGGCCGUGGAGGCAGCACUCGCUCGGGGUCGGCCUGGCCGUGCGCGGCGGCAGCGGAGACGGUGCGGGGAGGUGAAGGCGACGAGCGGCUUGGAAGGAUGAAGCAGAGGUGGCCGUGACAAAGUUGACGGCGCGCAGGGUCCGGGCCGCACGGCUUGGAGCGCACUCAAGGUGCUCGUCCGUGCGCCUCGGGCCGGCGCGAGCAGGAUGAUGGUGGCGGGGAUCGAAGGGCGAGGAUGGAGGAGGAAUGGUUGGGCAUGGCAACUCUGGUAGCCAUAGUUUUUGCUUGAUUGUGGAUGGCUUCGAGGAUAAGGAAUAGAGCGAGGCUUCGAGGAUAAGGAACGGCACAGUGGCGAUGCGGCGGCGUGGACGCAGCUCACGCGGGCGGCGUGGACGCUCGUCUGUGAGCAGUGAAGAACAGGGACGAGCGGUGUGGACUGGGAGUAGCGGCGCACGCACAGGCGACGGCCUGGGUGGCGGCGAAGUGACCAUCGGUCACUAGGCUGCCCCGGAGCACGUGUCGGCGGCGGAUGGGAUGGACGGCGAUGAGGUGGGCCAGGAUGUCGACAUCGCCACAGGGGGGGAGGCUUACAAGGUAAGCUUCACUGCGAACUUGCUCUCCCAUUCGGUGUGAACUCAGUUCUUUCUUUCGGUGUGAGCCAUCCUCACUGCUUCUUCGGUGUUUGGGGAGGGAUUUGGUGGACUGGGUGCUUGCAGGAAUGGAGGAACGAGCGACCUUGCUCGGUGUACAGAUAUGGUGGCGCCAAGGAUGGACGCGGUGCGCGGCGUGCAUCGCUGCGGCGCACGGAGGCGCGACUCGGUGCACGGCGCGGCUGGCACGGUGCAACGGCGUGGUUGCCGACUGAUGCAAGGCGGCGCGGCUCAGCACAGUGCUCACCCGGCUCAACAUUUUGUCGAACACGUGGUGGGCAUGUGAACCUGGCUGGGAGGAGGAAGGAGGAAGGGCAGCUGGGCCAGCUGAGGUAAGGAAGGGGGUGGAAACAGACUUGGGCUGGAAUGAGGGAAAGGGAGGCAGGAUGGACUUAGGCUGUGAUGAGCUGUUGGGUUGGCAGAGCGAGAGAGAGGUGGCACAAGUGUAAAAGGAUACUUUGUAUAACUGUAGCAAGGAAUUUGUACAUCCCCAUUGUAAUUGGAAUUUUGUAGAUGGACCCCAAACAUGUAAUGGGAGUGUAUAACUGUAAUUGGACUGUAUAAUUGGACAUUCGGCUUUGAGCUGGGAUUGAAAUAUGGAAUUGGGGUUUGGAACUAAAUAAGAACAGUUUAAUUGGGGUAUUUGAAUGGGAUUUGGUUUGGCCGCUCAGUCGCCCAAGUAUUUAACUUAGGUUUUCUUUGCGACCGCUUGAAUGAAAAGAUGACGAUAUCGACGGAUUUUAGAAACGACGCUUGGCAUAAAAAUCCAUGCGACGCGGUAAGGUUUCAACAGUACGGACGAUAUAGACGAUAGGUUUAGGAGCGGCAUAUGGUAUACAAAACCAUUCGACGAGGUAGGGUUUCAAAGGUAGAGACGAUAUCGUCGACGUUUGGAUCAAUGCACAGCAUUCGACUUCGGCGAACGAUUCUAGAGUUUUCAAGGGUAGAGAUGGAAUCAAGGAUAUACGGGUCGACGCACGACCUUUAAAUACGUCAAGCGAUUUUAGAGUUUCAAGCGAAUGGAUGAACUCGGGGAUUUUAAGUAGAAGGAAUAGGGGAGAAUGGAAUCCGAGGGAGGCCGAGUCGAAAAGACGAAGCGAGUCUCGAUUCAAAAGCAUGGUUCCAAGGGUUUGGGAAAAGCAACAAUGCUGUGACAAGGGGAGGAUUUUAGGGUUUCGUUUCGCUUAGCUUCGGAGCAUUUAGCGAAAAAGAAGGACGUUGAUCGGAGGACAUCCUUUAGGUGAAUCGAUUUAAUCGUGGUAUUCUAACGAUUCAAGGGAAGAAUGCUGCAUUGCAAUUGACUAGGAGGGUUGAGAGGACAGCGAAAGGAUUUUGCCCUAUGAGGUGAUUCUGAAAGAACUACUGGGUUCGAGUAUUUCGUGAUAUUCGAACAAUUGGUUCGGGAGGGGUUUGAUGAAGGAGGAUUGAGCUACGGAAUUCGAAUCCGAAGGAAUUAUGACAAGGAUUGAGAUUCACAAGGACGGUUUAACCGAAAUCUUUGGCACAAACAUACAAAUGCACACAAUUAACGCAAAUCCCAUUAUGCAGGUCAGCUAGGCCUUUCAAGGAAGAAAACUAGGCUUUUCCGUGAAUUCUUUUGAAAUAAACUCUUUUAAGAUUUUAGUUCGUAAAUAGAGUUUUGCUAGUAAAUUCCUUAUUUGUAAAAUAAUUUCCAAACACUUAUAAUUUCAAAAUAGGGUUUUCAGAAGUUAACUAAAAUUAGCCCUCAUUUGCAAAAAUAGUUUUCUCGGAAAAUAUCUCUCAAAGUAUGUUUUCUAAAUAUCUAGUAUUUGUUUUCAUUUAUAAAACAAAUACAUCAAAUGGGUUCUCUUUCAUAGAAAAGGGUUUUCAGAAAGACAAAUGGCAUUUGCAAACAUUUUCUAAAUUAAUAUAUUUCAUAAUCAUGGUUCUUUUAGCAAAUAAUAUUUGAAUCAAAAAUAGAUUUUGUUUCUAGAUUUCCGUCCUCAUGGUCCAAGCGUAACCGAAAAAUGGGAGAUAGAAUCAAAUAAAGCCAGCAUGAUGGAUUUUGGAAAAGAUUUUUGAUUAACAUGAAAUUUUAAUUUCGCAAAUCAGGACAGAAAUUUUCAGGGUGUUACAGUAAUAUUCAGCCAAACUUUCAAAAUUAUCAAGGAGGUAAUCUGAAUUAUCAGCACCAGCCUUCGUCACCUCAUGUCCAGUACCAGCAAACAAGAUCGCCUCAGCCCUAUGUUGAUGCGAAAACACGUGGCCUGGGAGAUCUGCUUAACUCCAGUGCAGGUCCAAAAAGCUUGCCUUAAGAUUCGUUGAGCGGGCCAGUUGAUUUGAUCCUGCAAUCAACAAGAAACAAAGAAAGAAAAUAACAGUUAAAUCCAUAAAUGAUAGCCGAUCGGCCAGCUGCCGAUGACAUAUCAUUUAUACUUGAGCCGAUGUCAUCUUUGCAUCGAUCUGCUGUGCGAGACGAUAAUAAAGGAACUAAAUCUAUUCGAUUGACUAUAGAUAUCAAUGAUAUAUAAUCUUUAUGUCGAUAUAUACUUAAAUCAAGUGAUUGGGAUAGAUCGGUCGCCAUGCCGAGACAGUAUAAAUCACUUAGACCAAAAUAUAUAUUAACAAGGAAACUAUAAUCAUUCACAGCAUAGCCGAUCAGAUAGAUCUAGCGUGUAUCGGCUAAUACUCCGAUACCACUCUAUAUUAAGAUACCAAAGCAAGUAAAAUAUAUCAAACAGGAAGCUUAAUAUACCUAAAAGCAAUAAGAUCUUAACAUAAAGGGCAUAUCUAGCAUAUCAAUUAAGCACAUGAAAUAUAAGGCUAAAUCUGUUAAGAUCGGCUGAAACCCCGAUACUACCCUAAUCGGCAACCAAAGACAGGCUAGAGAUUGCGAUUCUAAUCACGACUUAUAAGGUCAAACUCAACUGAUGUAGCUAUAAGUAUGAAAAGAAAGACAAUAUCUAGACAAUCAAGCCGUCAGAAGUUUCAUAGAGUGGUAGAUAUCCUAUAUAAUCUAAGUCAACAUCGGUAUCUAACCCGAUCGGCUAUCUUCUAGCGAUAGAUGUUAGCCGAUUGAGGGUUAGAUAAUGAUAUUGACAGAGAUUAUAUAAGGUAUAUGAUAACUCGACAACUUACAUAGACAAGAUUAGAGUAUCAUAAUGAUGGAAGCACUAAUCCCGAGAACGCAAGCCACCAUAACAAGUUUUACCUCUAGUUGAAGAUCGAAACCGAUGCAGCUCAACCCGAAAGCAAAAACUCGUCGAAAACAAACGAAAGUAAAAGGGUGGUGAUGUGCCGAGAUUGUAUUUGAACGUGUGUUGUUUUAUUACAUGGGGCUCGGGGUCUAUUUAUACCCGAGAUUACAAAAUAUGUCCUUGUCGGACACGACUCUUAUCUCUAAUAAACUCUAAAAUACCAUAAGUCUUUGCGGCAAACUUUUGCCCACACUUAUCUGUAAGGAAAUUACACAAAAUAUCCUAAUUAAUAGAUACAAUUGCCUUUUCAGGACUCAAUCCGAUUGUGGCAAUCCAUAUGAAGCACAUUAACUCAACCCGGCAACGUGUACCGAGUUAUAUUGUCGGAAUCGGCUCAAUCGGCUAACCUUGCCCGACUCGAACUCUGCCGAUUAAGGUCGCAGCCGAUUCGGACUUAGCCGAUUCUUGCUCUAUUUCCGGAACGAUCUUCGUCUCAGAUUCCGCUUUGAUCUAAUCUUCAUCUCCGAUACUCAAAUUACCAAAUUUGGUCAUUAACACCCCAAUUUGCUCCUCAGUUUAAUCAGUUUGAGCCGAUACAGCAACAGACGCAUGGAGUACCUCAGCAAAGGCCAUGGGCUGAUAUGAUUGCAGAUGUGAUGAGAGAGCAGUUUGGGCUUAAGCCGAAAGACACUGGAAACCUGUAUCGGCACCCAUACCCUGAGUGGUUUGAAAGGGUUCCAUUGCCUAGCCGAUACAAGGUACCAGACUUCUCAAAAUUUUUAUGGCAAGACAAUGUUUCGAUAAAUGAGCAUGUCAGCCGAUUUCUGGCUCAAUGUGGUGAGGUAUCGGCUGUUGACGCCCUAAGAGUUAGGCUGUUUCCUCUGUCCUUGUCCGGAUCGGCAUUCACAUGGUUUUCUUCUUUGCCAUACAAUUCUGUCAAUAGUUGGGCCGAUUUGGAGAAACAGUUUCACAGCUAUUUUUAUAGUGGGGUUCAUGAGAUGAAACUAUUUGACCAGACAACAAUAAGGCAAAGGCAUGAUGAAUCUGUGCAGGAUUAUAUUCAGAGAUUCAGGGAGAUGAGGAAUAGGUGCUACAGUUUGGCUCUGACAGAUUCUCAGUUAGCCGAUCUGGUUUUUCAGGGUUUGAUAGCUCUGAUCAAGGAGAAAUUUUCAUCUCAGGAAUUCGAGAGCUUAUCCCAUCUCGCACAGAAGGUAACCUUGCAUGAACAAAGAUUUGCAGAAGCUAAGAAGAGUUUCAAGAAGAUCAAUCAUGUAUAUCCUUAUAUGUAUGAUUUUGAUGAAGAGGAUGAUUCCGAAGUAGCAGCAGCCGAGUGGGUCAGGAGUAAGAAAGUUGUGCCAUGCCCAUGGGUGAGGAGUUCUGGGAAAGAGGAAAGAUUUGACUUUGACAUCACCAAGGCUGAUAAGAUUUUCGAUUUGUUGCUUCGGGAGAAACAGAUUCAACUUCCUGCUGGUCAUAUAAUCCCAUCGGCUGAAGAAUUAGGCAAGAGGAGGUAUUGCAAGUGGCAUAAUUCUGGUUCUCAUUCUACUAAUGAUUGCAAAGUUUUCAGACAGCAGAUCCAGGUGGCCAUUGAGGGAGGGAAGAUUAAAUUUGAUGAUUCAAAGAAGCCGAUGAAGGUUGAUGGUAAUCAUUUCCCUGUUAACAUGGUGCAUACAUCUGGAAGGACAGCCGAUGGAGGGAAGAGUCGGAAUUUUCAGUUAAAUUCAGCUAGAAUUAUCAACAAGUAUCAGAAGAGGCAUGAUAAGCAGCAGGAAAGAUAUUUCAAGGAAGAUGAUGGUGGGUUUGAUCCUCUUUGGGACUGUGACUUCUUCAGAUUCUGUUGGAAUGAAGGCAUGAGGCUACCAUCGAUCGAAGAUUGCCCUGGGUGCAGUGAUAAUAUAGGGAGUUCAAGCCGAUCCUACAGCGGGAGUAAUCGGCCGAGUCAGAGAAGGGUGUCUGUUCAUCUGAGAUUGGGUCCAGUUAAUCAAGACUGCUACCAGGAUGAAGAUGAGGGUAGGAAGACUCAAUGGUGUCCUUCUGGUAUUUUCACCAAAAAUCAGAAAAGAAGGGUUCAGAGAAUAAGGAAUAGAGAACGUCUUCAGGAGGUGCAACAGGAGAUCAGCCAUCGGCUGAAGAAAACAAAGACCAAGCAGGAGUGGCGUGUUAAGAGCACGGUCACAACAGCCGAUGAAGUUGAAGCUGACAAAGCAAAAAGAUUGCUCAAGGGUAACGCUACUGCAUCUGCAUCGGUAAACAUGGUGUUUAUGCUACCUGCCGAAUUUGAAGCUAGGCAAGCCGAUGUUGAUGAUGUUGAAGAGGCAUCUGCUAGACUGGUGUUGUCACCGGAACAGGCGAUUUUUGAGAAGUCGGAGGGGAUAGAGAAUCGGCAUCUCAAGCCAUUGUAUAUCAAUGGAUUUGUCAACGGGAAGCCGAUGUCCAAGAUGAUGGUUGAUGGAGGAGCCUCUGUGAAUUCGAUGCCAUAUGCUACAUUAAGAAAAUUGGGUAGAAAUUCAGGCGAAUUGUUGUAUUCCUUCGACCAUGCACCAGUGCUUGAUUCAAUGGCAAGGCGACAAGAUUGAAAUUGUACCAGCUGACAGGUCAGUUAACGUUGCUAGUGCUGAUUUAGCUCUUUGGGAGAUGGAUGGUAUUGAUUGCCUAUCUGGAAAAGUUUGGGAUGGAGAUUUUCUAAAAGUGUCCGAUUGUGAUAUACAAUCGAUUGAAGAUGGAGAGCCCAAAUUAUUAUUUUGAGGGCGUCGUGGAGGGUUCAAACGUCUACACCAAGGACACGGUAGAUGAUCUCGAUGACAAACAGGGACAAGGUUUUAUGUCGGCCGAUGAUUUGGAGGAAAUUGAUAUAGGUCCGGGAGAUAGACCAAGGCCGACAUUCAUCAGUAAGAAUUUAUCUCCAGAAUUCAGAACCAAGUUGAUAGAGCUUUCAAAGGAAUAUAGAGAUUGUUUUGCUUGGGAGUAUUAUCAGAUGCCAGGACUCAGCCGAUCGAUAGUUGAACAUUGGCUUCCUAUCAAACCAGGGGUUAGGCCAUAUCAGUAGUCACCAAGGAGAUGUAAAGCCGAUAUGCUUGAUGAUGUCAAGGCUGAGGUUACACGUUUGUAUGACGCUGGUUUCAUACGUCCAUGUCGAUAUGCUGAGUGGAUUUCUAAUAUUGUGCCAGUCAUCAAGAAAAAUGGUAAAGUUAGAGUGUGUAUUGAUUUUUGGGAUCUAAACAAAGCUACACCUAAGGAUGAGUACCCUAUGCCGGUUGCUGAUCAAUUGGUUGAUGCUGCUUCAGGACAUAAGAUAUUAAGUUUUAUGGAUGGCAAUGCUGGUUACAAUCAGAUUUUUAUGGCCGAAGAAGAUAUUCAUAAGACAGCUUUCAGGUGUCCUGGUGCAAUCGGCUUGUUCGAGUGGGUUGUGAUGACUUUUGGCUUGAAGAGCGCUAGGGCUACAUAUCAGAGGGCCAUGAAUUACAUAUUCCAUGAUCUGAUCGGCUAGUUGGUUAAAGUUUACAUUGAUGAUGUGGUUGUUAAAUCGAAGGAAAUAGAAAACCACAUAGCCGAUUUGAGGAAGGUUUUUGAAAGAACUAAAAAAUAUGGCAUGAAGAUGAACACAACGAAGUGUGCUUUUGGCGUAUCGGCUGGCCAGUUUUUGGGAUUUCUUGUUCAUGAGAGGGGGAUCGAGGUAACUCAAAGGAGUAUUAAUGCAAUUAAAAAGAUUCAACUUCCGGAGGACAAGAAGAAGUUGCAGGAGUUGAUCGGCAAGGUAAAUUUUGUUAGAAGGUUUAUCUCUAAUUUAUCUGGCAGAUUAGAACCUUUUACACCCUUGUUGAGGUUGAAAGCCGAUUAAGAAUUCACUUGGGGGGCAGAACAACAGAAAGCGUUGGAUAACAUUAAAGAAUAUCUUAGUUCUCCUCCAGUUUUGAUUCCUCCACAGAAGGGGAUACUUUUCAGAUUAUAUCUAUCGGCUGGUGAGAAGUCGAUCGGCUCAGUUUUAAUUUAGGAGCUUGAAGGGAAAGAGAGGGUUGUGUUUUAUUUAAACCACCGGCUCUUGGAUGCAGAAACGAGGUAUUCUCCUGUGGAAAAGUUGUGUUUGUGUUUAUAUUUCUCUUGCACAAGUUAAGGCAUUAUCUAUUGUCCAAUGAAUGCACUGUGAUAUGUAAAGCCGAUGUGGUUAAGUAUAUGCUAUUGGCUCCAAUUUUGAAGGGAAGGGUUGGAAAGUGGAUAUUUGCUUUAACGGAGUUUGAUCUUCGGUAUGAGUCACCAAAGGCAAUUAAGGGACAAGCUAUAGCCGAUUUUAUUGUGGAUCAUUGUGAUGACUCAAUCGGCUCGGUGGAUAUUGUGCCUUGGACUUUGUUUUUUGAUGGAUCAGUGUGCACUCAUGGUUGUGGUAUCGGCUUGGUUAUAAUUUCCCCUCGGGUGGCAAGUUUCGAGUUUGCCUAUACUAUUAAGCCUUAUGCGACUAACAAUCAAGCCGAGUAUGAAGCGGUUCUCAGGGGGUUGCAGUUGCUUAGGGAAGUUGAAACCGAUGCUGUUGAAAUUAUGGGUGAUUCCUUAUUGGUGAUCAGUCAAUUGGCAGGGGAAUAUGAAUGCAAGAAUGAUACAUUGAUGGUCUACAAUGAGAAGUGCCGAGAGUUGAUGAGUGGAUUUCGGCUGGUGACUUUAAAGCAUGUGUCACGAGAGCAGAAUGUUGAGGCUAUUGAUUUGGCUCAAGGGGCAUCGGGAUAUAAGCCGAUGACAAAGGAUGUCGAAAUAGAGGUUGUUGCAAUUAUAGCCGAUGAUUGGAGGUAUGAUGUGUAUCAAUAUUUACAGAACCCAUCUCAAUCGGCUUUUCGGAAAUUGCGUUAUAAGGCUUUGAAAUACACUUUAUUGGAUGAUGAGUUAUAUUAUCGAACGAUUGAUGGGAUGUUGCUUAAAUGUUUGAGUACCGAUGAAGCCAAGGUUGCGAUAGGCGAGGUACAUGAAGGAAUUUGUGGUACUCAUCAAUCGGCUCACAAGAUAAAGUGAUUGCUUCGACGUGAGGGUAUUUUUGGCCGACAAUGUUGGAAGAUUGCUUCAGAUACUACAAGGGAUGUCAAGAUUGUCAAAAGUUUGGAGCAAUUCAGAGAACACCGGCAUUGGCUAUGAAUUCGAUUAUCAAGCCAUGGCCAUUCAGAGGAUGGGGUAUGGAUAUGAUCGGCCAGAUUAGUCCUCCUUCUAGUAAGGGGCAUAAGUUCAUAUUGGUUGCGACCGACUAUUUCACCAAGUGGGUAGAGGCUAUCCCUUUGAAAAAGGUUGAUAAAGGAGAUGCUAUACAAUUUGUUAAAGAACAUAUCAUCUACCGAUUUGGUAUUCCUCAGACCAUUACAACUGAUCAGGGGUCAAUCUUUGUGUCUGAUGAGUUUGUUCAGUUUGCCGAUAGCAUGGGUAUCAAAUUGUUGAAUUCUUCUCCGUACUAUGCACAAGCCAAUGGACAAGCCGAGGCGUCUAACAAGAGUUUAAUCAAGUUGGUUAAUUAAGAGAAAGAUUUCUGAUUAUCCUCGGCAAUGGCAUACUAGGUUGGCCGAAGCAUUGUGGUCUUAUCGGAUGGCUUGUCAUGGAUCGAUUCAAGUUUCUCCUUAUAAGCUUGUUUAUGGACACGAAGCAGUUUUACCAUGGGAAAUUAGAAUCAGCUCGAGAAGGACUAAUUUGCAGAAUGAGCUGACAGCCGAUGAGUAUUAUAAUCUCAUGGCCGAUGAAAAGGAAGACUUGGUUCAAUCAAGAUUGCGAGCUCUUGCAAAAGUUACCAGGGAUAAAGAAAGGGUUGCUCGGCAUUAUAACAAGAAGGUGGUGCCUAGGUCUUUUUCUGAGGGAGAGCUCGUUUGGAAGUUAAUUUUGCUGAUAGAAACUCGAGAUAACAAAUUUGGCAAGUGGUCACCAAAUUGGGAAGGACCGUUUCAAAUCCAUAUGGUUGUGUUCAAAGGAGCUUGCAAGGGCUUGAUGGAGAAGUUUAUGGACGAGCACUCAAUGGGAAAUACUUGAAGAAAUAUUAUCCAAGCGUAUGGAUCAAUUCAUGAUCGGCCGUGUUUGCUGAUACAUGCAAAGCCGAUGUAAUUGACAUCGCUUUUAGAUGGCCGAUGCAAGUUGUAUCGCCCUUAGUUUUUUUAUCAUAAUCGGCUACGUUCUGCCGAUGUGCGAUGGCCGAUAUUUAAUAUAUCGCCGUUAGUCCAAAUUGUAAUUUUAUCAAAGCCUUCAUCAUUGUAAAAUUAGGGGGCACAUAUAUACAAAAUUAAGAAUUUUUGAGCAAAUUGAGAAGUUAUAUUAAUCGGCACAAGGGAUCAGCAAGAUAAUCAAAGUUUCUUAGCCGAUUACACAAAAGCAAUCAGAAGAAGUAUCAAAGUUUCUUAGCCGAUUACAAAAAAUUUUCUAAGCCCUAUUACAAGGAUAGUCAUUCGGACAAGUAGUGUUGGAUAGCUGAUACAGCCCGCUGUCUAAUUUGGUCUACUUCCUCGAUGGCUUGGAUGUCUUGGGCGUCGGUUCCAGGAAUGAUCUUGAGAGAUUUGGUCAAAUCAGCCACGUUCUUGAUAGCCGAUUUUAACCUCGACUUCUGCUCUUCGACAGCCUUUGGGAGAUCGGCUAACUUCUUUUGUUCCAGAGCUAGUUUGGCAUUGCAUUCCUUCAGCUGAGCUAUAAGAUCUAUCUUUCGAGCCUCAAGCCGAUCUAUACUGGUUUGAAUCGGCCCAACCGAAAGCUGAUUUAACUUAGCUUUUUCUUCAUGAACGGUGUGCCGAUUGGCUUGAAUAGUGGCUUCAAUAUCCCUUCGCUCUCGUCGAUCGGCUAUCCUCUGCUUGGCUUUUUCCAGCUUGAACUGAUGUUGCUCAAGAUAUACAGCUGGAGAGAUGGUGUUUGCCAGAUCAUUCGGGAUGAGUGCUUGAAUCUCGGCAAAUCUUGCUCGGAUUGUACCACAGUCAAUCACCAGGUUAUCCAAUGAUGCAUCUAGCCGUUGAGAUAUGUCUUCAAGGAUUUUCCUCACAUCAUCAGUCAAAGGGGGUACAACUUUACUGGUGAUGUCUUCUUCUUUCUCCUCAUCAAAAUAAUCCUUGAGUUCAAAGGAGAACAGAUCGGCUAAGACCUGCAAGGGAGAAAAUUAAAGAUGAUUAAGUAUCAAAACAUGUUAUAUAGCCGAUCUGAGGUCCUGAAGAUAAAACUUACUGGGAUAGCAGGAGCAGCUGGUUGUUCUUCUUCUACAUGGUGGCUUCCUGCAGCCGAUGCAGUAUGUUCGCUUGAGUCAGGCUACACAAGAGGUGAAGGUGGAGGAAGGAGCUAAAAAAGAUAAGUGUUAGUUGUUGUCGGUAAGGAGCAAGUUUAACAAUGCAAGGAAAAUUCAAGUUACCGAUCGGGCAGGAGAAGGGACUAGAGAUGGUAUUGGUGCCGAUUUCUUUCUGCCUGCAAGUUUCUUUUUCUACAAGAACAAGUCUUGUUAAGGAAAAUCGGCCAAUAGAAUUUAAAGUGUUGAGAUCGAAAGGUGUUUACCCUAGCUUGCCGAGCUGGAGCAAUUGGUGUUGAGGGAGUCUUUUGAGAAAUUGGGGCAUCGGCUGGUGGUGUUCGUUCCCUCGCUUCACUAAGUUCGGUUGCAGCUUCGUCGACAUCUUCUUCCAUCUCCGCUUCAUCCAGGAAUUCUUCUACAUCCGGAUCAAUAGCAGGUAGAUCAUCGGCUGGUUUAGACUUUUGCUUUUUGGCUUUCUUCUUUGUAGCCGAUGGUUCGACAGCAGAUGCUUUGGUUUUCCUCUUCUUUCCGGCAUCGGCUGGUUCUCUUAUUUGCCCUUGGAGCAAACUUGAGGUCUUGGGGGAAUGGUAGCCGAUUAUCAGAGGAGCCAAUCCACCACCAUUAGGAAGGAGGCCUGCUGGAUAUUCUAUGUCCCUGCCACUAUAACUCUUGCGAGGAGGAGAUGAUUCUGUUGUCUGCAAAUUAGAAAAAGAGAUUGGUUAAGAUGAAAAUCGGCUGAUAAAGUUGAAUAGGAACUACUAAAGUAAAAGACUUACUUGAGGAAUUAAGUCCGGGAAGAGGCUCGUCAUGUAUACAGAAGCCGAUUGAUGAAAGAGGUGCUGUUUUCAUUCACCCCACCAUAGAUCAAAGGCCCUGCUUCUGAAUUGGGCUAGCUUUAUAUUAUCAAUGGUGCCGAGAGGAGGUCCCUGGAUGUUUAGCAACCGAUCCAUCAUCAAGGUUGAUGAGAUAUCCCCUCUGCAUUGGAUUUUAUCGGCAAAAUACAAGCUGAUUGGGAGUUGGCCCAUUCCAAAUUGCCUAGCAGAAUUCGUUGGGUGGUAGAAUUCAUAAGAGGCUUGGAUAUUCCUGCCCUGAUGGAUGCCAACUGGAAGGAUACAUGGGCUAAUAGCAGCAGCGAAGACUUCUCUGGAUCUAUCAAAAUUUUCAGAAUUGAUAUCUUCAAAUCGGAAGUCCGAUGGUAGCUCAAAGUCCAUUGAGUCUUCAUAGAAGAACCAAGCUCGAGCAUUUCUUGGAAAACCAUCAUAAAAACUGAAGAACCAAUCCUUCAGUAAUUCAGCCGAUAGCUUUGCUCCAGCAUCGGCAGGUGUGGACGCAUAUUCCCUGUAUGACAUGCAUCGACAGUGCGUGCGCUCCUCUCCAUCAUCAUCAUCUAUAAUCGGCUCCAACCUUGGAAACUCAGCUUCUGUCACAGAUGGCCGAUUAACAGCUUUCAUGGCUACUAAAUUUAGCCAAGUUUGUAGCAGCCACCAUGGUCCACCUACACUGACAACUGAGCCGACAACUAUCUUAGCCGAUGCAUUGUUCAACAUUUGAUAUAGAUAUCGAGGAGGAUUUUGCCUAAAGGAAAUUGUCUCUUUCACUCUAGGGCUUCGGCUAUAUGCUGCCAGUUGGAAGUAGGACCACAGCUGGAUCCACAGAAGAGAUACUUUUCAAGCCACAUGAGGAGAAAGGCUACAUGUUCCUGAGGGGUGACAGAUCUUGUGCCCAUGUUCAUGGAGAUAAAUCCUGACCAGCCGCCUAUGCUCUUGGUCUUGAAGUCAAAGGUGUUCUUGGUGUUCAAGCUCAUAGGGUUGGCCGAUGAGGUGACAUCUAAGCCGGUUAUCAUUGUUAUGUCCAGGAGAGUGGGUGUCAUCGGCCCUUGGUUGAACAUGAAAGCGUUAAGGGUGUUGGACCAGAAGUAGGUUGCAGAGGCCAUCAAGGGUUCAUCCUUAGCCGAAUUUGCUAAGGUAAGAGAAAAGGGCUUGGUCGAUUCCUAACUCAUUCCAGUGAGUCUGCUUACUAGCCGAUACACGCUUGUACCAUACGGGCCAACUUUUCUCAGGAGUGCUUUUCUCAAGAGAGGGCCAAGACUUAAAAGUGUUCUUCUAAUGACUUAGAUCUGGGCUAACCAAUCUAAAAGGUAUCCUAUUGGUCUCGGCGCUAAUAAACUCAGUAGGGUCAGGAUUGCCGAUCAGACCAAGGAAGUACUAAUGCUCAUGAGAAAGGCUGGGAAUUGCUACCAAAUUGGAAAGGUGCUACAGAUGCAAAAAGAAUAGAGAAGAAGAAAACAAGAUGAGAUAAAGGAAAACCGAUCUACUGUACAAGAUUGAAGAUCUAGCCGAUGGGCACAUACCUCUGCAUACUCGGCCGAUGGAGUGGCAGACGGGCUGGCGGAAGUCGACAUCGUCGCGGACGGAAGAUUGAUCGGAAGGGGAGUCGCCUUGAGAUCGCCAUGCGCACUGAGGGGAUCACCGGAGAGAGAGAAGACAGAACUUGUUUCGGCGGUGAAAGUGGAAAUAAUGGUGUGAAGUUUCUCGGGGGUGACGGUUAGUAUUUAAAGCACUGCGGUAACGGUUAGAAAAAUGGCAAUGAGCGAUUUUCUUGGAGGAACAGAUAUGACAAAUCCGAAACAUUACCAAAUAUUCCGGACUUGGGGGGCAUGUGUUAACAACCAAAUUUGGUACCUGAUUGCCUGAUCUUACCUGAUUUAACUACUUUAUAUCCUAUAUGCUUGAUUAAUAUGUUAAAUCCACCAUUUAUGUUAAGAUCUUAUUGCAUUUAAGUAUAUUAAGCAUCAUGUUUGAUAUAUUUUGCUCGCUUUAAUAUCUUAAUAUAGAGUGGUAUCGGAGUAUUAGCCGAUACAUGCUAAAUCUAUCUGAUUGGCUAUGCUAUAAACGUUUAUAAUCUUCUUGUUAAUAUAUAUUUCGGUCUAAGUAGUUUAUACUGUCUCGGCAUGGCGACCGAUCUAUCCCAAUCACUUGAUUCAAAUAUAUAUCGAUAGAAGUAUUAUAUUUCGUUAAUAUCUACAGCCGAUCGAGUAGAUUUAGUUCUUUCUUGCUUAUUUAUGACUGUCGAUCAAUGCAAAGAUGACAUCGGCUCAAAGAUAAAUGAUACGUCAUCGACGACUGGCCGAUCGGCUAUCAUUUAUGGAUUUAACUAUUAUUUUCCUAUUUUUGUUUCUUGUUGAUUGCAGGAUCAAAUCAACUGGCACGCUCACGAACUUAAAGGCAAGAUUUUUGGACUUGCACUGGAGUUAAGCAGAUCUCCCAGGCCUUGUGUUUUUCACAUCAACAGAUGGUAGACAAUAAUUUAUUCCGUAAAGCCCAUUUCACGGUUCUGCAACAAUCUUCAUUGGUGGCUCCUUACAUCGAGGAGCACUUGUCUCUAGUUCGCGCCAGAAACAUCGGUAACUCCGAUGCAUGGAUUACACGGCAUCACAUUGAUACAUUCCCCGCGUGGCUGCGACAACAUCUCAUGGGUAACGAGACGAUUAACCAACAACUAGCCUUCCUGGCGAGGGGACCAUCUGGCUCGAUAGCGACAUUCCAAGGAUAUGAGAUCAAUGGGUACACAUUCUACACGAGAGCGCAAGACAUAAAGAGCACGAACCAGAACAGUGUUGUUCGUAUCGAUGCCAUGGGACACGAUGGUAAUUACGGUGCUAUCGAGGACAUAUGGGAACUUGACUAUGGACCUCUCAAGGUCCCUCUGUUCCGGGGCCAAUGGGUUAGGCUGACUGGUGGAGGCGUAACGAUUGAUGACAGUGGGAUGACAACGGUUGACCUUAACAAGGUUGGAUACUCAGACGAAUUUUUUGUCCUUGCCAAUGAUGUAACGCAAGUUUUUUACGUGAAGGACAUGUCUAGCAAAGUGCCUAACGUGCCGAAGCGCCACGUGGUUCUCCCAGGCAAAAGAAAAAUCGUCGGAGUCGAGGACAAGACUGACGAGGAUUAUGAUCAGUUUGAUGGGCAACCCCCUUUCACGGUGACGGUUGACCCUAGUAUCCUCCUAUCAAACGAAGACACCCUUUAUUCACGCAGCGAUCACAAGGAAUGAACAGUAGUGAGGAGAAAGUACGUGCGGUCAACCGUCACCGGCGAUGUAUUGCCGUAAUUGUUGUGUACACGAUGUAAACUGUUUUGGAUGUAUUGAAUAUCCAUAUAAAUCAAUUGUUGUAUGGCAUAUGUUAAUUAUGUAUGAUUAUUAGAAUUUUUAACAAAUUUAAAUCAUGCAUAUGCUAAUUAUAUAUGAUAAUUAGAAUUUUUAACAAAUUAAAAUCAUGCAUAUGCUAGUUAUAUAUGAUUAUUAGAAUUUUUAACAAUUUUAAAUCAUGCAUGUGGUAUUUACAUAUUAUAAUUAGAAUGUUUAACAAAUUUAAAUCAUGCAUAUGCUAAUUAUAUAUGAUAAUUAGAAUUUUUAACAAAUUUAAAUCAUGCAUAUGCUAGUUAUAUAUGAUUAUUAGAAUUUUUAACAAUUUUAAAUCAUGCAUGUGGUAUUUACAUAUGAUAAUUAGAAUUUUUAAAAGUUUUAAAUCAUGCAUAUGCUAGUUAUAUAUGAUUAUUAGAAUUUUUAACAAUUUUAAAUCAUGCAUGUGGUAUUUACAUAUUAUAAUUAGAAUGUUUAAUAAUUUUAAAUCAUGCAUAUGCUAAUUUUAUAUGAUUAUUAGAAUUUUUAACAAUUUUAAAUCAUAUGCUAAUUAUAUAUUAUCCACUUAAUAUAUUUUAAAGGUUUUAUCAUUAAAUUUGUGACUUUAAAUCAAUUUAAUGAAUUAUUUACUCUUUUAGAUAACCUAUAUGUAAUGAGAUUAAAUAUGCACUGUUAUUAUCUUUAGUCCCGGUUCUUAACCCUAACCGGUUUAAAAAAGAAUUUGGAAAUAGCGGGAAAAGGGCUUUAGUCCCGGUUGGUGGCUACAACCGGAACUAAAGAUAUCUUUAGUCCCGGUUGGUGAUCGCGGACUAUAUAUAUGCCCAAGCACUCGUCUUCUCCACCAACACUUAGAAGUUUUCUCUCCGAUCUAGAGCUCUCCUUCGCGCCGCCACUGCAGCUAGGGAAUCCCUCGCUCGCGCCGCCGUCGUCUCGCUGUCGUCGUCGUCGUCGCCGCCGACGCCACCGUCGAAUCUCGGGGGUGAGGCUCUCUCUCGAUCUCUCUCUCUCUCUUUCUCUUUCUCUCCAAACCGCCUCAUCGUCGUCGUCGUCAUCGCCACCAUCGACGCCCACGCCGCCGCCGCCACCGCCGCGCCACGCCACCGCCAUCGCGUCACGCCGCCGCCGCCGCCACUGCCGACGGCCACGCCGCCGCGCCACGCCACCGCCGCCGCGCGAUGACGCCACCGCCGCCGCGCCGCCACCGCUGCCGCCACGCCGUCACCGCCGCCGUCGUGCCGCGCCGCGCCGCCGUGCCACGCCACCGCCGAAGCCGCCACUGGCUUUGCCCAAGCGGUCGCGAACGAACGUGAACGAAACGAGAACGAAUGCGAACGAACGUGAACAAAACGAGAACGAACGCAAACGAAACGUGAACGAACGGGAACGAACGUGAACGAACGCGAACGAACAGGAACGAACGUGAACGAAACACGAAUGAACGCGAACGAACGCGAACGACACGUGAACGAAACGGGAACGAACACGAACGACAUGCGAACGAACGCGAACGAUAUGUGAAUGAAACGUGAACGAACGCCGAAUGAACGUGAACGAAACGUGAACGAACGGGAACGAACAUGAACGAACGCGAACAAACGGGAACGAAACCAUGAACCUAAACUUCAACUCCCCUCCGACCUAGUUUAAUCUAUCAUGCACUAAUCAAAAUAUGUUCCUUUGCAUUUAGACUAAUACAUGUUUUUUGCAUGUUGCAGAAAAGACGUCGUCGUCGUCUCUCAAGACUAAGAGGUAGCUAGCCCUCGGAGGAAUUUGCGCAGGCAAGUGAUGUAAUAUAUGAUUACUAGAGUUGGCAUAUGAUUAUUAGAGAUUUAAUAUGAUUGUUAGAGUUAGCAUAUAUGAUUAUUAGAGCUAGAAUAUGAUUAUUUAGAGUUACCAUAUGAGAUUAUUAUAGUUUUAAUAUAUGAUUAUUAGAGUUUUAAUAUAUGAUUACUAGAGUUAGCAUAUGAUUAGUAGAGAUUUAAUAUGAUUGUUAGAGUUAGCAUAUGAUUAUUAGAGUUUUCAUUUAUGAUUAUUAGAGCUAGAAUAUGAUUAUUUAGAGUUACCAUAUGAGAUUAUUAUAGUUUUAAUAUAAGAUUAUUAGAGUUUUAAUAUAUGAUUACUAGAGUUAGCAUAUGAUUACUACAGAUUUAAUAUUAUAUAUGAAAAUAUUUCUUAUAUGAACAGAUGGUUGAUCGCGAUGACGAACAGAUACUAUACGAUACAAUCACAGAGGGAAGCAGCCAGUACUAGAACGAAAAAGAGGGGAAUGAGGAUCCGAUCUUUUUCCUUCAUGUCUACUCAAAUUUUAUAAUUCCAACUACAAGAAACAAAGUUAACCUCUUGGACAGAAAAUCUCACUUUACAAGAAAUAAUAAUCGAUAUUAUGCCAUUUUUGAAAUAUUUCCUCUCUUGGUGAGCUUUAUCUAUCUUUUAUCAAUAAUCAUUUUCUCCAUGUUCAUGUGCAUGACUGUCGCGACCGGGAAAAUUGCCUUUUCCCGAACGCUAGUGUAUUAAUCCCCGUCCCAGGAAAAGCCGGGGUACACCACACAAACAUGAUAUAAAAGACACAUCUUUAUUAUAUCGAUAAUAUUUACAUUAUUACAAAGGCGCUUCAGGCCUGACAAUCAAAAAUAAACAGCAGCGGACUAGCGGGCCUAUGGCUCCAUCUUCACAGGCGCUCAACUGGGGUAUAAGCCAGGACUCCACCUAAGACAUCUUCUCCAAAGCUUCUCUUACUGAAGAGGGGAAAGAUUGAGCAAGAAUGAGUACAACCACAGUACUCAGCAAGCCACACCGGCGGAUGCACGAUUAAUGCAAGGGGGUACAAGGGGUAAUAAUAUAGGGAUUAAGCUUUGCAGUAAACAGCAUUUAAAAGUCACUUAGUUGCCCAAAGCCAUUUUAUAAAGACGAUCCUAGAGCUACCCAGUAUUAUUAAUCAAGGCCGUGAACCCACACGAACCUGCCUUAACCCAAGGCCUACGAUGAUUCAGACCGAACUGGCAACCCGACCCUGGGUCCCAGCUCGUCCCAAGCCAACCCAGGCCAUCCAUUCCACAUUUUAGUUGUUAAGCAGGUUUUAAGAAUUAAAACACUAACUUGGGUACAUUGCUAGGCUUGCCCAUAACCGAGGGCGCGGCUAUUCGAAUAGGUUUUACUCUGAUCAGAGGUGUACAUCUUUACCCACAAGACACAUCUUCCUCACGUGCAACCACGUGCCACAUACCACCACGGUAUACAGACGGAAGACGUGACAUAGUUUCCAACCCAUCCUAGCCAUAGACAAGAGUACCGACCCAAUCCCGCCUACGGCCGGAACCUCCGGGACAGGCAGGCAGGACUGAGCCCCUAGCAGCAGGGCACCAACCCUGUGCCAUGACAUCUCGACUACCGGGCCGCAGCUCGUGUAGCCUUCAUUUGCCCUGGAGAAUGUCCAUCGACCCCCGACUUCAUCCACCUCCAAUCCGUGUACUUUUGUUUAUAACCAGACUGAGCCACAAACUAAGCCUUACCCACUAGACAUGUGGAAGUACGGUAGUGCUUUGCAACAGAGGCCCGAAGACCGGUCCUUAUACGGCCGAGGUGCUACUAUCAAAACCAUGCACCCCGAGCCCAGCCUAAAACCAUUUUGGGGAUUUUGAAUAGAAAGAGCGGUGUGAAACCAAUUCCACAAUAACCAAACCAUUCCAAAGUAUCCAGGUGAUAUGAAUAUUCCCAAAGUCUAGAGUUGUAAAACCACCUAAUGUUACCUAAUUAAACAGCGAAGCAUCUACCUAAAAUCAUACUAGUGGUACCAUGAGUAGAGUAUCCACUAGUUGGGGUUUUGUUUAAUCUAGGGUGAACAAGGUAAUAAUAACAAUAACAAUAAUAAUAAGGUCAUAACAAAGGUAAAUAGGCAUGGCUAAAUAAAACAGUGAUAACGCGGGAAUUUAAAUAAAGCGACAAUGCAAUAAUUUAAAUCAAAAUAAUUUUAUAAACUGGGAUUCAAUAUGUUCAAGGAUGAUGUGACUUGCCUUGCUCGCUUUCCCAAACGCCGGCUUCAACUUCCACGAAGAGCGGAUCUUCCGAAGCUGCAGCGUCUACACGACCAAUGGAAAAGAAAAGGCUUUUACUCUAAUAAACUCCAAAUAACAAGCAGAAGCAAAGCACAAAAAUGGGUUCUUGACUUCUUAAGGAAAAAUUAGAGACUUGAACGGUCCAAUUCCGAGUUCAAAUGGCCAAGUUAUGGCCAUUUGAAGUUUAUAUGCUCUUUAAAUGGAUAUUUGCGAAUUUCUUCAUUUAAAUUUUAAUUAAAAAUCGGAUUUAUUGCGUCAGCCGGGAGAGAGGGCGCGCGGACCGGGUCCACGGGAGUGGGGCCCACGCGUCAGCCUCACGGUCCACGGUGGACCGGGUGCACGCGGCUGACGCCGGCCGGCGCCGUGGGUCCCACGCGUCAGCCGCACCCGCGGGCGCGGGCGGCUGACGGCCGGGCCCCACCUGGCAGCCGCGGGGCGCGCCCGAAGGCGGCCUCGCCGGCACGGCCGACGGGAGGCGGCGCGCCCGCGCCCCGAUGGUCGCCGGCGGCGACCUCCGGCGCGACGGAGCGGCGGCCGAGAGAGGGGAGGGAAGGGGGAAGCGAAACGGGCGGUCCUCGGCUCACCCCGGGUCGACGGCGACGACGGAAACGGCGACCGAAGCGGACAGAGGCGGCGGCGCGGCUCGGGUCGACGAGGACGGCGAUGUUCCGGCGGUCGGCGGGCGAAACGGAGGAGCGGACGGGGUCGACGAGGACGCGGCGAAGCCGAAGGAGGCGACGCCGAGAGGGGAGGAAGUCCGGAGCGACGGCGGCGGCGAACCGGAGCUCGUCGGCGACGGCGGAGAGAGAGGACGACGGCGCGGGCACGAUUCCGACGGGGAGAGAGAGCGGCGAGCGGCGGAAACGGAGGAGGGAGGCACGGGGAACGAUUAAAUAGCGUCGGGAGGGAGAGAGGGCGGCCGGAGGGGAAGGAAUCGACCGCGGAAAUCUCGGCCGCCAUUGAUGCGCCGGCGAACUUUGCGGGAAUAAAUCCGAGCGAAUCCGAGGGAGAGAGAGAGGGGAAAGAGGGGGAAAAGAGGGAGGGAAUCACGGGGAGUGAUUUCCCCCUCUUUAUGGCGCGCGGGGACGGCGGGAUGCGGCGGAUUCGGCGGCGGCGGCGGCGCUAGGGCACGGGCGGGCGGCGGGCGCGGCGCGAGGUAGGGGAUGACGGGUGGGCCCCACCCGUCAGCGAGGGUGGCGGGCGGGCCCGCCCGUCAGCGGCGCGCGCGCGGGGAGGGGGCCGAUGGGCCGCGGGGGAGAGGAGAGAGAGAGGGAGGGAAGUGGGCCGAGCCGGCCCAAGAAGGGAAGGGGAAAAAGAAGACUUUUAGGGUUUUUCUUUUUAUAAAACCUUUUUAACUUUGUUUAUUUCUUCUCAUUUAUUAUUUGUGCUCUGAAAAUUCCACUAAAAUUUGAGGGCUCCUUUUAGACCAAGGAGAAUUUAACAAAAAUUCUCCGGGUCACAUUUGAAUUUUUCUUAUACGCAUUUUAGUGUUUGCCAAUUUCUUUUCGAAUUUUAAUUAAUUCUAUUAUUCCUUUUAGAAAAUGAAUUUUAUUUCGGGAUGAAUUUAUCAGGGCGUGACAAUGACGAGCUUGAACAAUAGCGCAAAACACAAAGGCCCCUUCGAAUAACAGGAAUGGAAAAACAGAGUAAUAGAAAAAAACAUAGAAUUCUAAUAUGAAUGCAAGUUGUGGAGAUUAUGGAUAUCCCAUAUCUACACGGCGAUGAUAUUUGGGCUGAAUAUAGGAUACCGAAUAUGGAUAGAAUAUCUUAUGUGUGUCCUGAGUUUGUUUCUUAGCUUGUACAUCAAGGAAACACCUUGAGACUUAGUCGGUCACGAUUGUAUUUGAUCUGUAUCUGUGUAUUCCGUUAGGGAUAUGGAUUAUCUUUUGUAACCCGGACUCCUUCCCAUAUAUAAGGGGGGUCCGGGCGCCUCUAGGGGCAGAUGUUGGAUUUUCUCCAAAUCAUACAAUCAAUAACACACUCGGCGGAUUCAUCCCCGGACAGGAGUAGGGUAUUACUUCUUUUAUAAGAAGGCCUGAACCUGUAUAAAUCCUUUGUCUCCAAACCCAUACACUUUCCUAGCUUGAUAGCCACCCCCUUUUAUUAUUGCCGAAAUCUAGUUUCGACAGUUGGCGCGCCAGGUAGGGGAAGCGUCAAGCUUUUCGUCGAUCAGUGCAAUGGGUUCCGUUUCCGGCAUCGACGACCUCGUCUUCCCACCCGGGCAGACGUUUCGGUUCGGCAGCCUCGACUUCGUCACCAACAACUUCGGCAAGAUUUCUCUCCUCGACUCGGAAUCAGACCAGUCGGGAGAGAACCGGAUUUCGGUCCCGUUUGGAUUCCCGAACGCGGCUGAAAGCUACUUCAAGACCAUCUCAACCGAGUCGGCUUCAAACCACUCGGCCGAGAUUGCAUCUUCUCCAACAACACCAGAUCAAGAUGAUGGGGCUUACCCACCAGUCCUGAUGAAGCUCCCCGACGAUUUAACGGCCGUCUCCACCACGACAGCGUCUUCAUCCCGUAGGCCUAGGCGGAAGUCGGCUUCAACACCGAUUUCGCCUAGCUUCAGGGAAGUCGGCGUCAUCCUCCAACCACUCGGCACGGUUUCGACGGAUCAGCUGGAUGACUACAACAGCUCUCCCACCGUCGACUCACGUCCUACUGACAUCGUGGAGUACGACGAAUUUAGUUCUCGCUACAACGACUUCGACGACUUCGACGGAAGCCUAGAUGACAACUACACCCCUCUCUAUUUUGGCGUUUUCAUGGCCAAUAAUGAGACGGAGGAGCAACGCCAAGCCCGGGAGACCGAAGAACGUCGCCGACUGGAGGAGGAGCAUCAAGCACAAGAACAAGAACGGCUACGGCGUGAGCAGCAGGACCGUGAGCGGACUGCGAAGGAGGCUGAGGAUCGACGACAGCGAGCUUUGGAAGCAGGGCGCCGAGCGCGUGAUCUCAUCGGCCAACAAGAUGUCGAAGGGACACCGGUUUUCCGCACCCCUCAACAGAAUGCGGUCGCCGCGAUCACCCUUCUCGACACCCUCCUCAACCAAAACGAGCUCAAUCAAUCCGACCACGUCGUCAACAUCUUGAACCAGACGAAGACCAUGAUUGCGGCUUCGGUCCCAGUUAACUCCGAAAGCGUCCACACGCCGACUGGUAGCCGAGUCCCCCACUUCCGAUCUCAUGACUACCGUCAUCCAAGCCUCAGCAUCACCGGCGCAGGAUCCAAUCGCAGGAGCAGGGGUCACGACGAGCGGUCCAUUCACUCACCUCCCGACCAAUAUAGGGAGCGCCGAGUGGAACGGCCUCGCUCACCACCUCGUCGCCGCCCCGUCGAUCUUCGCGACACAAUCAUACAGCGCCGAGCAGCUCGAGGCUAUCAUCAUUCGCCAAACCGCCACGACGACGACCUUGACGGAGUAGCAGCCUUCACCGACGAUCUGCGUCGAGUGGAUUGGCCAGCCGGCUUCAAGCCGACUGGAAUAGAGAAGUACGACGGUACCACUAAUCCAGAAUCGUGGCUUACCGUCUACGGUCUCGCAAUCCGCGCAGCAGGAGGAGACAACAAGGCCAUGGCGAAUUAUUUACCAGUGGCUUUAGCAGAUUCCGCCCGAUCUUGGCUCCAUGGAUUGCCCCGUGGUACAAUUGGAUCUUGGGCUGAAUUACGCGACCACUUCAUCGCCAACUUCCAAGGCACCUUUGAGCGUCCCGGCACACAAUACGACCUCUACAACGUUAUUCAGAAGUCCGGAGAAUCCCUUCGAGAUUACAUCCGGCGAUUUUCUGAACAACGUAACAAGAUCUCCGACAUCACCGAUGACGUCAUCAUCGCCGCAUUCACCAAAGGGAUUCGCCACGAAGAAUUGGUCGGCAAGUUCGGGCGUAAGCCCCCCAGGACAGUCAAGCUUAUGUUUGAAAAAGCCAACGAGUACGCCAAAGCUGAAGACGCCGUCACCGCAUCAAAGCAGUCGGGUCCCAGUUGGAAGCAAAACAAGGGUACGCCGGCUACGGGAGGAGGUGGAAGUAACAAUCAUAAGGACCGCAAGCGUAAGCCUGCGGAACUUGUUGCAACCGCCAGUCACUCUUCUCGACAGCGUUCGCGCGUCAACACGUUCGACAAGAUCAUGAACUCCCAAUGCCCGCACCAUCCUAACUCCAACCACGUGGCCAAAGAUUGUUUCGUCUACAAGCAAUUCGCGGAUCAAUACACCAAGACUGCACGGAAGAACUCUGACGAAGAACAAAGCACGUCAAGGAAGAAGGACGACGGCGACACCCCGGCAGGUUUUCAAGAUCACCGCAAGGAGCUCAACCAUAUCUUCGGCGGCCCCCUAGCUUAUGAGUCUAAAAGGAAGCAAAAGUUGACCGAGCGGGAGAUCAAUGCUGUUCAGCCCGACACGCCUCAAUAUCUUCGAUGGUCAGAGAUUGCAAUCAAGUUUGACCGCUCGGAUCAUCCUGACCGAGUGGUCCACCCGGGGCGGUACCCCCUGGUACUAGACCCAGUGGUCCGUAAUGUCAAGCUUCGCAGAACCCUCAUUGACGGCGGCAGCGCACUCAAUAUCCUCUUCACCAAGACCUUGGAUGAUAUGCAGAUUCCUCGCUCCGAGCUAAAACCAAGCAAUGCGCCUUUUCACGGAGUAAUUCCAGGAUUAUCCGCAACUCCACUCGGCCAGAUCACACUCCCGGUCACCUUUGGCACUCGGGAAAACUUUCGCACAGAGAAUAUCAGCUUCGAAGUCGCCGAUUUCGAGACAGCUUACCAUGCCAUACUCGGACGCCCGGCGUUAGCCAAGUUCAUGGCCGUCCCGCACUACACUUACAUGAUGAUGAAGAUGCCUGGUCCCCGAGGAGUCCUAUCCCUACGGAGCGACAUCAAGCAAGCCGUCACAUGCGACAAGGAGAGUUGCGACAUGGCCCAAACUCGCGAGAUGGCGUCUGCCCGAGAGGAUAUCCGACUGGCUGCAGCCACGGCGAGCGAAGGAGAAGUGCCCGCUACCAAGAUUUCAAAGAGUGGAGAAAGCGAAGCCAAGACUAAGAAGAUUCCCCUAGAUCCCUCUGAUCCAACUAAAACUGCUGUAAUAGGCGCCGAGUUAGAUUAUAAAUAGGAAAGCGCGCUCAUCACCUUUCUUCAGAACAAUAAAGAUAUCUUUGCGUGGAAACCAUCUGAUAUGCCCGGUAUUCCUAGAGAGGUGAUUGAGCACUCCUUACAUGUCAAAGAAGAUGCCAAGCCUAUCAAACAACGACUCCGCCGAUUCGCACAAGACAGGAAGGACGCGAUCAAGGAGGAAUUAACCAAGCUGUUAGCAGCAGGCUUCAUCAAAGAAGUCCUUCAUCCCGACUGGCUGGCAAACCCGGUUCUAGUUCGGAAGAAAACAGGGCAAUGGCGCAUGUGUGUUGAUUAUACUGACCUCAACAAAUCCUGCCCUAAAGAUCCUUUUGGGUUGCCUCGCAUUGACCAGGUAGUCGACUCGACCGCCGGCUGUGAGCUUCUCAGUUUUUUGGAUUGCUACUCGGGGUAUCAUCAGAUCCGACUGAAGGAAUCCGACUGCUUGAAGACUUCAUUCAUCACGCCUUUUGGGGCAUACUGCUACGUCACCAUGCCGUUCGGACUAAAAAACGCAGGAGCAACUUAUCAACGUAUGAUCCAAAGAUGCUUCUCAACGCAGAUCGGCCGCAACGUUGAAGCCUAUGUGGAUGAUGUAGUCGUCAAGACCAAGCAAAAGGAUGAUUUGAUCUCGGAUCUAGAAGAAACCUUUGCGAGCAUCCGUGCUUUCAGGAUGAAAUUGAACCCUGAAAAGUGCACCUUCGGAGUACCGUCAGGGAAGCUGCUUGGCUUUAUGGUGUCUCAUAGGGGCAUCCAAGCCAACCCGGAGAAAGUUACUGCUAUCCUCAACAUGAAACCGCCAAGUACUCAGAAAGAUGUUCAGAAGCUGACUGGAUGCAUGGCGGCGCUCAGCCGAUUUGUUUCAAGACUUGGCGAGCGGGGGAUGCCCUUCUUUAAGCUACUGAAGAAAACGGAUGAUUUCCAGUGGGGACCCGAAGCACAGAAGGCCUUUGAAGAUUUCAAAAAACUCCUCACCGAGCCACCAGUCUUAGCUUCACCACGACCGCAGGAGCCGUUGUUGCUGUAUGUAUCAGCCACCUCCCAGGUUGUGAGCACAGUCUUGGUCGUUGAGCGCGAGGAAGAAGGCCAUGUCCAGAAAGUCCAGCGACCGAUUUACUUUGUCAGCGAGGUCCUAGCCGAUUCCAAAACGAGGUACCCUCAGGUUCAAAAGCUGUUAUAUGGUAUAUUAAUUACUACCAGGAAGCUAUCUCAUUAUUUUCAAGGUCACUCGGUAACGGUGGUCACAUCAUUUCCACUCGGUGAUAUACUGCACAACCGCGAAGCAAACGGACGUAUUGCUAAGUGGGCUUUGGAGUUGAUGUCUUUGGACAUAUCAUUCAAGCCCCGAAUUUCAAUCAAGUCCCAAGCGUUAGCUGAUUUUGUCGCCGAAUGGACCGAGUGCCAGGAGGAUACCCCCGCGGAGAACAUGGAGCACUGGACCAUGCAUUUUGACGGAUCCAAACGACUUUCGGGCACUGGAGCAGGAGUGGUUUUGAUUUCCCCUACUGGAGAAAGAUUGAGCUAUGUGCUUUGGAUACAUUUUUCGGCGUCCCACAACGUCGCCGAGUAUGAGGCCCUCCUUCAUGGACUGCGGAUUGCAAUUUCCCUAGGGAUAAAGCGUCUAAUAGUUCGAGGCGAUUCACAGCUGGUUGUCAACCAAGUCAUGAAAGAGUGGUCCUGCCUUGACGACAAUAUGAUGGCAUAUCGACAAGAGGUACGCAAGUUGGAAGACAAGUUCGAUGGACUCGAGCUCAGUCACGUUCUACGACACAACAAUGAAGCCGCCGACAGACUUGCCAACUUUGGAUCCAAGCGUGAGGCGGCACCCUCUGAUGUUUUCGUCGAACACCUUUAUACGCCGACAGUACCUCACAAAGAUACUACCCAAGUUGCGGGCACUCAUGACACAGCUAUGGUUGAAGUAGACUGGCGAGAGCCCCUCAUACGAUUUUUGACUUCUCAAGAACUCCCCCAAGACAAAGAUGAAGCCGAGCGGAUUUCAAGGCGGAGCAAACUUUAUGUUUUGCAUGAAGCCGAGUUAUACAAGAAAAGCCCUUCAGGAAUUCUGCAACGCUGCGUAUCUUUAGAAGAAGGGAGACAAUUGCUAAAAGACAUACAUUCUGGGAUAUGCGGAAACCAUGCUGCUGCACGCACCAUUGUCGGCAAGGCUUACCGGCAGGGUUUUUUCUGGCCUACUGCAGUGUCCGAUGCCGACAAAAUUGUGCGCACAUGUGAAGGUUGCCAAUUUUUCGCCAGACAAAUUCAUCUACCAGCUCAAGAGUUGCAGACUAUCCCGCUGUCUUGGCCGUUUGCGGUUUGGGGGCUCGACAUGGUUGGCCCGUUUAAAAAGGCAGUCGGCGGUUACACGCAUCUCUUUGUGGCCAUUGACAAAUUCUCCAAGUGGAUUGAAGCUAAACCGGUUGUCACAAUCACAGCAGAUAAUGCGCGAGACUUCUUCAUCAACAUUGUGCAUCGAUUUGGAGUGCCCAAUCGGAUCAUCACUGAUAAUGGCACACAAUUCACUGGCGGAGUUUUUAAAGACUUUUGUGAAGACUUUGGAAUUAAGAUUUGUUAUGCCUCAGUGGCACACCCCAUGAGCAAUGGACAGGUGGAGCGAGCCAAUGGCAUGAUACUUCAAGGGAUUAAAGCGCGUGUUUUUGACCGGCUAAAACCCUAUGCCGGCAAAUGGGUGCAACAGCUGCCAUCAGUACUUUGGUCUUUGCGAACUACACCCAGUCGGGCCACAGGCCAGUCACCUUUUUUCCUUGUCUAUGGGGCAGAAGCAAUGUUGCCAAGUGAAGUUGAAUUCGAGUCUUUGCGCUUUCGAAAUUUCCGUGAAGAUCGCUACGAAGAGGACCGAGUGGAUGACUUGCACCGACUGGAAGAAGUCCGCGAAGCAGCUUUGAUUCGGUCGGCUCGAUACUUACAAGGGUUGCGGCGUUAUCAUAAUCGCAAUGUUCGAUCCCGCGCCUUUUUAGUCGGCGACCUGGUUUUGAGGAAAAUUCAAACUACACGGGAUCGGCACAAGUUAUCUCCUUUAUGGGAGGGGCCAUUUAUCAUCUCUGAAGUCACCCGGCCAGGUUCCUAUCGACUUAAGCGAGAAGAUGGUACUCUCGUCGACAACUCUUGGAACAUUGAACAUCUUCGUCGUUUCUACGCUUAAGUUUAUCAUUGUACCUCCCUAUCUUGACUGUCAACAUCAAGUUUUCUUCUUGAAGUUGUCAGUUGGGGGCUAUUAUCAUAAUAAUGGAGUGUGAUCUUUUAUCAAUUCAAUUUGCUUACUUGGUUUAUCAUUGCCUUGUUCGAUUUUUCUACUUAGUCUGCGAGGACUGAAAGUUUUUAAUAGCUUCUUUGGGUUUUAGGCUCAACAAAGCUUGAUAAAAGCUUUUAAGAAAUCAAAGAUUUGGCUAGAACUAUCAAGCACAGCAUAAAUACACCAGUAUUGUACAAAUUGAGCCUCCAUUUGCUACAUUUACACUCAGUCAGAAUCAGUCCUUUCAUCAUCAGAGUUAUUAUUGCUCGGCUGAAGGUCGUUGUUGCGGAAUUGCUCUACAACAUCACUUGCAAUCUUGUCAGCCGCACUUUGAGCAUUACUGAUAAGAUCAAGAGCAGCUUCUUCACUUGUCCCGUCUGCAAAGCCAUCAAUGGUAUCAAUUUCAAUCCUCGGGUACAAGGAUUUGGUCAUCGCCAAUGCCAUACUAGCUCCCAUACUUCCAGCUUUCUUGAUAUUCUUGAAAUAUACAUCCGGUGCAACUCUCAGCUUGUCAAAGAUUUCGGUUGCGUCAAGUGCACUCGGACCACUGUUAUUAAGGAACAUAGCUUGGACGAGUGGUGUAGCGACAUUGGCGACUUCGUCUCUUGCUCCUUCAAGCUUCUUGAUCUUACCAACCAGGACAUCAAACUGAGCUUGAGAUUUGAUUUUACGGUCUACAAAACACAUUUAUAAUAAGAAUCUGCUGCAUUAAAGAGAGGACAGUUCAGAUUGUCAGCUGGCAGUACCUUCAACCUCCUUCAAGGCUGAGUCCCUUUCUGCAGCCAGUUCUGCUUUGUCUUUUUUCAAGGCUUCUAUUUGCUUCUCCAUUUGAGCCAUCCUGGUGGCUUGCGCUGUUUGAAAUCCAAAUGUUUGAGGAUCCAGUUAUGACAGCAUAAAUCAAUGGAACAGAUCUGGAAGAUUACCUUUUGAUGAACCACUCAGCUCGAAGUUGGAGUCCUGGAGCUGUGCAAUUCGCUCCCUUAAUUCCUUCUCCGUUUUCUUGGCAUGCUCCUUGGCCUCGUGUAGCUGUUCCCUAACGGCUUCAAGAGUUCCCAAAUGUGGAACCAGCUUUUCUAAGGUUGCAGUCUUGGCUUCAUUACGAAGAUGGAUUCUCUGCACGGUGGUUCAUGGAUUAGUUUUGCUAACGAGAAAACAAAGUCAUCAAAGGCAGUCACCUAGAAGACUUACAUUCACAAUGCGAGUGGCUUCUCCAAGUACUUUCUUCAGCUGGCACACUUCCUCAUCUUCUUUUUGGCGAUUUAUAACAAUGCCGGAAACUUGAGAGUUCUCGUCCCACCAUUUGAGUAAGAUAGGAGGACGAGAGUCAUUAGCUGCCUUUAUGCGGAGAAUUUCUUCUUCGUCGCCGCCUAGUGGACCUGAUGUAUUCCCAAGACAUUAGACGAACAAGCUGGAGUUAUUCAGAACGGCAUCACUUGAGAAGAUGAGUUACCUGAGGAUGUGCCUGGCUGAGCGCGAGGUGAUCCUUGCUCUUUAUCUGGAGACCCAAUCACUGAGUCAUUACCAACUUCUGGUCCUUGAGAAGUUGUCUGCGCUUCAGCUUCAGGAAUCUCUUGAUUUAGAUCUACAUCCGACUGGUUUCCAGUCGGGGGCUCUCGGGUUGUUGCAGUUUCAGUUGCUGCCGACUGGUUUCCAGUCGGCGGCUGAUCACUCGGAUUGGCCUUGUCGUCCGAAGCUUGGGCGCCAGUCGGCUGACUUUCGGCAGUCGGCUGGCUUUCGGCAGUCGGCUCAGCAUCUUUGGAUAAAUUUGGCUCUGUGGCAGCCGGAUCAGGUUCUUUUCCAGUUGGAUCUAUAUCGGAUGGUUUCCUACAAAGUGUCCUUUCGAUAUUUAGCAUAAUUUCUAUGAGAGAAGCAUGCCGAAAUAAAAUGGUAUCGAGAGGUUUAUACCUGGAAGAUGUUCUAAUCUUUGGCAUUUGACGGCCAGCCAGUUUUUUCCUGGGCAUGGUAUGCUUUGGGAGUUUGUUGGGUGUUCCUUUGUCCCCAGAUUUGUUGCUGUCAUCGUCUUCGUCGUCAUUAAGCACCAGCUUUCUCUUGCGAGGACCUGUCUGCCCAGCCGGUUUGGAGGUUUGAGGUUGUGGGUCUGACCUGAUUGUCGGCCCUCCACUUCCCUGAACGGUGUGCUGGCGAGGAGAUCGGCGCUGAGCAAUUGGGGGAUCAGAUUUCAUCAAUACGUAUUCCUGAAUGAGAUGCUUCCACAGUUAGCUAACUCAACAUGAAGAUGAAAUUAUGUUUUGACCUUGGGAUGAAGAUUUCAGAUACAUACCUGCGGAGGCGGAUUGAAUGCGUUGUAUGGUACAACUGGCAGUUGAUGUGAGUAGCUGACGACAAUAGCGUUCGAGAAUAUCUUGUACAUCCUCUCCUUCAGGAUCUUAAAAUCCAAAGAAUCUGGGUCUUCACGGUUUGGAUCAUGCUUGCCGUCAAACUCAAAUGCUGUGCGGGAUCUUUCUUUGAUUGGAGCUAAUCGGCACUUAAUGAAAUGCUGAGUGAUUUGCUCUCCCUGUAAGCCUUGCUCUUUGAGUUUCAGCAUGCGUUCCAUCAGUUCUAAGGCUUGGGCAGCUUCAUCUCCCAUGGGAAGAGAGUUCCAUGUAUCUUGGUAUACUGGGGGAAGACAGGAGUACUCAGGAAGAGCGGACUCGGGAUUUUGAAUAUAAAACCAGUUGGCGUGCCAUCCUUUAUUUGAAGUCUUGAAAGGCAUAGAGAAAUACUUCUGGCUCAGAGUGCCCCUCAGUUGAAAUCCAGCCCCACCAACUACGCAUGGUUUGUUUUUGUUCGGUUGAGGCUUAAGGAAAAAGAUUCGGCGGAAAAGAGCAAAAUGAGGUCUAAUGCCCAAAAAAGCUUCACAGACAUGGACGAAAUUUGCAAUAUGGACUAUGGAGUUCGGAUUCAAAUGAUGUAAGCUGAUUCCAUAGAAAUUUAGUAUCCCACGGAAGAACUUCGAGGUUGGAAGAGCAAAUCCACCAUAAAAGAAAUGAGAGAAGACCACGACCUUGUGUGUAUCAGGGGUCGGAAAAGCCUCACCGCACGCUGGCCGCCACCCGAUGAUCUCCUUGGCAGGGAGAACGCCGUGCGCCACCAUCUCCUUCAGGUUCUCCUCCGUCACGUCGGACGGCGCCCAUUGGCCUUCGAAGCUUUCUUUCUCUUCCGCCAUCGAUUUUCCCCGAAUGUACUGAUUUGAUUCGAGGGAUGGCUUGGGAGAGGUGAGGAAUUGAGGCGGUGGAUCACGGGAAGGAUUUUGAUCACUUUUUGAAGGUGGAUUUGAGUGGAAUGGUGAACCCUAAUUUGCCGGCGCAGCUCUGUACUGUAGCAAGGAGUGGGGAAAAUGGCGAGAGUUCCGGCGGGGAAGACGAAGUGACGCUUGGAUCUCGGAAUUUAUUGUUAAGGGUAUCGAAGGUGCAAAUGGGCCUAGGCCUGAACAGUACCUCAGCCCAAUACUUUUAACAGCGUGGCCCAUUGUGUUCCUUAGGGACUUAGGCAUUUUUUGCUUUGGCAAUUUAUGCGCACAAUAGUGUUGCCCAAUGCUGACAAAAUCCUUUUUAUGCGGUCAUAUAAUUCUUUGGAAUUAUUGCAAUGCAAAUUAAAAGGUGCCCGACAGAAAGGUGUUAUACUGCUUUUUGUCAGCUUUUUUAGGCGACAAAAGCUGUCUGGGUUAACUCGGAAUGACUUGUUUUUAUCAUAGUCAUUUCCUUGGUAUGUUAUAUACCUAUUUCCAUUGUGGUAAAUAGUCAUAGCCUAGGCUAUUAGACUUAUUUGUUACCAUAAUUUUUAUAAUAUUUGGUGGGUAAUCUUUAGAGUUUUUAUUCGGAUGCCUGUCAAGUGUGUUCAUUCGUGAACCUUUUAGAGUGUAAACCACUCGGGUUCUUUUUAUUAUGACUAAAAAGCAGUCGGCUAGAGUGCCUCUUUAGGCGCCGUGUAUGCUUUUGUCAUGUGAUGCGCGAUUGUGCUAUUAUUUUGUUCUCAACUAUAUGUUUAGCUUGUUAACUAAUCACAUAGUUGGGGGCUACACCUAAUUAGGUGCAUCUAUUCGAUGCACCAUAUUCUUUAUCUUUUCGCCCUUUACAGUCUUCGUCUUCGCUACUCGGCAGGCUUUGGCAUGACAAGUCUGAAGCACUCGGAUUAUUAUCUUUGAGAAGGCUAUGAUGGUUGACUGCAAAGGUCUCGGGGGCUACUGUGGAGAUUAUGGAUAUCCCAUAUCUACACGGCGAUGAUAUUUGGGCUGAAUAUAGGAUACCGAAUAUGGAUAGAAUAUCUUAUGUGUGUCCUGAGUUUGUUUCUUAGCUUGUACAUCAAGGAAACACCUUGAGACUUAGUCGGUCACGAUUGUAUUUGAUCUGUAUCUGUGUAUUCCGUUAGGGAUAUGGAUUAUCUUUUGUAACCCGGACUCCUUCCCAUAUAUAAGGGGGGUCCGGGCGCCUCUAGGGGCAGAUGUUGGAUUUUCUCCAAAUCAUACAAUCAAUAACACACUCGGCGGAUUCAUCCCCGGACAGGAGUAGGGUAUUACUUCUUUUAUAAGAAGGCCUGAACCUGUAUAAAUCCUUUGUCUCCAAACCCAUACACUUUCCUAGCUUGAUAGCCACCCCCUUUUAUUAUUGCCGAAAUCUAGUUUCGACACAAGUGUAAAAUAGAUGAUUGAAAAACACAUGAAUGAUUGUUUGAUUGAACAAUAGGAAAAACACAAGAAUUGGAUGAGAUGAUUCAAAGAAUUUUUUUUGCGAACUUUCAUCCUAAAUCUCUAUAGGAUUACUCAUCCCAUAGCAGUUUGAAAGGAUAAUAUAAGAUCCAAUCCCUUGUUUCAAAUGACUGUAGGAAUUUUUUCACAGGAUUAUAAUCUUACAAUUUUUUUAAUACUUUUCCUACAAACCAAGGGGUUCCCUGAGGAGGCGGUGCACUGUGCCUUCGACCUUCUUGACUUCACGUUGCUUGGGUUCGAUCGGUGGCGGCGCAUCACCGAUGGUGGCCACAGCCCACAACGCACUAGGACGGAGGAAGAGAACAAGCCUGGGUAUUCUGGUCAGCCGCAAAAAAAAAAGAUAAAAUUUAUUUUGUUUUGAGAAGAAAUUGUUAGAAUAGGUGUCGAAUAUACUAGUCCUAUUUGGUUACAGUUGGACUUAGAGUUGUAAUAGGUGUUAGGGGGUGGAGUUAGAGUCGGACUCUGUAACCCGACAUAAAUAGAGAGGGGGCACCACAAUGUAACCAUGGUGACUACAAUGUAGCGUAGACACGCAGGGAGAUGAUGGUGGCGUGGCCAUGAACUCGUAGCGGCUAGGUGCUAUAUUGGUUGGGGAGGAGCGCCCAUAAUCAGAGCCCCGGGGAUGUAGGCUUCGGCUGAACCUUGUUAACAAAUAUCGUGUGUUCCUGUGUCGUCAUCUGGCAUGUCUUGGGUGGUCAAUGAUUGAGGUGGUCAAUGAUUGAAGCGAUCGGGAAGGUUAGUGUAACGCUCCACUUUUCGUGAGGCGUUAAAAACUAAUUCGGCAAAAAUCCUAAUUGCGAAAAUUUUCGUUCUUUGUGUGCGAGUCUAAGUUGUGCCAAGAUCUCAAUUCAAAUCCGUCCUUGAUCCCUCUCGUCACCAUCACAAAUUUGCCCCCUCGAAAUUCCUCUUCCGACUCAAGUCUCCAAAUCAAACUCUGAAAUUCUAUCCCUCUCUUUGAAUCAUCGCCAAAUACUUCCCCAGAUCCAAAAUAUCCAAAACCCCAUCUUGAAUCCUCCGUCUACUCCUUCCUCUCAUCGAGAUCCCAAUUCCAAAAUCUAAGUCAAAUUCCAAGUUCAAAUUCUCUUCGAAUCAAUCCCCUCCGAAAAAGUCUAUUUUGCCUCCCUCGGAUUUUUGUGGGCCGUUUUCUCCCCCGGCCCAUCUCCCCUCCCAGCCCAUCAUCUUAACCCCCCUCGCACGUGCGUUGCACGCAUGUGAGCCGAGAGAGAGCUCUCUCGCUCUCUCGUUCUUUCUCUCUCCCGUCUUCGCUCUCUCUCUCUCUGCUCUCUCCCCUCCCGGCGCCGAUUCCCGCCGUCGCCGCCCAAAACCCGCCACCGCCUUCGCUCUUUCCCGCGCUCGCCCGCGCGUGGCAGACCGCCCGGUCGCCGCCGCAUCAGCCCUGGCCGCCUGCGCCGCACGGCCGCCCAUGCCGCCCUGCCGCUCGCCCCCACCCUGUGCGCGCGUGCGUCCAAGACGUGGAGGCAGCACGUCUCUCUGCCUCACGCGCUCUCCUCUCCCUCUCCCACCUCCUUUUUCCCAAACCGGCAUGGUAAAGCCCCCCCUUUCCACCGUCCUCCCUCUCUUUUUCCCUCCCAAGCAACGACGCCAUGCCUCCACUCCUUGGCCGCUAGCGCUCGGAGGCAGAGACGCAGACGCCAGCGCCAGCUCGCCACCCCCACCUUGACCGCGCCAGCCCGCGCUAAUCCUCCCGCUCCCGCGGUUCGAUUUUCCGCCGCUCGAUCCACCGCCUUCGCCGCCCAACGCAUCCACACCGUCACCUCCUUUGCCACCCGUGACCGCCUCUGUCACAACUUGACCGCGAGUCCGCCACCGCCUCUCCUUGAUCGCCCGUGCUCGGUUCCUUCCCCUCGAAGCUCCACAUCCCGCGCCUAUAAAACCACAGCCGAGCCCCUCCCCUCCAUCUCUCUCGUUUUCGCCCCCCACCGCGCCAUUGUAGCCGAACAACCAUCGCCGCCCUGUUGCCGCUCGACUCGAUCUCGUCGUCGCCGUCCGCCGCCGAGCACCGGAGGAACCGGUGCGUGCGUGGGCGCGUGACGAGGAGCUCCGGGCGCCACCUCUCCUCUCUUCCUCCCCGGCCGCGCCCACCCGGUGCCGUUCCGUCCCACCGUCGCGACCACCUCACCACGACUCCCUCCGAUCCGCCGACGCCGCUUCCUCUUGUCGGUGAGCUCCCCGCCGAACCCUUUCCUCCUACCGCUCGCUAUGCCGCGCCCGCCGCCGCACGCCAUAGCCUGCCGCACGAUGCGCCGCGCGCCUCGCCGUUGCUCUGUUUCCGCCGCCGCGCGCAGUCGCGCGCCGUCGUCGGGCCCCAGCUCGUCGACCACCCUCGCCAACACCGUCCUUGAGCUCCCUAGGACCUCCCCAAACCAUUCCCUAGCACCGCCGUCGCCCGGCAUGGCCUCACCGCCAUUACCGUCCGCUCCCGGAGGCCGCUGCUCGUCGCCGGCCCUCCUCAGUGCUUCUCCGCCCCAUCCGACACCGGAAACGGAUUCCUUGAACCCCGGAGAUGCUCCCACCCCUUUGAAUCGAAUCCUCGUCGUCUCGUUGUGUUUUCCCCUUUUGCUCGCCGGUGAUUGCCGCCGCCGCAAUCGACCGCCGUCGGCACCUCUCGAGCCGAUUCCUCUCGCCGCCACGCUCCCGGAGAUCCCCUUGAGCUCCCCCUGACUGUCCCUAGGCCGCCGGCCUUCUCCUUUGCCUCCGCGCCGUGUCGCCCCUUCCGCCGCCGCAUAACGCCACCGCGCGUGCGUCGCCGGUGACCAUCGGGUCCCGCGUCACCGCGUGCGCGUCGCAACCCCAUACCGGUUCGGCGAAGCCCGAGCCCGCGUGCCCUUCGCUCUUCUCGCGUGCGGCCACGUUGGCGUGUCGGCGAGAUUGGCCGCCGCCGCCGGCCGUCGUCGCGCGUCGUCUUCCCGAUCCGAGCCGUGGAAUGAGUUCCCCUUCUCCUCCUCCUGCCGCCAGUGCUAGCCGCCCCUCCGGCUUGCCGCCGUUCGCCGGAUCCCGCCGCACGCCGUGAGCCGUCCGAUGAGCCGCCCGGCCUCCUCUCCCUUCCCCAUCCGACGUGACGUCCACGUUGGCGCCACCUCAGCCGUCGGCCCCACUUGACCAAGUCAGCCGACGCCCAGUCAGCAGCCGCCCCCUCUCUCUUGCUCUUGGGCUUGGCCCAGUAGCCACCCUCCUCCUCGGCCUGAUAAGUAAGAAAACAAAGUCCACAUACACUCCCUUUGUCCAAGCCCAGUGUCCAUCACCCAAGAGCUAAAAGUCCACAAUUACUCCCUCCAAUUGCUCCUCUCUCUCUCACCUUCUUAUUGGCCCCACGUGUCAAUGAGUCAAAGAUAUUCUUGGGAAUAUCUUUUUCAAUACUCCACACAUAUUUCUCUUUUCUAGAAAUUCAAUAAAUCAUUUCCUAUAUUCCAAAUUCCAUAAACCCAUCCUCUUAAUCCGGAGAUUCCAAUAAUUCGUCCCCUCGAGCCCGUAUGUCAGUGGAUGUCAAUAAUAUUCUUGAGAAUAUUAUUUCUAUAAAUUCCAUAAACUAUUUCUCGUAUUCCAGAAAAUUCCGACAAAUCGUCUCUUUGUCCAGAAAAAUUCCUUUAAACUUCCAAAAUUCAUAUCCCUCGAUCCGUUCGUCCGAUUGCCUCCGUUCCACUUCCAGUAAUUCCGUAAAAUUGAGAUCUAUUUAAUGGCACUACUAAUUAGUCUAAAUAGGAUCCCUCUUUUGGUCUUUUGCUUAGGUUUUCAGUUGUUUGCGUACAGUUGCGGUUACCGGAUUUUCGUCGAUCGCGGGUUUUCUUGAAGAUUCGUGAAGCUUCGUGAAGACUUUGAGCAAGGCAAGUCACCCUUUGACCAAUUGCUCCUCUAAUUGGAAAAUCAUUAUUAUUUUGUUUGUAACUUGCAUUAUUAGAAUCACACACUUAACUUGCUUGGCCUCGGUUUGCGUGCCAAACCGACGGACCUACCCAGUAGUCGCACUAAUUUCCGUAGGUCGUAUUACCCUGAUUCCUUGUCGCUCCACCCUUGUGGUACCUCGGUAUUCGUGCUCUCUGAGCGCGUAUACCAAAUAUCCCACAUACACCGUUGCUUGUCGAAAACUUGGGAAAUGGGUUUGUGAAGCCUUCAAAACCCGACAUGUGGUGUCGGUGUGUUUGAAAAUAAAAUGAAUUGUGAAAACUCGCGAUGCGGGGGUUGUGCCUAUGUGGCACUGUCCCGUAUUCGCAUAUAAGGACCGAUUCCUGUGGGAAACUCAUCGAACAUAAUCAAAGUGCAACCACAAGGUGGAAUGGGACACCCUGGCUAAGUAGCUAGUCGGUUCAGGGAAACCUCGCAUGCCAAUAGUUGGGAACGCCGGGGCGGGGUCGGUUGGAGCCAAACCGGUCUCCUGGUAAGGCAAGAACGCGAAGCUUGCCAGAUUACCGAUCGAGGUGGUUGGAGUUUGAUUUGUGCACGCCUAAAAUGGCCUAUGUUUAUGUGAGGAUUUGAUCCUUCUAUGUGGCAUGAGGUAUCCCUGGGUCGGCUUGAGAAAGGCUUUGUCGCGAACCUCUGACACCGGCCAGUGUCUGGAGUAAGUUCGUGUCUUGUGGGUAAAGUGUACCCCUCUGCAGAGGUUAACAAACUGUUCGAACAGCCGUGCCCACGGUCAUGGGCGGAUGUGAGGUGGUUCCCGUUGCGUAGAUUUGUUUGCCUGUGCUUUGUGAAAAGUUGUUGUGGUGUGGGAAUCGUAACCAGAAUCAGCCUAUGUGGCAGAUGGAUGACCUGAGUGGUCAGAAACGAAUCUGUGUGAUUCGGGAUGUCUGCGGGCAUCAUAGACUAGGCUUCCCGAGUGGAAGCGGAUUGUUGUGCUGCUGGGCAGCUGGACUCUGGGAGUCCGAGAAAAUGAAAAAAGCUCUGGGAGCCGAGAAGUAAUGAUCUGACCCGGGAGGUCGGUACGUUACUAAAUGAGCUGUUGAAAAGCAUCUCAUAAAGUCGAAUCGAGACGCAAGUCUCUUUUCGCCCAAACAUAGAAAGAAAUAAAUCACUUAGUGAUUUCAAAAUGUCUUCAAAUAAAAGAUUUGCAAAACAACCUUGCCUCUCUUCCAAGCUUGCAUUAAACACCUAGGUUCCCGUGACUUGCUGAGUACGAAAGUACUCACCCUUGCUCUAUAUAAAUAUAUAUAGUUCCUCCGUCCUGAAGAGAAGAUAAAGGGAAGUGAAGAUUAGGGUUUCGUCCUGGUUCCCAGCCGUCGCCUGUGGUGUCGGGUGUUAGACCGUUGGUUCUGCUGCUGCUGCUGCUGUUGUUGGUGUUCGCCUCGUCCGUGUCGUCGGUUGCAUUCUCGGGCUGUCUGAGCUGCAACCUAAGUUAAGGUAAAUAAGUCCUCUAUUUAUUUUAAGGAUUUGCAAUGAUUCAUAUUUGUCACCGUGGGUACCAGCACUAUGUCCUGGGACUGGUACUGAGAUCGCGGUUUCGUAGGAAGCGGUUCGCGCUGUUUUUCCUACGACACGCUCCUAUCAGGUGCCGUUGUGCGGCGGUGCCGGAUUGGGGUGUGACAGUUAGUCGUCAUUCCGCUAUAUCGACUAACUUUUAUAACAAGUGGUAUCAGAGCCCAAGGUUUGGAACCGGAAUAAUUUCCAUGGGUCAUAUGGUUGGUAGGCCAGAUAACAAGUCUUCGGGGUCACAUGGGUUGAUGUGACGGGGGAGAUUGUUAGGCCCGAGGCCCAAGUAACAAGUCUUCGGGGUCACAUGGGUUGAUGUGACGAGGGAGAUUGUUAGGCCCGAUGUAUGACGGGGGAGAUUGUUGGGUUUAGUCCCACAUCGGUAAUUGAUGGUAGGGGAGCAUGACUUAAAAGGUGGGGGCGGUCCUCACCCAUCAGACUAGUCUUUUGGGUUGUGUACGCUCAGGACCUAAAGUUGUGGCUCCGGUUGCGCCUGUGGUGGAGCAGGCCGGCCGGCAUUGAGCUAGCGAGCUUGUUAACUACUCCCGCGCUUUUAACUGUGAGCGAGUCUACCAUACAUCCUUCUCGUACGUCGGCUUCCUGAGCUGUGGAAACCGACAGACCAAUCUUGCUGCGGCACUGCUACAGUGCAGUAGACAACGACCACUUGACAUUUGUGAGCUGUGGAUGUGGUUUACCGCGUCCAUCUUCUGUUUCCAUACACCGAUUGAUUGUGCUAUUCUCAACUGGGCCUACAAACGUCUUCUCUAGGCGUCAUGCUUUUUGUGGAGAUUAUGGAUAUCCCAUAUCUACACGGCGAUGAUAUUUGGGUUGAAUAUAGGAUACCGAAUAUAGAUAGAAUAUCUUGUGUGUAUCUCGGGUUUGUUUCUUAACUUGUACGUAAAGGAAAUACCUUGAGAUCUAGUCGGUCACGACUGUAUUUUAUCUGUAUCUGCCUAUUCCGUUAGGGAUAUAGAUUAUCUUUUGUAACACGGACUCCUUCCCAUAUAUAAGGGGGGUCCGGGUGCCUCUAGCGGCGGAUGUUGAUUUUCUCCAAAUCAUACAAUCAAUAACACACUCGGCGGAUUCAUCCCCGGACAGGAGUAGGGUAUUACUUCUUUUAUAAGAAGGCCUGAACCUGUAUAAAUCCUUUGUCUCCAAACCCAUACACUUUUCCAGCUUGAUAGCCACCCCCUUUUAUUAUUGCCGAAAUCUAGUUUCGACAGUUGGCGCGCCAGGUAGGGGUAGCGUCAAGCUUUUCGCCGAUCAGUGCAAUGGGUCCCGUCACCGGCAUCGACGACCUCGUCUUACCACCCGGGCAGACGUUUCGGUUCGGCAGCCUCGACUUCGUCACCAACAACUUCGGCAAGAUCUCUCUCCUUGACUCGGAGUCGGACCAGUCGGGAGAGAGCCGGAUCUCAGUCCCGUUUGGAUUCCCAAACGCGGCUGAGAGUUACUUCAAUACCAUCUCAACCGAGUCGGCUUCAAACCACUCGGCUGAGAUCGCAUCUUCUCCAAUGUCACCAGAUCAAGAUGAUGGGGCUUACCCACCGAUCCUGAUGAAGCUCCCCGACGAUUUGACGGCCGUCUCCAUCACGACAGCGUCUCCUUCCCGUAGGCCUAGGCGGAAGUCGGCUUCGACACCGAUUUCGCCUAGCUUCAGGGAAGUUGGCGUCAUCCUCCAACCACUCGGCACGAUUUCGACGGAUCAGCUAGAUGGCGACUACAGCUCUCCCACCGUCGACUCGCGCCCCACCGACAUCGUGGAGUACGACGAGUUUAGUUCUCGCUACCACGACCCGGAUCUCGACGACUUCGACGGAAGCCUAGAUGACAACUACACCCCUCUCUACUUUGGCGUCUUCAUGGCCAAUAACGAGACGGAGGAGCAACGCCAAGCCCGGGAGACCGAAGCGCGUCGCGAGACUGAGCGCCGCCGACUGGAGGAGGAGCAUCAAGCACAAGAACAAGAACGGCUACGGCGUGAGCAGCAGGACCGUGAGCGGACCGCGAAGGAGGCUGAGGAUCGACGGCAGCGAGCUUUGGAAGCAGGGCGCCGAGCGCGUGAUCUCAUCGGCCAACAAGAUGUUGAAGGGACACCGGUUUUCCGCACCCCUCAACAGAAUGCGGUUGCCGCGAUCACCCUCCUCGACACCCUCCUCAGGGAAAACGAGCUCAAUCAAUCUGAUCACGUCGUCAACAUCUUGAACCAGACGAAGACCAUGAUUGCGGCUUCGGUCCCAGUUAACUCCGAAAGCGUCCACACGCCGACUGGUAGCCGAGUCCCCCACUUCCGAUCUCAUGACUACCGUCAUCCAAGCCUCAGCAUCACCGGCGCAGGAUCCAAUCGCAGGAGCAGGGGCCACGACGAGCGGUCUGUUCACUCACCUCCCGAUCACCAUAGGGAGCGCCGAGUGGAACGGCCUCGCUCACCACCUCGUCGCCGCCCCGUCGAUCUUCGCGACACAAUCAUACAGCGCCGAGCAGCACGAGGCUAUCUUCACUCGCCGGACCGCCACGACGACGACCUUGAUGGAGUAGCAGCCUUCACCGACGACCUGCGUCGAGUGGAUUGGCCAGCCGGCUUCAAGCCGACUGGAAUAGAGAAGUACGAUGGUACCACUAACCCAGAAUAGUGGCUUACCGUCUACGGUCUCGCAAUCCGCGCAGCAGGAGGAGACAGCAAGGCCAUGGCGAACUAUUUACCAGUGGCUUUAGCGGAUUCCGCCCGGUCUUGGCUCCAUGGAUUGCCCCGUGGUACAAUUGGAUCUUGGGCCGAAUUACGCGACCACUUCAUCGCCAACUUCCAAGGCACCUUCGAGCGUCCCGGCACACAAUACGACCUCUACAACGUUAUUCAGAAGUCCGGAGAAUCCCUUCGAGAUUACAUCCGGCGAUUUUCUGAACAACGUAACAAGAUCUCCGACAUCACCGACGACGUCAUCAUCGCCGCUUUCACCAAAGGGAUUCGCCACGAAGAAUUGGUCGGCAAGUUCGGGCGCAAGCCUCCCAGGACAGUCAAGCUCAUGUUUGAAAAAGCCAACGAGUACGCCAAAGCUGAAGACGCUGUCACCGCAUCAAAGCAGUCGGGCCCGAGUUGGAAACCAAAAAAGGAUACGCCGGCUCCGGGAGGAGGUGGAAGUAACAAUCAUAAGGACCGCAAGCGUAAGCCUGCGGAACUUGUUGCAACUGCUAGUCACUCUUCUCGACAGCGUUCGCGCGUCAACACGUUCGACAAGAUCAUGAACUCCCAAUGCCCGCACCAUCCUAACUCCAACCACGUGGCCAAAGAUUGUUUCGUCUACAAGCAAUUCGCGGAUCAAUACACCAAGACUGCACGAAAGAACUCCGACGAAGAACAAAGCACGUCGAGGAAGAAGGACGACGGCGACGCCCCGACUGGAUUUCAAGACCACCGCAAGGAGCUCAACCAUAUCUUCGGCGGCCCCCUGGCUUAUGAGUCUAAACGGAAGCAAAAGUUGACCGAACGGGAGAUCAAUGCUGUUCAUCCCGACACGCCCCAAUUUCUUCGAUGGUCAGAGAUUGCAAUCAAGUUUGACCGCUCGGAUCAUCCUGACCGAGUGGUCCACCCGGGGCGGUACCCCCUGGUACUAGACCCAGUGGUCCGUAAUGUCAAGCUUCGCAGAACCCUCAUCGACGGUGGCAGCGCACUCAAUAUCCUCUUCGCCAAGACCUUGGAUGAUAUGCAGAUUCCUCGCUCUGAGCUAAAACCAAGCAAUGCGCCUUUUCACGGAGUAAUUCCAGGAUUAUCCGCAACUCCACUCGGCCAGAUCACUCUCCCGAUCACUUUUGGCACUCGGGAAAACUUUCGCACAGAGAAUAUCAGCUUUGAAGUCGCCGAUUUCGAGACAGCAUACCAUGCCAUACUCGGACGCCCGGCGUUAGCCAAAUUCAUGGCCGUCCCGCACUACACUUACAUGAUGAUGAAGAUGCCUGGUCCCCGAGGAGUCCUAUCCCUACGGAGCGACAUCAAGCAAGCCGUCACAUGCGACAAGGAGAGUUGCGACAUGGCCCAAACCCGCGAGAUGACGUCUGCCCGAGAGGAAAUCCGACUGGCUGCAGCCACGGCGAGCGAAGGAGAAGUGCCCGCUACCAAGACUUCAAAAAGUGGAGAAAGCGAAGCCAAGACUAAGAAAAUUCCCCUAGAUCCUUCUGAUCCUACUAAAACUGCUGUAAUAGGCGCCGAGUUAGAUUGUAAAUAGGAAAGCGCGCUCAUCACCUUUCUUCAGAACAAUAAAGAUAUCUUUGCGUGGAAACCAUCUGAUAUGCCCGGUAUUCCUAGAGAGGUGAUUGAGCACUCCUUACAUGUCAAAGAAGACGCCAAGCCUAUCAAACAGCGACUCCGCCGAUUCGCACAAGACAGGAAGGACGCGAUCAAGGAGGAAUUAACCAAGCUGUUAGCAGCAGGCUUCAUCAAAGAAGUCCUUCAUCCCGACUGGCUGGCAAACCCGGUUCUAGUUCGGAAGAAAACAGGGCAAUGGCGCAUGUGUGUUGAUUAUACUGACCUCAACAAAUCCUGCCCUAAAGAUCCUUUUGGGUUGCCUCGCAUUGACCAGGUAGUCGACUCGACCGCCGGCUGUGAGCUUCUCAGUUUUUUUGGAUUGCUACUCGGGGUAUCAUCAGAUCCGACUGAAGGAAUCCGACUGCUUGAAGACUUCAUUCAUCACGCCCUUCGGGGCAUACUGCUACGUCACCAUGCCGUUCGGACUAAAAAAUGCAGGAGCAACUUAUCAACGUAUGAUCCAGAGAUGCUUCUCAACACAGAUCGGCCGCAACGUUGAAGCCUAUGUGGAUGAUGUAGUUGUCAAGACCAAGCAAAAGGAUGAUUUGAUUUCGGAUCUGGAAGAAACCUUCGCGAGCAUCCGCGCUUUCAGGAUGAAAUUAAACCCUGAAAAGUGCACCUUCGGAGUACCGUCAGGGAAGCUGCUUGGUUUUAUGGUGUCUCAUAGGGGCAUCCAAGCCAACCCGGAGAAACCGCCAAGUACCCAGAAAGAUGUUCAGAAGCUGACUGGGUGCAUGGCGGCGCUCAGCCGAUUUGUUUCAAGACUUGGCGAGCGGGGGAUGCCCUUCUUUAAGCUGCUGAAGAAAACAGACGACUUCCAGUGGGGACCCGAAGCACAGAAGGCCUUCGAAGAUUUCAAGAAACUCCUCACUGAGCCACCAGUCUUAGCCUCACCACACCCGCAAGAGCCGUUGUUGCUGUAUGUAUCAGCCACCUCCCAGGUUGUGAGCACAGUCUUGGUUGUUGAGCGCGAGGAAGAAGGCCAUGUCCAGAAAGUCCAGCGACCGAUUUAUUUUGUCAGCGAGGUCCUAGCCGACUCCAAAACGAGGUACCCUCAGGUUCAGAAGCUGUUAUAUGGUAUUCUAAUUACUACCAGGAAGCUAUCUCACUACUUUCAAGGUCACUCGGUAACGGUGGUCACAUCAUUUCCACUCGGUGAUAUAUUGCACAACCGCGAAGCAAACGGACGGAUUGCAAAGUGGGCUUUGGAGUUGAUGUCUUUGGACAUAUCAUUCAAGGCCCGAAUUUCGAUCAAGUCCCAGGCGUUAGCCGAUUUUGUCGCCGAAUGGACCGAGUGCCAGGAGGAUACCCCCGCGGAGAAGAUGGAGCACUGGACCAUGCAUUUUGACGGAUCAAAACGACUUUCGGGCACUGGAGCAGGAGUGGUUUUGAUUUCCCCAACUGGAGAAAGAUUAAGCUAUGUGCUUUGGAUACAUUUUUCGGCAUCCCACAACGUCGCCGAGUAUGAAGCACUCCUUCAUGGACUACGGAUUGCAAUUUCCCUAGGGAUAAAGCGUCUAAUAGUUCGAGGUGAUUCACAGCUGGUUGUCAACCAGGUUAUGAAAGAGUGGUCCUGCCUUGACGACAAUAUGAUGGCAUAUCGACAAGAGGUACGCAAAUUGGAAGAUAAGUUCGAUGGACUCGAGCUCAGUCAUGUUCUUCGACACAAUAAUGAAGCCGCCGAUAGACUUGCCAACUUUGGAUCCAAGCGCGAGACGGCACCCUCUGAUGUUUUCGUCGAACACCUUUAUACGCCGACAGUACCUCAGAAAGAUACUACUCAAGUUGCGGGCACUCGUGACGUUGCUAUGGUUGAAACCGACUGGCGAGAGCCCCUUAUACGAUUUUUGACUUCUCAAGAACUUCCCCAAGACAAAGAUGAAGCCGAGCGGAUUUCAAGGCGGAGCAAACUUUAUGUUAUGCAUGAAGCUGAGUUAUACAAGAAAAGCCCUUCGGGAAUUCUGCAACGCUGCGUAUCUUUAGAGGAAGGGAGACAAUUGCUGAAAGACAUACAUUCUGGGAUAUGCGGAAACCAUGCUGCUGCACGCACCAUUGUUGGCAAAGCUUACCGGCAGGGUUUUUUCUGGCCUACUGCAGUGUCCGACGCCGACAAAAUUGUGCGCACAUGCGAAGGUUGCCAAUUUUUCGCCAGACAAAUUCAUCUACCAGCUCAAGAGUUGCAGACUAUCCCGCUGUCUUGGCCGUUUGCGGUUUGGGGGCUCGACAUGGUUGGCCCGUUUAAAAAGGCAGUCGGCGGUUACACGCAUCUCUUUGUGGCCAUUGACAAAUUCUCCAAGUGGAUUGAAGCUAAACCGGUUGUCACAAUCACAGCUGAUAACGCUCGAGAUUUCUUCAUCAACAUUGUGCAUAGAUUUGGAGUGCCCAAUCGAAUCAUCACUGAUAAUGGCACACAAUUCACUGGUGGAGUUUUUAAAGACUUUUGUGAAGACUUCGGAAUUAAGAUUUGCUAUGCUUCAGUGGCACACCCCAUGAGCAAUGGACAGGUGGAGCGAGCCAAUGGCAUGAUACUCCAAGGGAUUAAAGCACGUGUUUUUGACCGGCUAAAACCCUAUGCCGGCAAAUGGGUGCAACAGCUGCCAUCAGUACUUUGGUCUUUGCGAACUACACCCAGUCGGGCCACAGGCCAGUCACCUUUUUUCCUUGUCUAUGGGGCAGAGGCAAUGUUGCCGAGUGAAGUUGAAUUCGAGUCUUUGCGCUUUCGAAAUUUCCGUGAAGAACGCUACGAAGAGGACCGAGUGGAUGACUUACACCGAUUGGAAGAAGUCCGUGAAGCAGCUUUGAUUCGGUCGGCUCGAUACUUACAAGGGUUGCGGCGUUAUCAUAAUCGCAAUGUUCGAUCCCGUGCCUUUUUAGUCGGCGACCUGGUUUUGAGGAAAAUUCAAACUACACGGGAUCGGCACAAGUUAUCUCCUUUAUGGGAGGGGCCAUUUAUCAUCUCUGAAGUUACCCGACCAGGUUCUUAUCGACUCAAGCGCGAAGACGGUACUCUCGUCGACAACUCUUGGAACAUUGAGCAUCUUCGUCGUUUUUACGCUUAAGUUUAUCAUUGUACUUCCCUAUCUUGACUGUCAACAUCAAGUUUUCUUCUUGCCGUUGUCAGUCGGGGGCUAUCAUCAUAAUAAUGGAGUGUGAUUUUUUAUCAAUUCAAUUUGCUUGCUCGGUUUAUCAUUGCCUUGUUUGGUUUUUUCUACUUAGUCUGCGAGGACUGAAAGUUUUUAAUAGCUUCUUUGGGUUUUAGGCUCAACAAAGCUUGAUAAAAGCUUUUAAGAAAUCAAAGACUUGGCUAGAACUAUCAAGCACAGCAUAAAUACACCAGUAUUGUACAAAUUGAGCCUCCAUUUGCUACAUUUAUACUCAGUCAGAAUCAGUUCUUUCAUCAUCAGAGUUAUUGUUGCUCGGCUGAAGGUCGUUGUUGCGGAAUUGAUCUACAACAUCACUUGCAAUCUUGUCAGCCGCACUUUGAGCAUUACUGAUAAGAUCAAGAGCAGCCUCUUCGCUUGUCCCGUCUGCAAAGCCAUCAAUGGUGUCAAUUUCAAUUCUCGGGUACAAGGAUUUGGUCAUCGCCAAUGCCAUGCUAGCUCCCAUACUUCCAGCUUUCUUGAUAUUCUUGAAGUAUACAUCCGGUGCAACUCUCAGCUUGUCAAAAAUUUCGGUUGCGUCAAGUGCACUUGUGUCGCGACCGGGAAAAUUGCCUUUUCCCGAACGCUAGUGUAUUAAUCCCCGUCCCAGGAAAAGCCGGGGUACACCAUACAAACAUGAUAUAAAAGACACAUCUUUAUUAUAUCGAUAAUAUUUACAUUAUUACAAAGGCACUUAAGGCCUGACAAUCAAAAAUAAACAGCAGCGGACUAGCGGGCCUACGGCUCCAUCUUCACAGGCGCUCAACUGGGGUAUAAGCCAGGACUCCACCUAAGACAUCUUCUCCAAAGCUUCUCUUACUGAAGAGGGGAAGGAUUGAGCAAGAAUGAGUACAACCACAGUACUCAGCAAGCCACACCGGCAGAUGCAUGAUUAAUGCAAGGGGGGUACAAGGGGAUAAUAAUAGGGGUUAGGUUUUGCAGUAAACAGCAUUUAAAAGUCACUUAGUUGCCCAAAGCCAUUUUGUAAAGACGAUCCUAGAGCUACACAGUAUUAUUAAACAAGGCCGUGAACCCUCACGAACCUGCCUUAACCCAAGGCCUACGAUGAUUUGGACCGAACUGGCAACCCGACCUGGGUCCCAGCUCGUCCCAAGCCAACCCAGGCCAACCAUUCCAUAUUUUAGUUGUUGAGCAAAUUUUAAGAAUUAAAACACUGACUUGGGUACAUUGCUCGGCUUGCCCAUAUCCGAGGGCUCGGCUAUUCGAAUAGAUUUACUCUGAUCAGAGGUGUACAUCUUUACCCACAAGACACAUCUUUACUCCGCAUUCCAUGGCCUUGGAACCCGUCGUAAAGAUGUGACAUAACCCUUCACCCAUCCUAGCCGUGAACAAAAGUACCGACCCAACCCUGCCUACGGCCGGUAUCCCGGGACAGGCAGGCCAGGGUUGAGCCCCUAGCAACAAGAUCUAGACCGGGUGCGCCACACACAUAGGGGUGAGGCCACCCGCGUACUAGUCCAGUGCCAUGGCAUCUCGACUAACGGGCACCGACCCGUGUAGUCUUCAUUUGCCUAGACAUCUCGAUUACCGAGCCGCAGCUCGCGUAGCCUUCAUUUGCCUCAGAGAUAUCCAUCGUCGCAACGACUUCAUCCAUCUCUAUCCGUGUCCUUUUGUUCAGGACUAGACUGAGCACCGAGUUAAGCCUUACCCAUUAGACAUGUGGUUAGUACGGUAGUGCUUUGCAACAGAGGCCCGAGCUUAAUCCUUAUAGUGGCCGGGGUGCUACUUCCCAUAACUGGCAUGCACCCAAACCCCACCGAAAACAGGUUUUGGGGGUUUUGAAAGAGAAAGAGAGGUGUAUGUCCAAUUCCACCAUAAUCCAACAAUUCCAUAGUGUCCAAAUGAUAUGAGAAUUCCCAAAGUCUAAAGUUAUAAAACCACCUAAUGUUGCCUAAUUAUUCAGCGAAGCAUCUACCUAAAUUUAUACUAGUGGAACCAUGAAUAGAGUACCCACUAGUUGGGGUUUUUAUUUUCCUAGGGUGAACAAGGUAAUAAUAACAAUAGCAAUAAUAAUGUCAUAACAAAGGUAAAUAGGCAUGGCUAAAUAAAACAGUGGUAACGCGGGAAUUUAAACAAAGCGAUAAUGCAAUAAUUUAAAUCAAAAUAAUUUUAUAAACUGGGAUUCAAUAUGCUCAAGGGUGAUGUGACUUGCCUUGCUCGCUUUCCCAAACGCCGGCUUCAACUUCCACGAAGAGCGGAUCUUCCGAAGCUGCAGCGUCUACACGACCAACGGAAAAGAAAAGGCUUUUACUCUAAUAAACUCCACACAACAAGCAGGAACAAAGCACAAAAAUGGGUUCUUUACUUCUUAAGGAAAAAUUAGAGACUUGAACGGUCCAAUUCCGAGUUCAAAUGGCCAAGAUAUGGCCAUUUGAAGUUUAUAUGCUCUUUAAAUGGAUAUUUGCGAAUUUCUUCAUUUAAAUUUUAAUUAAAAAAAUCGGGUUUAUUGCGUCAGCCGAGGGAGAGGGCGCGCGGACCGGGUCCACGGGAGUGGGGCCCACGCGUCAGCCCCUCGGUCCACGGUGGACCGGGAGCACGCGGCUGGCGGCGGCCGGCGCUGUGGGUCCCACGCGUCAGCCGCACCCGCGGGCGCGGGCGGCUGACGGCCGGGCCCACUUGGCAGCCGCGAGGGCGCGCCGAAGGCGGCCUCGCCGGCACGGCCGACGGGAGCGGCGCACCCGCGCCCCGAUGGUCGCCGCCGGCGACCAACGGCGCGGCGGAGCGGCACCCGAGAGAGAGGAGGGAAGGGGGAAGCGAGGGGGACGGUCUUCGGCUCACCCCGGUCGACGGCGACGACGGGAACGGCGGCCGAAGCGGAAGAAGGCGGCGGCGCGGUUCGGGAUGACGAUGACGACGGUGCUCCGGCGGUCGGCGGGCGAAACGGAGAUGCGGACGGGGUCGACGGGAACGCGGCGAAGCCGAUGGAAAUGACGCCGAGUCGGAAGGACGUCCGGAGCGACGUCGGCGGCGAACCGAAGGUCGACGGCGACGGCGGAGAGAGAGGAGCACGGCGCGAGCACGAAUCCGACGGCGAGAGCGAGCGGCGAGCGGCGGAAACGGAAGAGCGAAGCACGGGGAUCGAAUAUAUAGCAACGGGAGGGGGAGAGCGCGGCCGGGGAGAGAGGAAACCGCGCGCGGAGAUCUCGGGCGCCAUUGAAGACGCCGGCGAACUUCGCGGGAUGAAUCCGGACGAAUCCGAGGGAGAGAGAGAGGGAAAAGAGGGGGAAUCGGGAGAGGGAAACGCGGGGAGUAAUUCCCCCCUCUUUAAUGCGCGCGGGGACGGCGGGAUGCGGCGGAAUCCGCGGCGGCGGCGGCGCUAGGGCACGGGCGGGCGGCGGGAGCGGCGGGAGGAAGGCGAUGACAGGUGGGCCCCACCCGUCAGCGAGGGCGGCGGGCGGGCCCGCCUGUCAGCGGCGCGCGCGCGGGGGAGGCCGAUGGGCCGCGGGGGAGAGGAGAGAGAGGGAGGGAGAGUUGGGCCGAGCCGGCCCAAGAAGGGAAGGGGGGGAAAGAAGACUUCUUUUAGGGUUUUUCUUUUUAUAAAACCUUUUCAACUUUGUUUAUUUCUUCUCAAUUAUUAUUUGUGCUCUGAAAAUUCCACUAAAAUUUGAGGGCUCCUUUUAGACCAAGGAGAAUUUAACAAAAAUUCUCCGGGUCACAUUUGAAUUUUUCUUGUACGUAUUUUAAGGUUUGCCAAUUUCUUUUCGAAUUUUAAUUAAUUCUAUUAUUCCUUUUAGAAGAUGAUUUUUAUUUUGGGAUGAAUUUAUCAGGACGUGACAAAUCCACCCCCCUUACAAGAAUCUCGUCCCCGAGAUUCGAGGAGGCUAGCAAGAAGAUAGGUUGGGCGGGCUUCUCUUCUUGUCUGACUUCUUCCGUUGCGUCUUGACGAACUUCCAGCAAAACUUUACCACUCGGAACUGCUUGGCUUGACCUCCUGUUGCGGAUGGAAUCUUCUCUUCACCUGACUUGGACCAGGGUGCACCUUUUGGCUGACUCAGACUAGGUUGCGGUAGUUCUGUGAUGCUUCCGUUCCAGAACUUCUCAUGAUUCAUAUCUUCGGAGUCAACCUCGGACAAGUUAUCAACUUCAUGUCAUGCGUCGUAACCUGCUUGUCAUUACUAGGAUACCAUGCUUGUUAUUUGCUUCUAACUCGCCACCAACUGCCUCAUAUUAGCUUCCCUGGUCUCCGGGUGAUAGCUACUUCUGCUAUUUGAUGCAAGGGUCAACCACUCUAACUAUAAGUUAUGCUUCCCAAGAGAACCAAUUCAUCCCACUUGACAUACUUUGACGUCUUCUUCAAUGGCUUUAUUGCUGGAUUUGUUAUUGUCUAAUCAUUACCCUGUCGAAUCUGAGGCUUCGUUGUUAGAUGUGCUUUUAAUCUGACCUCUGUAGAUUAUCUUCGAACAUAUCACUUGGUUCAUAACUGGGAAUAGCUCCCACGAACAAGCAACUCAGAUUCACUUUCUUUAUGUUCAGUUUACUUUCCGCUAUUCUCUUCAUGUUGUCAUCAGUUAGCACUCAACGUAUUCCUUUACACCUUUAACCUUGAUGAGUUCUUUCCCGUUGGAUCAUCUCCCAGGACAUGGCGUUGCCUGGUAACCGGUGCUUGCAUUUUUCACUCCGUGUAGCAUCUGAUACCGAGUGGAAGAUUUCACUCUUUGCCUUCAUAGAAACACUUUUACCUAGGUCAUCUUGCUUACUUAAUGACAAGGUGACUGUUGCGGGGCAAUUACAAUCAGGGGUCUUCCUUGAGCGAUGCAGAGCAUGUUUCUAUUUAUCAAUCACCUUUCGGCCUACUUCUUUCAUGCUAGAGAACAUCUUUGCCAAUCUCUUUUAUCAAUCAUCUUUCGGCUUAUCUCUAACAGGUGGUAUUCUUUAAUGUGGAUUGCGGACGCUUCUGGGGACGAUGAGGUCCUUUGGCUUGCUGCCUUUCAGUGAAACCUUGAUGUGGUGCGUCAAAAGCUGCACUGACUACCUUCAGGGAAAUACAUUGCCUGCUAUCUGUAUCUAUACCACUAGGGUUUAAUUUCCGAUGGUCAUCUUUAGUGCUUCCUCGAGAUGGGGAGCAUCCAAAUUGUUCUUCUGCCACAUCACCUUUGACCUUUUUCUGAUACCAGAUAAACUAAUUACCAACCAUCGACUAUUAUGUUCUCAAAUAUUGAUGUCUCCUGGAUCUCCUUAUCUGUUGGCAGGUAUAUCCGAUCUUAUCAAUGUAGAGGCAUGGCGGGUACCCUUCGGGGUUUCCUCCAACAAUCCUUAUCUUGAUCUGUAAAAGGCGUAUCCGAACUCCUAUCCUCAACUACUGUCUCGUUGGCUUUUUAACCCAACACAGUUUAAUUGUUUUUCUUUUCCAUCCACAGGUUGGCUAUUAACUCGAGGUUAGAAUAUAGUUCCUCUAACACGAGACCCUAGGUCUCCUUUGUCAGUAAACAAUUAUACACAUGAUCACAUAUCCGCAUCUUUCAAACGAAUCCUCAUGGAACUUGUCUGUAUUACACAUUUCUCCCUCAUUACAUGAAUACGAGGCACUACCUUAAACAAAAAGGGACGGUGCUUAACAUCGGUACAUUGUAUUCUCAAUAUGAAUCAUCCAUAAGCAUAGCAAGCUCACUGUUUAUAGACAUGAAUAUGAUUGCUGCAAACUUUCGAUUACACCAUGAUAAGUAGCGGACUGAAAACCACAAACAUGGCUGCUCAUUUUGAUUCUGGAGAGAUAUAGCUGGCAUUGUUCCAGUGACUGCAUCCUCGAUUGGUUCUGUGAUGAUGUGAUAGGACUGCAUACUGCUAUCAUUCACAGGAGAAGCUUCCUUCUGAUUGCUGGUUGAAGCGGAUGACGGUCUUCUGCUUGGUAUCGCCCUCCGGAGGUUGAUUGCCCUUGGCUCGGCCUGGAGUAGGUCGGGGAGAGACACAACUUCUUCCAUCUACGACAAUUCUUUGCUGAGGCUGUCGAUGCAGAGAAUGGUUGCUAAGAUUUAUUGCCGAGUCAGGUGCAGCAGGAGGAGCAUUGGUGCAUUGUUUCUGCUAUGGGUUCUGAUUAACACGAGGCCUUACGGGUACGGCGUUUGCUCCAGUGACCACAAUACGAUUGGAAUGUCUGCUUCGUGUAAAUUGGCGGUAAUGUGGAGGUCGAUUUUGCCUUGGUUGGGGACAGUUUUUGGAGUAAUGCCCUUCUUCACUGCAGUUGUAACAAACAAUAACUUUCUUACACUCGGGUUCUUCAUCUUGUACUUGAUUUCUCAGCUGCUGUAUUGGAACUUCCAAAGGUACAACGCAGAUACUGGCCUCUGUCUUGUCAGCUGGUGGCUGGGGCUGAAAUUGAGCAUUGACACCUUGUGUUAGUGCACUCAUUGGAAUUGGAGUUGUUGCAACGCGGGCUAUAGGACUGCUUCGGGAUGCAUGGAUGACAAUUCGUUGAGGAGCAAGCUUCUGAUUGCAGGGAGUUGCGUGGACUGACGUGCCGGCAGCUAUGUUUCUCGGUUUUGGGCACUUGUCGGCGAAAUGACCCAUUCCUUGACAAUUGAAGCAACAGAUGUCUUCCCGGACUCGGCAUUUUCUUUUCUCAUUUCGAUUCCUCUGUCCUGGCACUGGAGUUAGGCUGAAACGGUGAUCUUGGCGGGGAUUUGUAUUGCCUUGAUGCUUCUCUCCGUUGGAACUGGCGGGUUGGUUGGCCAUCUUCUUCGUCAGCAGAAAACUGAAUUGACAAUCUUUUGGUACAUGAUCAGUUCCUUCACAAAAGAAACAAGUGAUCCUGCUCGUUGGACACCUGUCGGGUGGAUGGUCUUCCUUACAAUGAACGCAUGUAGAGGCACACGAGCUGGCAACAUGACCGAUUUCUCCACAACGAGAGCAUGCCUUAAGUUCUAUUUUAUUCUGGUUAAAACCUUGGGGAGACUUCUCAUCUUCAUCAUCUGAGGAGACUUGAUCUGAAUCUUCACUACCAGACACUCUACCUCCAUUAGCUAAAAGAUGCUCUGUCAACUGUUGUGCACCUCGGAAGGAAUUUCUUCUCUGAUGUUUUGUCAUUCCUGGUGGAGGCCAUUCUGUGCUGGUAAUGAUCAUCUUACGGACUUCAUCUUCGGUUCGCAUUGGUGCUUUUCUUUUCUGCUGAGGACAGUUCCUUGCGUAGUGCCCUUGCUCAUCACACAUAAAACAGAUGAUACUUGCUUCUUUUGGGUCAACAUGUGGCAUGGCAUGAGGGGCCUUCUGGGAUGUUGGCGGUGCGCUGACUUGUGGUGUGAGUGCUUGGACUGCCUCCAACUGCACUUGAGGUUGCAUCUGACUCGGGUUCAAAAUUGGCAUCCGAUGCUGCUGUAGUAUCUCUAUAAGCAAUUGGUUCUGGUUAAUCAGGUGUUGGACCACUGCCACACAACUGGUGUCUGGUGCUUCAUUCACUCGGGAGCUUGAGGUACCAAUGUCCUGACUUCUGACCUUAUUGCCUUUCUCAUUGUCAGCCAUCUGUUGCAAAGGUUUGGAGAGGGAGAGAGGGAAAACAAAGGGGAGAGACAGAUUAGAAACUAAGGAUAGGACCUUAACAGAUCUAAGUCUUUUGCUGUUAUGAUGUAUGUUAGGCUUAUUCUGCAAGUUGAUUAAGCAAACAACCUAGCAUGGUUACAUCACACCCCACUGAUGCAAACCACGCGCUACACACACAAACAAGGAAACACACGACUAACGACUCUACCCUAGAGGGUGGCUUAGGUUCUGCGACAGGUUCUCCAAGAUCUUCACAGCUGGCUUCACUGCUUCCUCCACUUCACUAGCAGAUCCUGCAGUCUUCUGGAGCUUCGGCAAACAACUGACGAUGUCCUCUUCUUCACUGACCUGACCAUCUAGUACUAGUUGAAAAUCCGAAGAAGGAAGAACGGAGUAAACCUUUUGCAAAUAGCAUUAGGGGAAGGAGAAAAAGGAACUUUCGCAAAUAAUUUUUAUUUAUAAAAUAUGUCCUUGGGUUUUAUCCACUUGGCUUAUCCUACAGUCGAGAUGGCUCUGAUACCAGCUUGUCGCGACCGGGAAAAUUGCCUUUUCCCGAACGCUAGUGUAUUAAUCCCCGUCCCAGGAAAAGCCGGGGUACACCAUACAAACAUGAUAUAAAAGACACAUCUUUAUUAUAUCGAUAAUAUUUACAUUAUUACAAAGGCACUUAAGGCCUGACAAUCAAAAAUAAACAGCAGCGGACUAGCGGGCCUACGGCUCCAUCUUCACAGGCGCUCAACUGGGGUAUAAGCCAGGACUCCACCUAAGACAUCUUCUCCAAAGCUUCUCUUACUGAAGAGGGGAAGGAUUGAGCAAGAAUGAGUACAACCACAGUACUCAGCAAGCCACACCGGCAGAUGCAUGAUUAAUGCAAGGGGGGUACAAGGGGAUAAUAAUAGGGGUUAGGUUUUGCAGUAAACAGCAUUUAAAAGUCACUUAGUUGCCCAAAGCCAUUUUGUAAAGACGAUCCUAGAGCUACACAGUAUUAUUAAACAAGGCCGUGAACCCUCACGAACCUGCCUUAACCCAAGGCCUACGAUGAUUUGGACCGAACUGGCAACCCGACCUGGGUCCCAGCUCGUCCCAAGCCAACCCAGGCCAACCAUUCCAUAUUUUAGUUGUUGAGCAAAUUUUAAGAAUUAAAACACUGACUUGGGUACAUUGCUCGGCUUGCCCAUAUCCGAGGGCUCGGCUAUUCGAAUAGAUUUACUCUGAUCAGAGGUGUACAUCUUUACCCACAAGACACAUCUUUACUCCGCAUUCCAUGGCCUUGGAACCCGUCGUAAAGAUGUGACAUAACCCUUCACCCAUCCUAGCCGUGAACAAAAGUACCGACCCAACCCUGCCUACGGCCGGUAUCCCGGGACAGGCAGGCCAGGGUUGAGCCCCUAGCAACAAGAUCUAGACCGGGUGCGCCACACACAUAGGGGUGAGGCCACCCGCGUACUAGUCCAGUGCCAUGGCAUCUCGACUAACGGGCACCGACCCGUGUAGUCUUCAUUUGCCUAGACAUCUCGAUUACCGAGCCGCAGCUCGCGUAGCCUUCAUUUGCCUCAGAGAUAUCCAUCGUCGCAACGACUUCAUCCAUCUCUAUCCGUGUCCUUUUGUUCAGGACUAGACUGAGCACCGAGUUAAGCCUUACCCAUUAGACAUGUGGUUAGUACGGUAGUGCUUUGCAACAGAGGCCCGAGCUUAAUCCUUAUAGUGGCCGGGGUGCUACUUCCCAUAACUGGCAUGCACCCAAACCCCACCGAAAACAGGUUUUGGGGGUUUUGAAAGAGAAAGAGAGGUGUAUGUCCAAUUCCACCAUAAUCCAACAAUUCCAUAGUGUCCAAAUGAUAUGAGAAUUCCCAAAGUCUAAAGUUAUAAAACCACCUAAUGUUGCCUAAUUAUUCAGCGAAGCAUCUACCUAAAUUUAUACUAGUGGAACCAUGAAUAGAGUACCCACUAGUUGGGGUUUUUAUUUUCCUAGGGUGAACAAGGUAAUAAUAACAAUAGCAAUAAUAAUGUCAUAACAAAGGUAAAUAGGCAUGGCUAAAUAAAACAGUGGUAACGCGGGAAUUUAAACAAAGCGAUAAUGCAAUAAUUUAAAUCAAAAUAAUUUUAUAAACUGGGAUUCAAUAUGCUCAAGGGUGAUGUGACUUGCCUUGCUCGCUUUCCCAAACGCCGGCUUCAACUUCCACGAAGAGCGGAUCUUCCGAAGCUGCAGCGUCUACACGACCAACGGAAAAGAAAAGGCUUUUACUCUAAUAAACUCCACACAACAAGCAGGAACAAAGCACAAAAAUGGGUUCUUUACUUCUUAAGGAAAAAUUAGAGACUUGAACGGUCCAAUUCCGAGUUCAAAUGGCCAAGAUAUGGCCAUUUGAAGUUUAUAUGCUCUUUAAAUGGAUAUUUGCGAAUUUCUUCAUUUAAAUUUUAAUUAAAAAAAUCGGGUUUAUUGCGUCAGCCGAGGGAGAGGGCGCGCGGACCGGGUCCACGGGAGUGGGGCCCACGCGUCAGCCCCUCGGUCCACGGUGGACCGGGAGCACGCGGCUGGCGGCGGCCGGCGCUGUGGGUCCCACGCGUCAGCCGCACCCGCGGGCGCGGGCGGCUGACGGCCGGGCCCACUUGGCAGCCGCGAGGGCGCGCCGAAGGCGGCCUCGCCGGCACGGCCGACGGGAGCGGCGCACCCGCGCCCCGAUGGUCGCCGCCGGCGACCAACGGCGCGGCGGAGCGGCACCCGAGAGAGAGGAGGGAAGGGGGAAGCGAGGGGGACGGUCUUCGGCUCACCCCGGUCGACGGCGACGACGGGAACGGCGGCCGAAGCGGAAGAAGGCGGCGGCGCGGUUCGGGAUGACGAUGACGACGGUGCUCCGGCGGUCGGCGGGCGAAACGGAGAUGCGGACGGGGUCGACGGGAACGCGGCGAAGCCGAUGGAAAUGACGCCGAGUCGGAAGGACGUCCGGAGCGACGUCGGCGGCGAACCGAAGGUCGACGGCGACGGCGGAGAGAGAGGAGCACGGCGCGAGCACGAAUCCGACGGCGAGAGCGAGCGGCGAGCGGCGGAAACGGAAGAGCGAAGCACGGGGAUCGAAUAUAUAGCAACGGGAGGGGGAGAGCGCGGCCGGGGAGAGAGGAAACCGCGCGCGGAGAUCUCGGGCGCCAUUGAAGACGCCGGCGAACUUCGCGGGAUGAAUCCGGACGAAUCCGAGGGAGAGAGAGAGGGAAAAGAGGGGGAAUCGGGAGAGGGAAACGCGGGGAGUAAUUCCCCCCUCUUUAAUGCGCGCGGGGACGGCGGGAUGCGGCGGAAUCCGCGGCGGCGGCGGCGCUAGGGCACGGGCGGGCGGCGGGAGCGGCGGGAGGAAGGCGAUGACAGGUGGGCCCCACCCGUCAGCGAGGGCGGCGGGCGGGCCCGCCUGUCAGCGGCGCGCGCGCGGGGGAGGCCGAUGGGCCGCGGGGGAGAGGAGAGAGAGGGAGGGAGAGUUGGGCCGAGCCGGCCCAAGAAGGGAAGGGGGGGAAAGAAGACUUCUUUUAGGGUUUUUCUUUUUAUAAAACCUUUUCAACUUUGUUUAUUUCUUCUCAAUUAUUAUUUGUGCUCUGAAAAUUCCACUAAAAUUUGAGGGCUCCUUUUAGACCAAGGAGAAUUUAACAAAAAUUCUCCGGGUCACAUUUGAAUUUUUCUUGUACGUAUUUUAAGGUUUGCCAAUUUCUUUUCGAAUUUUAAUUAAUUCUAUUAUUCCUUUUAGAAGAUGAUUUUUAUUUUGGGAUGAAUUUAUCAGGACGUGACAACUUGGACCAUUGUUAUUAAGGAACAUAGCUUGGACAAGUGGUGUAGCGACAUUGGCGACUUCAUCUCUUGCUCCUUCAAGCCUCUUAAUCUUACCAACCAGGACGUCAAACUGAGCUUGAGAUUUGACUUUACGGUCUACAAAACACAUUUAUGAUAAGAAUCUGCUGCAUUUAAAAGAGAGGAGACCAGAUUGUUAGCUGAUAGUACCUUCAACCUCUUUCAAGGCCGAGUCCCUUUGCGCAGCUAGUUCUACUUUGUCUCUUUUCAGGGCUUCAAUCUGUUUCUCCAUUUGAGCCAUCCUGGUAGCUUGCGCUGUUUGAAAUCCAAAUGUUUGAGGAUACAGCUAUGACAGCAUAAAUUAAUGGGACAGAUCUAGAAGAUUACCUUUUGAUGAACCACUUAGCUCGAAGUUUGAAUCCUGGAGCUGGGCAAUUCGGUCCCUUAACUCCUUCUCUGUCUUUUUGGCGUACUCCUUGGCCUCAUGCAGCUGGUCCCUAACUGCUUCAAGAGUUCCCAAAUGAGGAACCAGCCUUUCCAAAGUUGUAGUCUUGGCCUCAUUGCGAAGAUGGAUUCUCUGCAUGAUGGAUCAUGGUUCAGUUCUGCUAAAGAGAGAACAAAGUUAUUAAAGGCAGUCACCCGGAAGAUUUACAUUCACAAUGCGAGUGGCUUCUCCAAGUGCUUUCUUCAGCUGGCACACUUCCUCAUCUUCUUUUUGACGAUUUAUGACGAUGCCGGCAACUUGCGAGUUCUCGUCCCACCAUUUGAGCAAGAUAGGAGGACGGGAGUCAUCAGCCGCCUUUAUGCGAGGAAUUGCUUCUUCGUCAUCGCCUAGUGUUCCUGAUGUAUUUCCAAGACAUUAGACGAGUAAGCUGAAGUUAUUUAAAUCGGCAUCACUUGAGAAGAUGUGUUACCUGAGGAUGUUCCUGGCUGAACAUGAGGUGAUCCUUGUUCUUUAUUUAGAGACCCAAUCAUUGAGUCUUUACCAGCCUCUGGUCCUUGGGAAGUUGUCGUCUGCGCUUCAACUUCAGGGAUUUCUUCAUCGGGACCUACAUUCGACUGGUUUCCAGUCGGGGGCUCUUGUGUUGUUGCAGUUUCAGCUGUUGCCGACUGGUCUCCAGUUGGCGGCCGGUCACUCGGAUUGGCCUUAUCACCCAAAGCAUGGGCGCCGGUUGGCUGGCUUUCGGCAGUCGGCUGGCUUUCGGCAGUUGGCUCAGGAUCCUUGGAUAAAUUUGGUUCUGUCACAGUCGGAUCAGAAUCUUUCCCAGUGGGAUCUAUGUCGGAUGGUUUCCUGCAAAGUGUUCUUUCGAUAUUCAGUAUAAUUUCUAUGAGAGAAGCAUGUCGAAGGGAAAUGGUACCGAGAGGUUUAUACCUAGAAAAUGUUCUAAUCUUUGGCAUUUGACGGCCAGCCAGUUUUUUCUUGGGCAUGGUACGCUUUGGGAGUUUAUUAGGCGAGCCCUUGUCCCCAGAUUUAUCGUCGUCGCCUUCAUCGUUGUCGAGCACCAGUUUUCUCUUGCGAGAACCUGUCUGUCCAGUUGGAUUGGAGGUUUGAGGUUGCGGAUCUGGUCUGAUUUUUGGCCCUCCACCUCCCUGAACGGUGUGCUGACGAGGCGACCGGCGCUGAGUGAUUGGGGGAUCAGAUUUCAUCAACGCAUAUUCCUAAAUGAGAUGCUUCCACGGUUAAUUAAUUCAACAUGAAGACAAGAUAAUGUUUUAGUCAUAGAUUGAAGAUUUCAGAUGCAUACCUGCGGAGGCGGAUUGAAUGCAUUAUAUGGCACAACUGGCAGCUGAUGCGAGUAGCUGACGACAAUAGCAUUUGAGAAAAUUUUAUACAUUCUCUCCUUCAUGAUUUUAAAGUCCAGAGAGUCUGGUUCUUCACGAUUGGGAUCAUGCUUGCCGUCGAACUCGAACGCUGUACGGGAUCUUUCUUUAAUUGGUGCCAGUCGGCAUUUGAUGAAAUGCCGAGUAAUCUGCUCUCCUUGCAAGCCUUGUUCUUUGAGUUUUAGCAUGCGGUCCAUCAAUUCCAAGGCUUGAGCAGCUUUAUCUCCGAUAGGAAGAGAGUUCCAAGUAUCUUGGUACACCGGAGGAAGACAAGAGUACUCGGGAAGAGCAGGCUCAGGAUUCUGAACAUAAAACCAGUUCGCAUGCCACCCUUUGUUUGAGGUCUUGAAGGGCAUAGAGAAAUACUUCUGGCUCAGAGUUCCCCUCAACUGAAAUCCUGCCCCUCCGACUACACAUGGCUUAUUCUUGUUCGGUUGGGGCUUGAGAAAAAAGAUUCGGCGGAACAGAGCGAAAUGGGGUUUAAUUCCCAAGAAGGCUUCACAAACAUGGACGAAAUUGGCGAUAUGGACUAUGGAAUUUGGGUUUAGGUGAUGCAAACUGAUUCCAUAGAAACUUAAUAUCCCGCGGAAAAAUUUCGAGGUCGGAAGAGCGAAGCCGCCAUAGAAGAAAUGAGAGAAGACCACAAUCUCGUGUGUAUCGGGGGUCGGAAAAAUCUCACCGCACGCUGGCCGCCACCCGAUGAUCUCCUUGGCAGGGAGAACGCCGUGCGCCACCAUCUCCUUCAGGUUCUCUUCUGUUACGUCGGACGGCGCCCACUGGCCUUCAAAGCUUUCUUUCUCUUCCGCCAUCGAUUUUCCCCGAAUGCGCUGAUUUGAUUCGAGGGAUGGCUUGGGAGAGGUGAGGAAUUGAGGCGGUGGAUCACGGGGAGGAUUUUGAUCACUUUUUGAAGGUGGAUUUGAGUGGAAUGGUGAACCCUAGUUUGCCGGCGCAGUUCUUUACUGUAGCAGGGAGUGGGGAAAAUGGCGAGAGUUCCGGCGGGGAAGACGAAGCGUCGCUUGGAUCUCGGGAUUUCUUGUUAAGGGUAUCGGAGGUGCAAAUGGGCCUAGGCCUGAACAGUACCUCAGCCCAAUACUCUUAACAGCGUGGCCCAUUGUGUUCCUUAGGGACUUGGGCAUUUUUUGCUUUGGCAAUUUAUGCGCACAAUAGUGUUGCCCAAUGCUGAUAAAAUCCUUUUUAUGCGGUCAUAUAAUUCUUUGGAAUUAUUGCAAUGCAAAUUAAAAGGUGCCCGACAGAAAGGCGUCAUGCUGCUUUUUGUAAGCUUUUUUAGGCUACAAAAGCUGUCUGGGUUAACUUGGAGUGGCUUGUUUUUACCAUAGUCAUUUCCCUGGUAUGUUAUAUGCCUGUUUUUAUUAUGGUAAAUAGUCAUAGCCUAGGCUAUUAGACUUAUUUAUUACCAUAAUUUUUAUAAUACUUGGUGGGUAAUCUUUAGAGUUUUUAUUCGGAUGACUGUCAAGUGUGUUCAUUCGUGAACCUUUUAGAGUGUAAACCACUCGGAUUCCUUUUAUUAUGGCUAAAAAGCAGUCGGCUAGGAUGCCUCUUUAGGCGCCGCGUAUGCUUUUGUCAUAUGAUGCAUGAUUGUGCUAUUAUUUUGUUCUCAACUAUAUGUUUAGUUUGUUAACUAAUCACAUAGUUGGGGGCUACACCUAAUUAGGUGCAUCUAUUCGAUGCACCGUAUUCUUUAUUGUUUCGCCCUUUACAGUCUUCGUCUUCGCUACUCGGCAGGCCUUGGCAUGAAUAAUUUGAAGCACUCGGAUUACUAUCUUUGAGAAGGCUAUAAUGGUUGACUGCAAAGGUCUCGGGGGCUACUGUGGAGAUUAUGGAUAUCCCAUAUCUACACGGCGAUGAUAUUUGGGUUGAAUAUAGGAUACCGAAUAUAGAUAGAAUAUCUUGUGUGUAUCUCGGGUUUGUUUCUUAACUUGUACGUAAAGGAAAUACCUUGAGAUCUAGUCGGUCACGACUGUAUUUUAUCUGUAUCUGCCUAUUCCGUUAGGGAUAUAGAUUAUCUUUUGUAACACGGACUCCUUCCCAUAUAUAAGGGGGGUCCGGGUGCCUCUAGCGGCGGAUGUUGAUUUUCUCCAAAUCAUACAAUCAAUAACACACUCGGCGGAUUCAUCCCCGGACAGGAGUAGGGUAUUACUUCUUUUAUAAGAAGGCCUGAACCUGUAUAAAUCCUUUGUCUCCAAACCCAUACACUUUUCCAGCUUGAUAGCCACCCCCUUUUAUUAUUGCCGAAAUCUAGUUUCGACACUUUUGGUACAUAUAUAGGAGUAUCGGCUUUGUUUGGGUUGCUCUACAAAUGUGCUGAGGCUAUAGCUUGUGGUUCCUGCAGGAUCGCUAAUUACCUAAGUUAAUCAGUAUGAUGGCCGCCGACGGGCGACGGCAGCGCUGUCCAGGAGCACCGGAUACAGGUAUCGGAGUCGGGACAAGCUGAUCAUAAGGCGGUCGCCGCGGCACCGGAGAAGUGGCUGAACUACUUCGUCCGCUUGCUCGCGGUGAUCGAAAGCGUGGGCAACGCCUUCGGCACGGUGGCCUUCACCUGGGCCACCGUCGUCCUGCUGGGUGGCUAUCCGUCCGUUCUCAAGAGCGAUUUUCGUUAUGCGACUGCGAUAUUUUUCCUAGAAGCCACGAGGUAUGUAUACAUGCAAAGUCUCCUGGUCUUGCAAUGUUUGGCUGACAAGAAUUUGGAUAGAUGGAAUUCCAUUUCUAUAAUACAUUGAUAAUCUUCUGCAAUUAGCGUUUUUUUUCCUGUUUGGAUGCCACCUGACUUUGCAAGCUUGCACUAGAUAGAGAAGCACUCCAACCUAGCAAUCAUAUCAACGGCCUCAUCGUUUCGCUUAUUCGGUAAAUAAGUCAAACAACAUAUUUACAAAUGAAAAAUAAUUUGUGAAUAAAAUUUUUAUAUACAUGUUCUUAACGAUCUAAAAGACUAAAAAAUAAACUUUGAUGAAAAACCCCAAAAUCAACUUUAAAUUUAAGAUUAAAUAUUUAAAUUUCGGCUGAUAAGCAUGAGCGUAAGCGAAAAGAUAAGGCUGCAAAGCUGUUCAAUAAGGUAGUGUUUGGUUGCUGGGAUAGGAUGGGAUGGGAUGGGAUGAACCCAUUUUUAGGGGUGUUUGGUUCAAGGUUGAGUGGGAUGGGUUGGUCCCUAGAGAGGAAUAUUCCUCUCAGAUCCGGGACCAACUGAUCCGGCCAAAACUGGCGGACCAACUCAUCCCACCUGGGACGAGUGAACGGCGUGAACGAGCGAACACCAUCGCACGCUCGCCGCCCUGCUCGCGCGCUCGUCCUCGAGAGACGGCAGCGGGCUAGGCGACGGCGGCGGCGGCGGGCUCGACGACGGCGGCGGCGGCGGCGGUAGACGGCUCGGGCCACGGCGGUGGCGGACGGCUCGGGCGACCGCGGCGGCGGUGGGCUCGGGCGACGUCGACGGCGGUGGGCUCGGCGACAGCGGCGGCGGGGGGCUCGGUGGCAGCGGAUCCGGUGGUGGGGAAGGCGGCGGCGGCGGAUCCGGCGAUAGGGAAGGCGACGGCGGCGGAUCCGGCGAUGGGGAAGGCGGCGGCGACGGAUCUGGAGCCGGGGAACUCGGCGGCGGGCCGACCGUGCGUCGUCGCGCUUCUCCGCCCGCCCGACCGCGAUGAUGGCCGUGCUCGCCCUCCUCUCCACCGGCCUCUCCCUCUCCCUCUCCCGCGCGGACCUCGUUGCCGUCGUCAUCGCCAAGCCGCGGCUGCUCUGCGCGAAGGCUGACACCAUCGCCGCCAGCGCUCGGUUGGGUCAUCCCGUCUGUCGUCGUCGCGCUCCUCCGCCCGCUCGUCUGUGAUGCCGACACCGUCAUCUCCUCGGUGCGUGUGACCCAGGCCCCGACCAGCCCAAGCUCAUCGACGCCAUCAAGGAGGCCGGCGACGACCACGUCCGGAGGUGAGGGCAGAGGCGGCGUCGGCCAUGUUUGUUGUAAACGGCGUUAUCGGUGGUUGCAAACAGCGCUCAUCCCAUCCCUCCCUCGUCCCUUCAACCAAACAAAAAACUGGGAUCGUCCUAUUCUACAAACCAAACACCCGAAUGGAAUCAUCCCAAUCCUAAAAUCAGGGAUGGUUUCAUCCCAUCCCACCUAGUCCCAGAACCAAACACACGCUAAGAUUUCAAGCGUUUCAAACUUGUAGUGUGAAACUAACUUUUGAUAAUCAAAUAAUUGGCUCCUAUGCGCCUUUUUGUUUUUAUGGUAUGGUACCUUCUACUACCAUGUGUAGUAGUGUAGUAAAUUUUAAAUCUAACUAUAUAUUUUCAUAAGUAUAUAAAAUAUUUUAUUUGAAGCUUUAGUAAAAUAUAUUUACCAAUUCAUCUAUUUUAAUAUGGUAUAUGAUACACGAAUUUAUUGUAAUGUUAUAUAUAUUAUUUCUAAUUUUACCCCUAUAUAAUUUCUACUACACUACUACCGGGUGUAGUACAAUAAAAUCAAAUCCAUUGAAUCUGAAGCGAUUAAAGGCUCAUAAUCAUUUGAGGGUACCUUAAAAUUCCGUCUUUAAGGCCCUCAUUAGAUCCCACCUCAAAAUUUUACACUCUGCCACAUCGAAUGUUUGAACACCUGCAUGAAGUAUUAAAUAUAGGCUAAAAAUAACUAAUUGCACAGAUUGCGACUAAUUUGCGAGACGACUCUUUUAAGCCUAAUUGCUCCAUGAUUUGACAAUGUGAUGCUACAGUAAACAUUUGCUAAUGACGGAUAUAAUAUCUGAUGUGACACGCCCAAACUUUACAAUAUCUAAACACCCCCUCAAUUCCCUUCUGUUUAAUGAUUAAACAAUAUGACUACUUUCAGGAUAUUCACCCGCAACAAUAGGCUGGAUUAUCAACUGUUCUUCCGGACGAGAGGUGCCUUUAGACGACUGGGCUGGAACGGGCUGAUGGUAAUCGUGUGCUUCUCCAUUUCUGUGGAGAUUAUGGGUACCCUAUACCCACACGGCAUGGUUAUCCGACUAGUUAUAGGGGAUAACUUAUAUGUAUGGAAUAUGUAACAGAUCAUGACUUGGGUAUUACGUUUCCUUAUAUAUUACGGAACAGCCUAAAGUCCUGGUUUGAUAAUAUUGUAAAGUAGAUUUAGGAAACCGAUACCGUAUUGGUUAAGGUUUCUAUCUUGUAAUCCUGCCCCCCACCCUAUAUAAGGUGGGCAGGAGGCCCUCUAGGGGGCAUGAGCACAUAUUGUCGCGACCGGGAAAAUUGCCUUUUCCCGAACGCUAAUGUAUUAAUCCCCGUCCCAGGAAAAGCCGGGGUACACCAUACAAACAUGAUAUAAAAGACACAUCUUCAUUAUAUCGAUAAUAUUUACAUUAUUACAAAGGCGCUUCAGGCCUGACAAACAAAAAUAAACAGCAGCGGACUAGCGGGCCUACGGCUCCAUCUUCACAGGCGCUCAACUGGGGUAUAAGCCAGGACUCCACCUAAGACUUCUUUUCCAAAGCUUCUCUUACUGAAGGGGGGAGAAAGAUAGAGCAAGAAUGAGUACAACCACAGUACUCAGCAAGCCACACCGGAGAUGCACAAUUAAUGCAAGGGAGUACAAGGGGAUAAUAACAUAGAGGUUAAGUUUUGCAGUAAACAGCAUUUAAAAGUCACUUAGUUGCCCAAAGCCAUUUUAUAAAGACGAUCCUAGAGCUACACAGUAUUAUUAAUCAAGGCCGUGAACCCUCACGAACCUGCCUUAACCCAAGGCCUACGAUGAUUCAGACCGAACUGGCAACCCGACCCUGGGUCCCAGCUCGUCCCAAGCCAAACCAGGCCGACCAUUCCAUAUUUUAGUUGUUGAGCAAAUUUUAAGAAUUAUAACACUGACUUGGGUACAUUGCUCGGCUUGCCCAUAACCGAGGGCGCGGCUAUUCGAAUAGAUUAUACUCUGAUCAGAGGUGUACAUCUUUACCCACAAGACACAUCUUCCUCACGUGUAACCACGUGCCACAUACCACCACGGUAUACGGACGGAAGACGUGACAUAGUUUCCAACCCAUCCUAGCCAUAGACAAGAGUACCGACCCAAUCCUGCCUACGGCCGGAACCCCCGGGACAGGCAGGCAAGACUGAGCCCCUAGCAGCAGGGCACCAACCCUCUGCCAAUGACAUCUCGACUACCGGGCCGCAGCUCGUGUAGCCUUCAUUUGCCCUGGAGAAUGUCCAUCGACCCCCGACUUCAUCCAUCUCCAAUCCGUGUACUUUUGUUUAUAACCAGACUGAGCCACAAACUAAGCCUUACCCACUAGACAUGUGGAAGUACGGUAGUGCUUUGCAACAGAGGCCCGAGCUUAAUCCUUAUAGUGGCCGGGGUGCUACUUCCCACAACUGGCAUGCACCCAAACCCCACCGAAAACAGGUUUUAGGGGUUUUGAAAGAGGAAGAGAGGUGUAUAUCCAAUUCCACCAUAAACCAACAAUUCCAUAGUGUCCAAAUGAUAUGAGAAUUUCCCAAAGUCUAUAGUUAUAAAACCACCUAAUGUUGCCUAAUUAAUCAGCGAAGCAUCUACCUAAAUUCAUACUAGUGGAACCACGAAUAGAGUGUCCACUAGAUGGGGUUUUGUUUAAUCUAGGGUGAACAAGGUAUUAAUAUCAAUAACAAUAAUAAUAAGGUCAUAACAAAGGUAAAUAGGCAUGGCUAAAUAAAACAGUGAUAACGCGGGAAUUUAAAUAAAGCGAUAAUGCAUUAAUUUAAAUCAAAAUAAUUUUAUAAACUGGGAUUCAAUAUGCUCAAGGAUGAUGUGACUUGCCUUGCUCAGAGAGAACGGCCUUCCGAACCUUCGGCGACGACCACGAACCACGCUUUGGAAACCUCCGGAACGACGAAAGCUACGCGAAGCACACAAGCAAAGCUACAAGCCUAUAAAGAAGCAAUAACAAUACAUAAAAAGAAAGCACAGGGUUCUUUAGGUUAUAACAAACAUUAGGAGACUUGAACGGGUCGAUUCGGAGCUCGUAUGACCAGGAUAUGAUCAUCCGAAGUUUAAUGCUGUUAUAUGGAGAUUUGCGGAUUAUUAUAAUUAAGCUUUGCAAUUAUAAAACAGGUGCAAGCGCUAGCCUGGAAAAGACAGGAAGGCUGCGCCGUUGACAUGCGGACCCCACAUAUCAACCUAAAGGACCGCGGUAGACCGAGUACACAGAGGCGGUCCACGGGUCGACGGAAGCGGACCCCGUGUGUCAACCGAGGCGAGUGGCCGACAAACGGACUCCACUAGACACCACACGGGUUGCACACGUGGAAACCACGCGGCUACCGAGCGGGCACACUAACACGGACACUACACGGUCACCACCCGCACACGUGAACGACUACCGACACCGGUACACGGGUACCGGGGUCGACGACCGCACAACGGGUACGGGGCGACACCGAAAGGACGAGGGCGGGGAAGCGAGAGGACGGAUCCUUACCACCACGCGGCGAGGCGUGGGAACACCAACGACGAACGGGCGCGGCGGAGACAGACGGGCACAACGGAGACGAACGGCGAGGGGACGGCUUCGGCGGCGAUCCUUGGACGAAGGCGAGACGCGGCCGGCACGAGGCUUGACGACGCGGAGCCGAGGACGAACACGAGGACGGGGCUGCAGCGAUCUUGACGAAGCGAGGACGACGAACGAGAACGGCUUGACGGAGGGACGAACGCCACGACGACCGGGAACGACGAGAGGACAACGACGACGACGACGACCGGGACCGGCGAGGAGGCGACGAGGACAGCCGGCAGCGGCUGCACGGGGACGAGGAUGACGUGGAACACGCCGCUACGAUGACGAUGACGGAGGCGGCGCCGCGAGGCGACGAGCCGGGCGACCGACGGGACGUCGACGACGAGAACGAUCGGAGACGACGAUGAUGGACCGCGGAGGGGUUUGGAUGGAGGGGAAACGAUGCCGAGGACGGCCUUGCCGCUGCGAUGCCGGAGGUGGUGGAGGUGUGGCCGACCGGUGCACGGGCGAGGAGGGACGGGCGGCCGAACAACUCCGGCGAGGCGGCUGGAGAGGUUCGCGGCGAUGUGCGGCGGCUUCCGGGCGAAACCGAGGGGUGGACGAGGUGGAGGGCUACGUCACCGUGCCGAGGGAGGGGACGGCAGCGCCGGCUGACGCAUGGGCAUGGCGAAAAGGGCAGCCGGGGGAGAUGCCGCCGAGGAGGAAGGAGAAGCCGGCGCGGGCGACGGUGUUCCGGCGAAGUUCGGGCGAGGAGGAGGUGAUGCCGGGGAUGAGAGCGGCGUCGUGGAGCCGAGGAAGGUGGUGGCGACGUCGACCGGCGCUCAGGCAGGGAGAUAGAGGCGGCUGGAGGCGGCCGGCGCGGAGGAAAUGGAAGGGCGACGGCGGAAACGUAGCUCCGGGGGUCACCUCGCGAGACGGAGGGCAGGCCGGGGUGGAGGAGGUGGCGGCGACGCUGGAAGAGGCGACGGCGCGGCCGGCCGGUGCGCGGGCGAGGCGGCACAGGCGGCUGGAGGCCGGCCGGCAACGUGGGAGAGAGAGGGCGACGGUGGGGAGGUGGCUAGAGACCACGGGAGACCGCGGGAGGGGGCUAAAGCGAUAGAACGGAGCGAGGGGGUUGCAUUUUAUAGCGGAGGGAAGCGAGCCGAGCACGGGAGAGGGCGGAACGGCGACGGGAAUGGUGGCCGGCGGCAAAGGAAGGCGGCCGGACUUGGCGCGGCCGUUCCCGGCGAUUGGGGGCACCAUUCAAGGGGAAAUUAAGGGGGAAAGAGAGAGGAGGGAAAGGGGAUUAAUUCCCCUCAAUCAAUUUGGGAAUCCCAUGCUUGAAUCGCGCGGAUUUGAGGGAGGAAUGGCGCUAGGGUUCACGGGAGAGGGAGAGAGGACGGCUGGGCGGGAGGAGGACGAUGACUCGCCUGACGCGUGGGCCCCACGCGGUCAGGCGGCGGCUCGGGCAGGGGGGGGGGCUCGGCUGGGCCGGGACACGGCCCAGGUGGGAGAGGAGGGGGAGGCGGCUUGGGCCGAGCAGGCCGGGAGGGGAGAGGGGGGGGAAAGGCAGCCCGGGAGAGAGAGGGAGGAGGGAGUGGGCCGGGAGGGGAGGAGGCCCAAGAGGAGGAGGGAGAGAAGGAGAGGGAGAGAAAGAGAGGGAGGAAAGGAAAACUUCGGCCGCGGGCCGAGGGGAGAGAGGGAGGACUUUGGGCCAGACUUGGCCCAAAGGGAGGAGGAUUAUUUUUAGAUUUUCUUUUUAUUAAACUUUGAUAAUUGUUGUUGUUGUUUAAUAAUUAUUUCCGGUGUUCUGAAAAUUCAAGUAAAAUUUGAGGGCUCCUUUUAGACCAAGGAGAAUUUAACAAAAAUUCUCCGGGCCACAUUUGAAUUUUUCUUGCACGUAUUUUAGGGUUUGCCAAUUUCUUUUCGAAUUUUAAUUAAUUCUAUUAUUCCUUUUAGAAAAUGAUUUUUAUUUCGGGAUGAAUUUAUCAGGACGUGACACAUAUGAUCGUCAGAUCAAUACACACUCGGCGGAUUCAAAUCCCCAAACAGGAGUAGGGUAUUACCUCUCAUUGAGAGGGCCUGAACCUGUCUAAAUCCUUUGUCUCCACAUCCAUCCACUUUUAGGUCUCGUGCGCUACCCCGUUUUAUUAUUGCCGAAUUCAUGUUUCGACAGUUGGCGCGCCAGGUAGGGGUAAACGCCGAGUUUCCUGACGACGAGUGCGAUGGAAUCAACUUUAUGAGUCGCCGGCUUCGUCUUCGCUUUGGGAGCUCCUUGAUUCCUCGCCGCCGACGACUUCAACAAGACGAAUCGUCGCUGCUAUUCUCUGCCUGAUCUUGUUCGCAUCAGCACGACGGCAACGACGGGGCAACGACAGUUCGACGGAUUUGAUGGUCGUCCUCGUCCACCACCAAGCCUACUGGUCCAAUCUACCCAACGAGGAUGCCAUGGUGUUGCAAGAUGGAUCUACAAACACGAAGCAUGCCAAAACCGAUCUAAUCGGAUGCAUAGGAGACGGCUGCAGCCACGCCGAUGCCUUCCUGCCGUCCUGCGUCGUGCUGAUGGACACCAACGCCGCCCGCGACUGCGACCUCCGCCUCCUCCGCUCCGUCUCGGAGUCAGUCGAAGAGAUCAAUCUCGGCGAGUUUUUUCCUUUUAAUCUCCGACUUCGCCAGGUUUUUUCCUUUUCAACUUAUUGUUGUUUAUUAGAUUGAUCUCUAAAUGUCAGAUUAAUCUCUCUUGGUAUUUUCUGCUGUUUGCAUGUAACGCCGCGGCACUACUCUUGCCGACUGGUGUUUCCGUCUGCACGGCUGGCCUAUUAUGCCGCCGCUGUUGGGCGUCUACGACUUCACCGCCGGCCUGCCUCCGUCGCCGCCGAGUGGUGCCUCCGCCUACACGGCUGGCCUAUUAUGCCGCCGCUGUUGGGCGUCUACGACUUCACCGCCGGCCUGCCUCCGUCGCCGCCGAGUGGUGCCUCCGCCUACACGGCUGGCCUAUUAUGCCGCCGCUGUUGGGCGUCUACGACUUCACCGCCGGCCUGCCUCCGUCGCCGCCGAGUGGUGCCUCCGCCUACACGGCUGGCCUAUUAUGCCGCCGCUGUUGGGCGUCUACGACUUCACCGCCGGCCUGCCUCCGUCGCCGCCGAGUGGUGCCUCCGCCUACACGGCUGGCCUAUUAUGCCGCCGCUGUUGGGCGUCUACGACUUCACCGCCGGCCUGCCUCCGUCGCCGCCGAGUGGUGCCUCCGCCUAUACGGCUGGCCUAUUAUGCCGCCGCUGUUGGGCGUCUACGACUUCACCGCCGGCCUGCCUCCGUCGCCGCCGAGUGGUGCCUCCGCCUACACGGCUGGCCUAUUAUGCCGCCGUUGUUGGAUGUCUACAUCCUCACCGUUGGCUCACCUUCGUUGCCGUCGACUGGUGUUUCCGCUUACGCGGCUGACCUAUUAUGCCGCCAUUAGUGGGCAUCUUCGCUUUCACCGUCGACCGCCUUCGUCGCCGCCGACUGGUGUCUUCAUUGUUAUUGAUGGACGACUUUGUUCCCACAUUGGCCACUUCUGCCAUCACCAAGGGGAAUAUUACAAAGCUAAGUCAUCAUUUAUUUUAUUCUUUAUAUGAUAUUUUGCCUUUUCCUCUGCCUCACUACACCAAUUGGUCUUCCAUUGAGUAGUGAGUCGGGGGCUACAGAUGUUAUAUCAUAUUUUUUAAACAAUUUUCAUAAUAUUUAUCUUGAUUGCUUGCGACAUAUUCUGAGUACAAAAGUGCCUAUCGAGUUAUGGAGUUCCAUCUUCCUAUGCUUUCCGUUUGGUUUGCCAAUGGAUAGUUGCCUUUAGGCCGAUUCCUAGCACCCGGGGGCUCGUUGGAUGGACCGAGUAACGCAAGGUGCUAAGUAUUAUUCGGAAUAAAUCAAAAGCAUAGAGAUAAGAUAAUUUAUUUUCUGCUCUUAAUAAUUGCAAAAGUACCCGAGUAGUAAACUCCGAUCCGUGAAACUUUGUUCCAUUAAUGACGAACUCAUGUCACUCAUAUGCAUGUUUGGGAAGUGCUUAGGCCGACUCCCAGUGCUUGGUGGCUAUGACUAGUCGGGCAGAGUGUUUAAACGUAAUGAGUCAUCUGCUUGGGGAAAUCAAAAUUAACAAGAGAAGAAAUACGUAUUUAUAAACUGCUUGAUUUUUUCUCGAGUAUUAUAUUUAUAUCAGAUACUACUCAUCCUAUAUGUUUGUUCUGCAGGAUCCAGAUCCAGAUAUGCAUAAAAGGGAUUCAUGGCUUUAAGCUUAUCUCUUACGCUCCAGGAAUGGAUCAGUCAGAACAUCACCACCGGCUCGCCUCGACCGCCGCCGACUGGUGUUUCCGCCUGCACGGCUGGCCUAUUAUGCCACCGUUGUUGGGCGUCUACGUCUUCACCGACCGGCUUGCCUUCGCCGCCGCCGACUGGUGUUUCCGCCUGCACGGCUGGCCUUUAUGCCGCCGUUGUUGGGCGUCUACGUCUUCACCGACCGGCCGCCUCGUCCGCCGCCGACUGGUGCUUCCGCCUGCACGGCUGACUUAUUAUGCCGCCGUUGUUGGUCGUCUACGUCUUCACCGACCGGCUGCCUCGACCGCCGCCGACUGGUGUUUCCGCCUGCACGGCUGACUUAUUAUGCCGCCGUUGUUGGGCGUCUACGUCUUCACCGACCGGCUGCCUCGACCGCCGCCGACUGGUGUUUCCGCCUGCACGGCUGACUUAUUAUGCCGCCGUUGUUGGGCGUCUACGUCUUCACCGACCGGCUGCCUCGACCGCCGCCGACUGGUGUUUCCGCCUGCACGGCUGACUUAUUAUGCCGCCGUUGUUGGGCGUCUACGUCUUCACCGACCGGCUGCCUCGACCGCCGCCGACUGGUGUUUCCGCCUGCACGGCUGGCCUAUUAUGCUGCCGUUGUUAGGCGUCUACGUCUUCACCGACCGGCCGCCGCAUCCGCCGCUGACUGGUGUCACCGCCUGCACGGCUGGCCUGUUAUAACGCCAACUGAUGCUAUCUUCUUCACGGCUGGCUACAUCGCUGUCACUACUAAUAGGCAUCAGUAUCUUCAAUACAAGCUGCCUACGUUUGCCAUGGCUGCCGACUGGUUUCUUCACUUCCAUGGCUGCAUGAUUCUGCCAGUGUUGAUUGGCCUUACCAUCUUCAUCGCCGGUCGUCUCGUCUGCUGCUGACUAGUGCCCUCGCCUCUACAUUUGGUUUAUACAGCUACCACUACUGAUGGACAUCAUCGUCUUCCGCCGCCAACUCGUGUUAUGCCGCCGCCGACUAGUGCUUUUAUCUUCACAACUGCGCGUCUUCACUACCGGUUUGCUUCUGUUGCCGACGACUCGUGUUCACUUCAUCACGGCAAUGCAACUUUGUCAUCAUGGUAGAGCGACUUCAUCUUUAUUAUCUUCGGCACUGGCAAACUCUAUUGCUGCUACUUCGCAAGUUUUGCUACUUCACCAACCACGACGUCUUUGUGAGCCUCGACAUCUCGGCAUGCGAUGCCAUGUUAUUUUACUACAACAAGAGGCUCUCCAAUAUUCAGGAUUUCUACUUGGACAUCUUCAACACAUAUCUUCAAUCAAGCAAUGACUACUCGACGACAAGAAGCUAUAAUUCUCGACUCUAUGUUCAGUUGUUUCCCAACUAACCAAAGAGUCGGGGGCUACACAAAUAUAAGGCUCAAAAUUUGACAAAUUUUAUAUAAGCCAAUGAGUCAACUCCAGGAGUCAUUAUCUUCAUCUUUGCUUCGGAACAGACAUUCUACUUCAACAACUUCAAAUAUUUCGGUUUGGACGAGUUGGACAACAACAUCAACUCUCCUCCAAGUGAAGCAUCUACAACAGCUAUAACAUUAAUUUGAUGGAUUAUUGUCACUGACAUCAUCACCAGCACCUCUGCUUCAUCGACCCUGACAUCUCUGCUGUUGCUAAUGGAUGAUUAUGUUUUCGCCGACUUAUUAUUUCACCUUCACGGUUGACCUACUAUGCAAAUGCUGAUGAGCGUCUUUGUCAUUAUCAUUGGUUGCUACACUGCUAUUGGCUGGAUCACCGACAUCGUCAUCUUCAUCAUGUCGGUUGCGUUUGUCGUUGUCAACUACACAACUUUAUCGCUGAGCGCCUUCAUAUUCAUUGCUGGCUGACCUGACUGCCGCCGACUGGUUUCUUCGCCUCCAUGGCUAUGCGACUUCAGUACUUUUGAUUGGUAUCACUAUCUUCACUACCACCAAUAUUUUUGCCACCUCUGGUGGGCAAUAUUCUCUCUAUAUUGGUUAUCUUGUCUCUAUGCCAACUGCGUCAGCUACCAUCAAUAGACAAUUGUGACUACGACAUAAGGACAAGCUAUAUGCUCAGGGGCUUACUAGUUCAAACACAAGUAUUAUGUCUCCAAUUUGGACUUGUUCCGGAUACAUGCAACAUGAAUUUAUGAUCAUGGGUCUAUUUUCUAUGCUCAAAGACUGGACUAUUUAUUAUUCCCCGUAAGGGUUAUCAACCGAAUACUUGCGCCAGUCGGGAUUCAAUUUUUAUAUCUAUUUUGGAGUAUCCCAUAAGGGAUAAUCACUCAGAUCACAUGGUCUAUAUCACCCGGGAGCAUGUUACAUGCGUCAUCCUUUAAAGGGUAUCGAAGGCAUAUUUUUUGGCCAAGGCCUAAUAUGUCUGCAGCCCAUAUUUUCAGGUGUGGCCUGUCAUGUUCUUUUAGGGACUUAGGCACUUUUUGCUUAGGCCAAAGUGCGCGUGAUCAAGUGCCCAAUACCUUAAAAUCCUUUUAUACCGCAGUUACUCAACUUUUUAGGAGUUGGUACAAUGCAUCUUAAAAGGUGUCAAACAGUAAAGCUUUAUAUAGCUGCCCCGCUGACUUUUUAAUAUAGUCAUGGUGCUGUUUGGGUUUUUAAGCAAUUGAUUGGAUACAAUAUCGUUGCUUUUUGCCACGUAAGUGUGCAUUUUUAUUGACCAAUAUUAUGGCUUAGGCUGAUUAUAUAUUGUGGUCAUUUUUCAGGCGGUUGGUAAAUCCUUUAUGAGUUUAUUUACUCGGAUUUUAUACCACAUAUGCCAUAUAUUUCCAGGUGUGGUGGAACCAUGUGUCUUCUAGGGACUUAAGCACAUCUGUUAAAGCAGUGUGCGCAUGGGGUAUGCCCAAUACUUUGGAAAUUUCUUUAUUCACAACAUACAAGCUUUUUUAUAGCUGUUUUGCUAUGUGAAUUUUCAAUAAUGUAGCCAACUUUAGGUUACACUCAUCAUAUUUUACAAAGCAGUCGGUAUAUCACUCGGAUCAUGUUAUUCAGGGAUUUACACCGCAUAUGCUACAUAUUAAUAUCAAGUCGCUUAGUUAACUAUAAUUAUCGAAGCCACUCGGUUGGUUGGAUUAUUUAUUCCUUGACUAUAUGCUUGGUUUGUUCACUUAACCGCAUAGUCGAGGGCUACACCUAUUAGGUGCAUCUAGUCGAUGCACCUGACUUUAUUUUUCAGCCCUCCACAGUCUUCAGAUUUGGUAAAAGUACUCGGGAGACCAUGGCAAAGAUGAUUGAAGUACUCGGCUUUGGAGUAAUCUGGUUCGAGAGAAGAUUAUCUUUUCGACUGUGAAGGUCUCAGGGGCUACUGUGGAGAUUAUGGGUACCCUAUACCCACACGGCAUGGUUAUCCGACUAGUUAUAGGGGAUAACUUAUAUGUAUGGAAUAUGUAACAGAUCAUGACUUGGGUAUUACGUUUCCUUAUAUAUUACGGAACAGCCUAAAGUCCUGGUUUGAUAAUAUUGUAAAGUAGAUUUAGGAAACCGAUACCGUAUUGGUUAAGGUUUCUAUCUUGUAAUCCUGCCCCCCACCCUAUAUAAGGUGGGCAGGAGGCCCUCUAGGGGGCAUGAGCACAUAUGAUCGUCAGAUCAAUACACACUCGGCGGAUUCAAAUCCCCAAACAGGAGUAGGGUAUUACCUCUCAUUGAGAGGGCCUGAACCUGUCUAAAUCCUUUGUCUCCACAUCCAUCCACUUUUAGGUCUCGUGCGCUACCCCGUUUUAUUAUUGCCGAAUUCAUGUUUCGACAAUUUCUAUGGUGUCUACGGUUGUUUGGGAAGUACGCCGGCCACGUAUAGUGAUUGAAAUUAUGGUAGUAUUGUUUGCUGCUGGCCAGUUUCUAUGUGCUGAAGUUCUAGGAAUGCGCCUACGCAUCAACAGUCGGCUACGCCGUCAGAUAUCGCUGUGGAGCCUAGUGGUUGCACUCUUUAUUACUUGCUUUCUGUGUUUACAGAGAGCACAGGAGCUCAUAGCUGGCCAUGUGGAUAUUGUACGGUUUGCUCCUUGUGGUUGUGCUCCUAGUGACUAUUAGCAGGCUGCAGUUCCCAAUUAUAAUCAGCCGAGUACAGGGUGAUUUGGGUCGCAAAUACAUAUUUUGGCGCCCAUUUAUCCUACUAGCAGCUCGGAAAGUUCCAAGAAAAAGGUAUGAGCAAACCAGUGGCAAAUCCAAAAAAGACAAAGGAACUGGUACAAUUUUCAAUGAUGCCAGCAGUGAUGGCUCUGAUGAUGAAUUGGGCAUCGGAAGUGAAAAGGCUGCCAUUGAAACUUCUUCAGAUGAUGCAUCCUCAUCAGCUGACUCAGGUGGGAACCUCAUUGAAAUAGUAUCACUGAACAUGCUACUUACCAGUAUUCUCUCCGAUUGCAUUUGCACUUUGUUUUGCAUAUGUUUAACCGUGGAAUAAAAAACUAUGCCCUCUUUGUUUAUCUCUUAUACUUCUUCUGGAAAAUACCCUGUUCUAUGCAAAAUGCAAAAGCGAUGAAUUAAAAGAAAGUUAACGAAGACUUGAUUAUUGAGAGAACUGAUCAUACAACAGCUAGUGUUGCAAUUUAUUUUCGUACGUUCACUUGGAAUUCCUGUGUUGAUAUUUCUUUGGCUAGUAUUAUGUUCUAUGUAUCUUCAGAAUAUCAUUUAAUAUUUGUAAUGCUGGUUUAGUGCUAUGGUGAUUACGAUAUGGAAUGUCAGGAGCAAUGUACUCUUUGUUUAGAGCAGACUUUUCAUGAUAUAUGCCUUGGGAUUCUGAUUCAGUGUGAUUAAUUAUGAAAUAUUUUCUAACAGUGCAUCUGAUAUGCUACCUAGCUUGCUUAUGAAAGUGAUCUAAUUGAUGUGACAGGUAUUUCAUCUGCAGCCCAUGAUAGUGGCGAGCCUGAUGACGAUGGCAAUGCAUCACUGUAAGUUCUCUAAUUUACAAAGAGAAUGGUCUGGUGUAGGAAUUACGUUUCCUUCGAUUUUGUUUAUGUACUCCCUCCGUCCCAAAAAAAGUGAAUCUAGGACUAGAUGUGAUAUAUUAUAGUACAACGAAUCUGGACAAAUGUAUGGAUUCAUAGUACUAGGAUGUGUCACAUCCAGUACUAUGUUGGUUUUUUAUGUGACAGAGGGAGUAAUGUAGAUGAGCAGGUACAGAUAUUGUAUGGUACUGAAUGUUGAUGAUCGUCAACAAAUUGAAACUUUAGGAUUUGCUGCUCCAAUGAGGUGCACACUGGUUUAGGAUCUUUCGCUAUUGUCUCAGUGACAUGUGGGCCUACAUUGAGUGGCAAAUCGUUCUUUGGUGAUGCAAAUUUCAAAACGUUUUUCACAUUAUCAAUAGCGAUUUCCAAAAUUUUAUAGAAUCACCUGAUAUAUCUGUCAUGAGAAUCACUUAGAAGAACAAGGCUACCUUCUGGUCUUUUGCUCUAGUUGAAGACCGCUGACACGUUUUCUUUUUAUUUCUUACCAUUUGUUCAGAUCACAGAAAUCUCGCAAAGGGGGGCUUGGCUCCAUCCUCAGAGGCUCUUGUAGUUACAAGAAGGCAAAGCAGAAACAAGCCGUGCAAUUGGAUGACACCGAGGUUCCUGAUAGCCAGCCAAUGGACAUUUUCUGAGACUGAACUUGAUACUUGAAAGAAGAAACACGGACAGCUUUGGUUUUCCAUUAUUUUCAUCCACCUGAUAGCAUGCCCUGGAGUUUGAGCAUUGCAUAUUAGUAUCCCAACCAGCCUUGAUACCAUGUAGUGGGAAGAAAAAUGCACUUGGCUGAUUCUCAUGUUACCACAUGGCUUUUCUGCUCCUUGAACUAAACAAGCGCUGCGAUCUCAGCUGGAAUGUAAUCACUAUCUGGUGGAUUGUCCUCAAUCAGAGAUUCCACUGAUUUUUUUAUGAGGCGGUGUGCAACUCUUCCAAAAAGGAUAAAUGUAGCAUUGGAGCUGGCAUCACCGGCGAUGAGCACUACUUUAUAUCUACAUGGGUAAUAUACAUGUGUAUAUUAAUGUGUGCAGCACAAUUAGUAAGCAUGGAAAAAUCUGGAAUGAGGUGUGGUAUGAACCUUGGAUCUGGUAUUCCUAUGUUAGAACAGCUUGAGCAUUUGUAGCUAGAACCGUAUGGCUUAGAAGUUCUAUAGCAUAAUCGGCAUGAAUUGUACCACCAGGAAUUUUCGCUGCAUAUCCUCCUAACAGUGACAUUGACAAUGAAACGUGUACUCUGAAAAAGCAAAGAACAGAAAUGAUAUCACUAUUAUUGAAAGUGAGAAAAUGUGCAGCGAUGUAUUGAACAAAAAACUGGCAAGGAGGUACCCUGUUCUUGUGAGGAUUGAGGGCAAGUAUUUCUUGAAUAGUUUUUUCCUCUGCAGUGUCCUGGUUGUAACCUGUUGCUGGGUUAUCAACCCAGCUCACUGGACGAAAGUUUGCACUGAAGCUACAUAGUUAUAUCACGUUGAAAGUUAACUAACUGUUUCACAAGGAGUGAGAACACAUCAUGGCAAUGGAUUAUAAACAUGAGUUCAAGUAGGCAGCCUCACCUCUCUUUGAGUUCUAGCACUUCAGGAAUAUCAAGGUUUAGAUACCAUUUGCACGGCGAACUACCAGUCACUGUAAGACCUGUAUAGCAUGAACCAAAUAAAAGCAUAGCGUUAGAUGGCUAGAAUAAACAACAUAGAAGUGAAAAUGCGUAGUGAAAACGAACCUAAUCCUGUGUAAUCUUUGACAAGUGUCCCAACAAAGACAAUAACUUGGGCCUGAGUUUGGCCAGCAUUGUAUACACUAUUAGCGUCAAAAGCAUCAGCCCUUUCUCCCCAGAGUGUAACAGGCAUUGUUGAAUUGCUAUUGUUUUUCCAUGAAUAGAAAAAAGGAAACAGUGUGAGUGUAAUUUAAGAAAGCAGCGGCGCACUAAGAAUCUAUGCAUGCAUAAAAGGAAAAGGUAAAAAUUGCAAUUAAACAUAGGGAUAUUCAGUCUGAGCAAAGACACCUUGCAUCACAUAUCUGUAUUGUUCUUUUUAAGCUAUCAGCAUUCCUUGACUUCGGCCGCACAACGGUUGGCGAACCAACCUCAGUGAUGACACCCAUGACAUCUGGUUGCAUGCCAUAUAAGCCUAAUUAAUGAUGAGAUAGUAUGGAUUAUUGAUACAACAAAUAUAGCUGUGUAGAAGAAUCUCAUUACCAACAUAGAAGAUGGUCUUGUCCACUAAAUUGGGGAUAUCACUGAAUGGUGUCAAUGAAAAAGUUAUGCCAGGGAAAUCAGCAGCGGGCUCAAUGUAUUCUUCAAAUGUUGUCCAUUUACUGAACACAAUCAUUAGGCUAUUGUCGACUGGCCUGUAUGUCCUAUUCGCAUACCUCACAGUAAAGGAGUCAAUAUAGUAAACCUUUUGUUCCUUAAGCAAAGGCCUCAGGCUGUCAAUUGCAGGUGGAUAAAUCUGAGCGUGAAUGCUGUUUCCCUGCAUUUUUAAAGUAAAUAAUGUUAUCAAGAGAGUUGGCACUAUAGCCUAAUAGGCAUCGAUGAAUAAAUGUCAUAGUCACAUCAUUACCAUCUGAUCGAGCAGCACAAGAUCAGUGUGGAAAAUAUUGCCACUGCCGUUGAGAUCGCAGAAAUCCCAUAACCUAGAAACUCUUGCAAGGAUCCUUGUGUUUAAGUCUCCACAGGACAGCUGUGAAAUGAGCACAUGUGCCAUCUUGGACCUGCAAUGAGCAUAGAACUAUUUUAGAAUGGGUAAAAUGGUUGGAUAAGAUAUAACAGUCAAAAGAUUGCUUGGCAGGAUACUAUACAUGACAAAAGGCAAUAUACUAUGUACCAUACACAUAGUCUAUAGUACUUGAGGCUGAAAGACAUUUAUUCCAAAAUAUAUGUACAAAUUUGGGUAUUACUGUGGUCAAAAAUUUCAAGCAUCAAGCGGCGGAGCCUGCAAUAGUAACACAUGCACAUUACUCUGCUGAAAAUACAACGAAGUGAUGAAAAGCAAAAAAAAAAGAUAUAACGUGCGGGAAAUCACCGCUUGGACUGUAGCGCUGAGCACUUCAGAGUAAACUAUAUUUUUUGUCUGUGUACCACAUGAUCCAUCAUCAUUUUCAAUUAAUAUUUUUAGCCCUGAUCGGCUUGUUACUCUUGAAAUAGCAACGUAUAAUUGCCCAUGUGUGAAGACAGGCUUCCUAAGAUAUACGCCAACCCGCUGGAGUGUUUGACCUUGGCUUUUAUUGAUGGUCAUUGAAUAGCAAACUCGAACAGGGAACUGCCUUCUCUGCAGUGUAAAAGGCCAUUUCAUCUUUGUGGUGCCAAGUGUGAUUCGAGGUAUGUAAACAGUUUCACCAAUGUUUGAUCCAGUCAGUAUUAUACACUGUAAAAUUCUGUCUCCUAAAACUGUGACUAAUAGCCUUGUUCCAUUGCAUAACCCAAUUGAUUGAUUAAGAUUUCGUAGCAACAUUACGACAACACCUUCUUUAAGAACAAGUUUAUGCGUUGGAAAGUUAGUAGCAUUUAUUGAAUUCAGAAACUCUGGGGGGUAUAACAGAUCGAAAUCUGGAAUUUGCUCAGAGCUUUUUGAUAUGGUAUCACAGCUUAGGUAUACUCUAGAAUCUCCUGGCACUAAACCAAUAAUAUAAUCGUUUAUUUCAUCAACCGUUGUAUUAGUAGGACAAACAAUUGCACGAGAAGCCAGAUAUUCAAUGUCUCUGUAGCACGUAAGGAAAUCUGAGUAAACCUCAUGAACAAUAGCAGCUAUUUUGUCACCGCUAGUCAUAACAAGUAAGUCAUCGGGAAUUGUGAUCCAUGCAGGAUAAUUCUCACCUUCCUUUGCUGUCAUAGGUAAAGUGCCAUUGCCUAUAGCUAAAACCCAUUGACUAAAAUCAUGCAAUUCUUUUUUUUGAUUGUCUGGUAACAUUGGAUUGAGUAAUCUCAUGUUUAUAUUCAGGCUGAGUAGCGCUACAUGUUUCCAUAGUUCUGAGUUUGUGAUAGAUGCAUUGAUUAUAGCCUGACGGGAUCCUUUAGGAAUAACUGGGAGUAUUUGUUUGAAAUCACCACCUAGGACAAUAGGCUUUCCUCCAAAAGGUACAAUAGAAUUUGAAGGGCAUGUCUCUGAUAAAAUAUCUCGUAACGUUCGAUCUAAUGCUUCAAAGCAUCGCCUAUGUGUCAUUGGAGCCUCAUCCCAUAUGAUCAAUGCAGUUUCAGCUAAAAGCUCAGCAAGCAUUGUGCCUCGUUUUAUAUUACAGAUGCUUGUUUCAUCAAUGUCAAUUGGUAUUUUAAACCGAGAAUGAGCUGUCCUACCUCUAGGCAAUAGGAGAGAUGCUACCCCUGAUGAAGCGACAGCAAGAACAAUCUUGUUUUGUGAUCUAAGUUUCGCAAUUAUUGUAUUCCAGAGAAAUGUCUUGCCAGUUCCACCAUGACCAGACACAAAAAAGAAACCAGGUUCAUUAGCGAUAGCACGAGAACAAAUAGUGCUAAAAACAGUUAUCUGGUCAUUAUUCAACUGCUGUACGAAAGAGUCUGCAUGCAUAGCAAGCAUAAGUGGGUCAAUUGUGAUUUCUUCAUCGAUUAAUCUAUUAGUACCAAGAACAUGUGGAACAGAUGAUGGAUGUGGCAGGUUAAAAUCUUUGAUAUUACCACCGCUAUUUGCAAAUACAGCAAUAAGCUCAUGUAGUAGCAUGUUAAGCAAGUGGUCAUGUGGAAUCACACAGUGUGGAUUGUCAAGGGCCUUUUUUAGCCUGUUAUGUAUGUCAUCAGUCAUGUAUAGCCAGUAUUUAUCAAACAAUGAACGAACAUCACCAACAGAACAGUAAAGAAGGACUGUCACAAAAAGUUGUCUAAGCUGCGCUGAAGACGCAGUCACUAUGGCCUCAUCAAAAAGGAGAUGCCAUUCAUUAUCUCCUUCAAGAAGCCCUCGUGCCUCACAUGCCUCUCUAUACGUGCCAUAAACAACACCAUCGUAUGUGCGAACAUCAGCAUAGCUUUGAGCACCUUUGACAAUCAUUAACAACAUCCUAAGAUAGUAAAGCUCGCCCGCAGUUGGAUGCACAUAAUAUAUUCUGCCAAUUUUAGGAGCAGGUGUUCGCUCGUGCCAAGUUUUAGAUGAUGGCUCCCAUGUCCAUUCCUUAGGAAACUCACAGUAUGUCAAUGAAUGGGCCUUAGAAUUUUUUUUGUUAGUUUCAAACCAUUCAGUAAGCAUAGACCGUUUUGCACCAGGACUCUCAAGGACUGCCCGUAGGUCAGCUCCCUUCUCGUAUCUCACAAAGUUUUUCCCAGGCAGAUGGACAACCAAUCGCUCAACAGGUGGCACUCUAUAAUGUAUAUCAAAUUCAAAUAAUCGAUGAAGUGCCUCAUAGGUUGAGAGAAAUCUUGCAUCCAUGUAUUCUAAUAUUUCAUUGCGUGGAGCAAGGUCAUGAUUUGGUGAUGCAUUUUGUGUUUUUCCUGUUGUUUCAAAAUAGAUCCUAGCUCGGUCAUGGCCUUUUGUAAUAUAUUUAAAUAAAUACUUUAUCAAAUUUGAUUUGUUACACCACUCAACAUUUAUGUGUGCCUCAUAUUUUUUCAGUAAAGCCAUGUUGUAGGGUACAACUGAUCUAUUGUCUAAAAGGAUCCCAUUCUUCAUGAUAGAUCGUCCAUCAUUUCUUCGUCUAUAGAUUGUAAACCCAGAUUCAUCAACAAUGGUUUCAUCUUGGAAAUCUUUAGGAUAAUGUUUUGAACAUUUAUCGUUUUUCAUACAAGGACACUUCUUGUUCGCAUCACUGCAAGGACCAUGCAUCAUAAACUCGCUAACCAAUUCAUAUCCUAGCCGGUCGGUGUCAUAGUCAGGUAUCUCAGCACAGAUAAACCCAUCUAUUAUAGAGGCUGAGACAUCGGCAGUGGCAGCAGCAAGCCAAACUAAGCAAUGUAUGUGUGGAAGGCCACGCUUCUGGAAUUCAACAGUGUACAACACUGUAAUCAUUAAGAACAAAGGUUGAUGAGUGCCACACCAAUGGCCUUAAUACGCUAUAAACUAACAAAAUUGUGACCAUACCUGCAAGAACUUUACCAAAAGUUCUGCCUUCCCUAAUAUCAGUUAUAAAUUCAUUAACUUUCAUGUUAAACACACGCACAAUAAUAUCAGCUCUAUCAGAUGGUUGUUGGCCAGGCUCAAAUCGAAUCGCAUCUGCAAUUUCUUGCCAUUUGGAAUGACAUGUGUAUGUGACAAAAAGGUCAGGAGGCCCAUAGACACGACAUAUUGCCAUUGCAUCUUGAUAAUUCAUGACCAUAUAUCUUCUUCCUCCAGUGAAGCUAGCAGGAAGUAUGACACGCUUGCCAACUGAAUCUCCAUCAGUGACACCUUUAUCAAUCGCAUCAACAAUUCCAUCUACAGACUCAGAGCGCAACUCUUUUUGAUGAUCGAUGAAGUAUUGUAGCCUAUUUGUUUCAAUAGUAGAAAAUAUAUCAACAUCGAUUUGAUCGCUCAAGCGACCAUAGCAUGUGAAAGGAUUUGGUUCAUUUAGUCUGUAAUGCAUUUCAUAUCUAUAAUAUUCCGGCAUCGUGACAUACUUUUUGCCAAUUCCAUCAUAGUUACUGUAUUUAAUGCCUAAAUGGAAUCCGCGUUCACCAUAUGGAAACAACAAAGGAUAUUGCAAUGCCAUAUAAGAUGGAUGCAAGGGAGAAAUCUGGCACAGGCCACGACCUUUAUCGUAGACAAGCACAUCAAAUUUGUAUUCUUUCGCAGAAAAAUCACCUACUAUAAUAGCAGCUAUUUCACUGUUCGUUGGUAAAUUGUAUUGCACAUCGUCUUUUGCAUUGCAACCUAAAAGGCGAAGUGUCACUUGCUGAUUGCCAUGCUGAAUAACACGUUCUCUAGCAUACCUAAAGCUCUGGACAAGAGUAUUUUCAGCAUCAAGCAUCGAUGAUAGGGCACGAAUUAUCUCAGGAUCUGCUUUAUCUGAAUUAUCACCGUCGUUUUCAAAUAUAUUUAAUCGGUUUUGUAAUUCAUUUUCUGGAUCAUACACAUAUAAUUGCGCAAAUUUGGGAGGUGAGCCACAGGAUGGCACAAGAGUACCAAUCCUAUGGUGCACAACUCCAUUGAUCUUGAAUACAUAAGGUGCAUUUCCAGUGUUAAUCGAUUUAUCAAUAGCUGCACCCAUUGAGCUGAAAGCAAACAUCGAAUUAUACGAUCGUAUUUGCCUCAAAAAAUUUUUCGAACGUGCAUCACCAUUAUAGUUCAAUAAUGAUGCUAGUGGCUCAGGAGGGGCACGCAGUUUUGGCAAUUGUAUGCGUCCUCCUUUGCAACAUAGAUUGUAAAUUAUUUUUCUUUUUGAAAUAGCAGAUGCACUCUUGACCCUCUCCUGGUACCAGAACAUGGCACCACAAUACGGGCAUUCAUACGUCGGAGGGCCAUAGUAUGAUCUGUCUGGGUAUGAUGCUGCCACAAAAGCGCUGGACAAUGUCAAAAAUAGUCUCGUGUAAAAAAACAAUGCAUUACGUGCACGUAUUCAGAACAGCGGCCGAACCCUUUAGCAAUCGGAUAUACUCCUUGUCUGUCCGGGAGGAACUACCGUUGGCUCGUGCAGUGUGAUUUGCUGCGAACAAAGACAGUAAAACAGCCUAUGAACCUAAACUGCACGAAAAAAAACAAGCCUACCAUCACAGACAACAAAAAGAGCAUACCAUCCACAUUGGCCAAAGGAACGGACGGAUCCAUCUUUGAACGCAGGAGGGAACGCCUUUGCCUAUUUAACUUUGCCAGCUGAGGUGCAAAAUCCAUCAACGAACAUUUCCUCUUGCACCGACUUUCCUGAUGGGGCUGCCCUAGCGGAACGAUAGCAUGUUCUAUAUGCAUUGCACUCUGUUGGGACAGAACAUUUGUGGCCCUUCUCUGCCGGCUGGCACGUACCCUACGCACUCUAUCCAUAGCAUGCGUUUCUAACUGCCAUCAUAAUUUUACAGAGGCAAGAAAAGAAUGAAGCAAAGAACACGGGCAAAAAAAGUGGCUCAAACCACACAGAUACAGUGAACGAACAAUAUAAAACGACCGAAAGCUCUGGAGCAACCACAUGCAGAUUUAGACAGCGAUGAAUGCAGGCAAUAGAAACAAAAUACUAAACCAAUGAACCAUAAAUAAAGGACAGAAAGAUUAAUAGCGCGGGAAUACCUUUAGCAAGGAAUAUGCUCGUCGACAGGCAGAAUCCACUAAAACGCACCACGAAGCGAACACACAAGCUGUGAACAGAGGCAAGGAAGAAGACGGAACAGAGCUGCAGAGAACGGAGCAUGAUCAGUGAAUAAGAAUGUAGGAAGCAAAGCAUAACACAAGGCCAAUGAAACCAGCAACAACCAAAAGUACCUGCUAGGUCUUAGAAGCAGCCCGCACACGUGCAAUGGAAGAUGAUCAGGAACCUUUAAAGGUCCAUUGCAGCCCAUGCAGAUUGCCUCCCCUAAAUGGAACAAAAGGUGCAGGGUCAAUGCUACCAAGAACAGCCGCGCAGUCAUAAGCAAACAAACAAGAGAGAACAAACAUAAAACCCAAAUGACAGAACGGACAGGAGAACCACACGCAUUGAUCCAGGCCUUACCACGCCAUAACGAAAAGUUGAACAGGAGCAAAACGAGUGGGAGUUUCUCGAGCAAGGAACAGAACAAUGGAGCGAAGAAACCGACGAGAGGAGGAGAAACCGAAGGGAAGAAAGAAAGAGAAACGCAAGUAGUAAUAUAUACAGACAAAGAUAGAAGGGGUUCUCCGCCGAGCUGCAGCAAGGAAGCAAACAAUCAUGUACACCUGCACACCAAACACCCACAAAUAGGAACCAAACAAAUGGCUAGCUGAGAUGACACUGCCCCACCUAUCAGCGAUAUAAGUGCAGCGCACCUAGCUACAACCCAAGAAAACCUGACCAGAGAGACUAACAGCAUAGGCUGCAGAAGAAGAAGACUGCAUGGACCAAGACGAAUGAACCAAGCAUCCAAGCGGAUUGGACAUGGCCCAGGACGCAGAGGAACGGGGCGCAUACACCAGGACCACAGCGAUGCCUGAUAUCGACAACCCACGCAAACGCACCAAUAGCGGAGAAGCCAUCACAGAGUAAUCCCACUACAGGCGCGGUCUCCAACAGCAUAUGGUCCUAGACCGUAACACACAGGUUCAGAAUAAAGCAGACCCACCGGCCAGAGAGAAACUGUGCCAUGGACACAGCGCACACGCGCACCAAGCGACCAAAGCAAUCUGACACAGCAGCUAAGGCAAACAGCAUAGACCUGUUCCACGUUAGGUACGAACAGGCAGAGGCCAUGCGGCCCACACGGCAGCCACAGGCAAUCUGUGGACCAUGGCUACCUCAAAAAACAAAGAAAUGCACCACGCAACGCAUAACACCGGAGAAAACAAUGGCAAGGACGCCCACCCUACCCUGCGCGCGGUGCAAUGCACCGCACACAAACCAACCAAAUGAGGCCACCACACAGGGAACAACACGUGGCGGACGCAACGCAGAGAACCAGCGGACGAGAAAAAGGAAAAUGUGGCAUGCCAAACGCACCGACGCACGAUGGUCAUCCAACGGCGGAGAACGCGCGCAACGACCGCGCUCCAAAUCCACCCCUGGGCUCCGGCUGGAUGACGUGCCAAGCAACGGCAAGGGCCACGACAGCGUAAAUCGCCGCCCAGAGCAGCCAUUUCCGGCGGGUUUGUAUAUAGAAGAUGCUCGUGCAUGCUCGCUGCAAUUGUGAUGCCGAUGUUCAUGAUUGAGAAAAUAUAUCGAUAUGCGAUAAUGUUUGUCGACAUAGAAGCCUUGGCCAUUGUGUCAUUCGGCAACUUACAGAUUCCAGCAGCAAUCGCGCAUGUCGAGCUCGCAGGGUUGCGCCUUAAUCCAAAGGGCUACGACGGCCAAGGUGGCACCCCACAUCUUGUCCCAUCUCUAAAAAUCUUCUAUGGAAUGGUGAUUAGCCAGGGAAUACCUUACAUUGUAGCCGGCAUACUGGAGGUCUUCUCGUUCAUCCCUCAGAGAGCCCUCAUCCGAAAUGGUGGAUUUACAGGUCAGUGGGGAGUAGAAUCUGUCAAUCUGUACUACGCAUACGCCUACGACAAAUACAUGGAAGGAGGUUUGUUUGCAUCAAAGAGGAUCAGCCUCAGCAACUUUGCCAUUGAUUCUCUAAAUUCGGACCUGUCCAAGAAUCAGCUGUAUGGGAUACGGAUGAUGCAUAUAUUUCUGCAGAGAGAUCUGACCAGGGCAAGGCUGCUGGAGAAACUCACCAGUUCAACACAGACGAUGGCCAGGUUAAUCAGCAUGUUGGACUGGAGUAGUAGAAACCAUUGUACAGCUAUCAGGUUAUAUGCUGCCAAGGUCACUGCCAAGCUUGCAAAGAACCUCCGAGUUGUAACCGUCCCUGGAACAUUGCAGCUUGUAUCUACGCUCCUGGAUGCUGAUGGAAAGCCGAAAAGAGGACACCCACUCCUAGUUGAAGAUGAUGAUCAAGAUCAUUUUGUUGAUAUAUUAGAUAGACAAGAUAAAAAAACAUGAUAUAGCUGGUGACCAAGAGCCGACUGAGGACAUCGAUAACCUGUUGGAAGCACCAACCCGAUCAAUGCACAUCAACGACCAAAGAUACAUACCUAGAAUUUGGCAGAGGAUACUGGAGUACUGGUCGAUUCCCAAGGAGCAGCCAUUGACAGACGAUGAUCUCCUCCCUGCACUAGGCAUGUCAAUCAUAUAUAGCCUUGCUGAAUGUGAUCAAAAUAACUGCGUGGAAAUCGACAAAGUAACUGACCUGAUCCCCAAAAUCAUUGGAUUCACAAGCUUUAGAAGUGCAAUGGUAAAUUCUGAAGCACAACAGAAGGUUCUCUUAAAGUCAUCACUAAAGGUGCUUCAGAGACUCACAAGCAUUGAAGGGGAAAUUGGCAUAACACUGCGGUACAAGAUAUCAAAACAUCCCUUCUUAUUGAGAAACCUUGCAGAGAUCUUGGGAGACAGCAGCAGCAACAACCAAGAACUGAGGAGGCUCAUGGCAGGAAUCCUCAGAAACCUUGCAAUUGACAAAGACACAAGGCAGGAGAUUGGACAAAUGAAAAUGCUCAUUACCAGGCUGAUGAAGGCAUUCCUCGAUUCUAACGGAUCAUUUAGUUCAAAUGUUGAUUGCUUGCUGCCAAAGGUCGCUGGGCAAGCACUGGUAAUGCUGUCAUCAGAAAAUUCGCAUAACUGCUUCGUUAUGUUGAAGGAACUAGAUUUCGUUAAUAAACUAAAAAAUAUGAUCCUAAUCCAUGAUGAUAAAUACAUAUAUGUUGCAGCAAGUCUGUUGCGUAAUAUGUGCUUGCACGCUCAACAUGAGCUCACAGAAUCAGACCUAAAGGAACUAUCUCACACCUUACGAGAGGUGAGCCCUGCUAAUACAAACUACGAGUGCAACAUAGAUGUGUAUAGCAUGCCAUAUCAUUUUUGCAUUCUCUGUCUAUUAAUUUUUGUCAUUUUUGGUAAAAAGAAGGGGGGAUUUAUUUACCAAUGAACUAUAUAAGUAUAACUAUAGUUUGUACAGCUAUAUUUAUCAUGCUACAUGACAUUGCUGGUUCCACUACAGGUGUUGGAAAGAAUAAUAGACGCUGAAGGGGCAGAACUAGAAAUCCUCAUUGGCCUUAGUUCACAGAUAUGCAAACUCAUUCCUGAAGAAUUUGCCCAAGAGCUAGAACACGGGCAGAUUAAGCGGAGAUUCAUUAAGAGGCUAGUGGACGCACUGAAUGCAAACAUGAAACAAAAUGCUCAUUGCCCUGGGAUCAGGAGGGUGAUACUUGAGCAAUCCAUAUACAUGAUGGAGUGCAAUUCUCGCAAUGCCAAGUGUUUCAAUGAAUUCCGGAUGAUGGAUUCAGUGUCGAUGGUCGAAGAGACACCCUCAAGGGCUGAGAAGUACAUGUUUUUCUUGGGUGACAUGGGCUUCAUGGAAUGCAAGACAGCUCUCUCUGCUCUCGUGGACAGAGCAAAAGAACUGAUCAGUCGCCAGUGGCUGCAUGACAUCAACAGUGCCAACUGAAGAAAGUUGUAAGAUGAUUUUGCAUUUCAGUCAAACGAUCAUGUCAUCAUGUAUAUUGUUAGUACAGGGUAAAAAAGUUAUUGUGCAUAUGACCUUUCUAGAAAGAACAUAGAUUUUCCUUCGAGAUGAGAAAGGCUAUUUGUAUCUGUGCCUCAUUAGUCAUUAGUCCUGCACUGUAAUCUAGGAGUAUUUGCUACUGCCAAUUAUCAUUUGUUGGAGUGGACAAUGCUUAAUUGAUUAAAGAUGCUUAAGGUGAUUGCAAUUCCUACACAAUGUAUUAGUGUGUUCUAGUCUUGGCAUCGAUUAUUUUCAAAAAAAAUGUUGUUUAUUCGACUCCUGAAAAUUGGGUUUCCUGCCCUGGUAAUUAGUCCCAUUCAACACAAGAUAGUACUCUGUAGUGUUAGCAUUGCUUUGGGAUCACCUAGGUUAGAUCUAGUCGGGUAGAACACUUUGGAUAGACGAACAGCAAUAGAUGGAUUAACAAAGAGGGAGUGAGAGGGUUUAGGGAUGUGACCGGUCGAUGUUGAGGAGGAAGUGCGGCCAGCCAUCAUCGUUGUCGUCGCGGGCUUGAUGCGAACGGCAGCGACGGUGUGCUUGACGGCAACGGUGGUCGUAGCAGUGGGAGUCGUGGUCGACGAUGAGGCGUGGCGUGGCGGUGGGGCGUUCCCGUCACUGGCUGCGCCCCCUCUCGAUCGGAUUAGGGUUUGUGGGGGUGGAGUUGGCGGCGGCGACGAACUUCGUGUCUUGUGCCGCUCCGCCUCCACCCCUCUUUAUAUGGCGCAGGGUGACGGGGGCCCACCAGCCAUUGGGCUGGGUGCCCCCGAUCAGGGCGCGGGUCAAGGCCUCCUUGAGCUGUUGGGCUCAAGGGGAGGGAGAUCUAUCUAACAUUCUCCCCCUUGAUCUCACUAUUUCUUUUAGCCUUUUUCUAUUCCAUCAUAGAUUUGCAUAUAGAGCAUGUUUCAUCGUCACGGUUAAUCACCGAUGGAUUCGACAGCCACUAUACACAUCUCUAUUCAGAAACAGAUACUUUAACUUUUGGGCCCUAUAGUCCAGGAUUCAUAAGGCUUCCCUUAAACCCAUGCAUGCUGCAUGUUCCUUGAACACGUUGGGAGGUAGGCCUUUCGUGAGCGGAUCCGCGAGUAUCCUUUCUGUUCUAAUGUGCUCGAGACUGAUUGUUUGAUCCUGGACUUUGUCUUUCACAACAUAGUACUUUAUGUCAAUGUGUUUGGCAGCACCACUUGACUGAUUGUUGUGAGAGUACAUUACUGUGGGUUCGCUAUCGCAGUAUAACUUUAGUGGUUUCUCAAUACUGUCAACCACCUUUAAAACCGGGUAUGAAUUUCUUUAGCCAGUUCACCUGCCCCGUUGCCUCAUAGCAUGCUAUAAACUCGGCAUACAUAGUAGACCCUGCAGUGAUAGUCUGUUUUGAGCUUUUCCAUGAAAUAGCUCCUCCUGCCAGGGUGAACACAUAUCCCGAUGUUGACUUUGUAUUAUCUUUUGCAAAGUCAGAAUCAGAAUACCUCACUAUCUGGAGCGAUUCUGAUUUUCUGUAAGACAGCAUGAGGCCUUUUGUUCCUUGCAAAUAACGCAAGACUUUCUAUACCAAUUUCCAGUGCUCUGGGCCUGGAUUACUCUGAAAUCUGCCAAGUAACCCGGUAACAAAUGCCAAGUCAGGUCGUGUGUACAUUUGCGCAUCCUGUUGGCUUCCUACAACUGACGCAUAUGGCUUUGUUUUUCAUUUCAUUGAGCUCAUACUGAUUUCUAGGACAUUGCGAUGCCCCAUACUUUUCGCCUUUGACUAUAGGAGCAGGUGUAGCACUGCAUCUGUACAUGUUGAAUUUCUUCAACACAUUUUCUAUAUAUGCCUUUUGAGAAAGUCCUAAUGCAUACUUUGUUCUAUCUCGGUGAAUCUCUAUGCCCAAAACAUAUGAAGCCUCACCGAGAUCUUUCAUGUCAAAGUUUGAGGACAAGAAUUUCUUUGUUUCCUGCAGUAGACUGACAUCACUACUAGCCAGUAGAAUGUCAUCCACAUACAGAAUUAGGAAAAUGAAUCUCCCAUUCUUAAACUUUGAAUAAAUACAGUUGUCCUCGAUAUUCUCUUGAAACCCAAAUUUCUUUAUUGUCCCAUCAAACUUCAAGUACCACUGUCUCAAAGCUUAUUCUAAUCCAUAAAUGGAUCUCUUUAGACGGCAUCCCAUAUUUUCAUUUCCUUUCAUGACGAAACCUUUUGGUUGUGCCAUGUAUACUUUUUCCUCCAAAUCUCCAUUUAGAAAUGUCGUUUUUACAUCCAUCUGAUGUAAUUCUAAAUCAUAAUGUGCCACCAGUGCCAUUAUAAUCCCGAAGGAAACUUUACAAGAGACUGGAGAAAAUGUCUCAUUGUAAUCAAUCCCUUCUCUUUUGCGUGAAGCCUUUUGCCACAAGUCACGCUUUAAACUUUUCUAUAUUCCCUCUAGAGUCAUAUUUGGUUUUGUAGACCCAUUUACAGCCUACUGUUUUGGCUCCUUUAGGAAUUUUUUCUAAAUCCCAGACAACAUUUAAUUUCAUUGAUUUAAUUUCAUCUUUCAUGGCUUCCAACCAUUCAGAUGAGCGGGCGCUUCUUAUGGCCUCUUCAUAUGAGGUGGGAUCAUUCUGCAUAUGCGACUCUUCUAUAUUAUAAACUUCAUAGUCAUCAUGGAUAGCCGAUCUUCUGACUCUUUCAGACCUUCUAGGGGCCUCCUGUUUUGGCACAUUAUCUGUUUGAGGCUAUUGUAGCUCCUCCUCUGGUGUGGCAAUAAUUUCUGUUGAAUCCUGUAGAACAGGUUCCUCACUUUCUUUCAUUGUUGCCACAGGAGAGAUAACAAUAGGUGUUGGUACCGCAACGUCAUGCAUUGCAAGCACAACAUCAGCAGGUAGAGAGGAGAAGGCUCUUGAAUCGACUGAGCGGGCUCAGACACCCGCCUCUCGUCAAGAUCAAUUUCUCGAACUACCGAGCUCCCCCUAAUCAUUUCGUCUUCCAAGAAGACGGCAUGUCCCGUUUCUACAAACUUUGUACAACUGUUUGGACAGUAGAAACAAUGACCCUUUGAUCUUUCAGAAUAGCCAAUAAAAUGACAGCUUACUGUUUUGGGAUCCAAUUUCCCAAGAUUUGGGUUAAAUACUUUGGCCUCUGUAGGACUCCCCCACACACGGAGGAUCCAUAGCUCAUACGGUGUUUUGGGCGCUGAUGCAUUCUAUGCAUUGUAUGCAUUGUUCUAAAACUGAGAACUCCAAUGGAGGAAGAAUUACAUUCUUAACCAGUCUCUCAAUUCUCCCCCUCGAAAUAUGGCCUAAACGACAGUGCCAUAAUUUCGAUGAGACAUCAGGAGUUCGCUUUCUUUUCUUGUUUUCUUUUGUCAACGAGGACACAACAUUCACAUUCUCAAAAAGAGAUAACAAAUAAAGCUAAUCUUGCAACACAGCAAGACCAAUACAUGCAUUAUUAUACCAUAGUUCACAUUUGCCAUUUCCAAAAUGACAAUCAUAUCCAUCAAAAUACAAUUUGGAUACACUUAUUUCUUUGCAAAGAAGGGACAUAAAAAACAUCUCGAAGUAAAAGUGUGAAGCCAUUCGUGAGCUCUAGGCGAAGAUCUCUAACAGCUUCAACUUUUGCUUCAACUCCAUUGGCAACUCUAAUGGAUCUUUCGCUUCUUUGCAUAGUCCUCAUCGAACGGAAUCCCUUUAAACAAUUACACACAUGAAUAGUUGCUCCAGAAUCAAUCCACCAUGUGGAUCUAGAAUAACCAAUCAUAAUGAGAUUCAUUUACAAAUGUAAUAAUGUUCUCACCUUUCUUUGCCAUGAUCACUGUCACGAAGUCAGGACGAUCUUUCUUGGAAUGUCUUGUCUUCUUGCAGUGGAGACACUGAUCCUGUCUCAACUGUGAACUGUUGUUGCUGAGGCAGAUGCUGAGGCUGUUUUGCUUUUGAGGAGGGUGACCUGUGGCUCUUUUCCUUGUUAUCUUUAACAAGGUUAAUUGAGCCACCAAUGGUCUCUUUGAUUCUUUCCUCCUCUUGCACACAAUUAGAGAUGAGCUCUUCAAUAUUCCAUUUCUCUGGACUUAUUUUGUAGUUGACAACAAGGUUGACAAAGUGCUUUGGCAAUGAGGUCAUAACCAGAUGAACCAGAAAGUCAUCUGAGAUGCCCAAAUCUUUUUGCUUCAACUUGGAAGCCAUGUUGCUCAUCCUAAGAAUGUGGUCUUUUACACCACCUCUAUGGUACCUUUCUGUCACAAGCUGCUUUAUCAGUUGUGUCGCAUAAAACUUUGAAGAACCAGCAAACUGGCUCUUUAUACUUUCGAGGUACUUAGAGACGGUGUCAUACUCUGGGAUUAAGCCCAAUAUGGUUGGCUCAAUCGUGUUCUUUACCGCAGCCAAACAUUCCUUGUUGGCUAAGGUCCAUUUCGUAUGCCCAAUGUCAUACGACAUGAUGAGGGAAGCAUUUUCCCUCUCUCUCUUUUGCCAUUCAGCAUCUGACUCUUUUUCACCUCUGAAAAGUUCAGCAGGUUCUAUAGGACAUGGGGUAGUCAACACCCAGUCCACCUCUCCCAAGAUAAAAGCAAGGUCGAGUUCUCUUUUCCAUUCUUUGUAGUUAUCUCCUUUCAGGGUCGGAAUAUCUUUAAUGUAACCCAUCAAGGAGUAGUCACCUGAGAUAAUCAUGUAUUGUGAGAACAAAAUUAACAUUAAAAAUAUUAUGUAUUAAGUCUACAUCACCGUUGGGCAGAAAAUAGACAUAACACAUAAAGCCAUAACUAUAACAUUGCAAUCAUCAACGUGGGUCAGAAAAUUACAACAUCAUAGCACAUAAUUAAUGUUCCUAAAAUUAAAUUCUCCCGUUGGUUCGAAAUUUAAUUUUAGAAACACUAAUUUUCAUCAAUAUCAUCUAUUUGCAGCGGAAGAUCUAUAUUAAAAUCCAUAAGAACAGUAACAAAACUAUGUUAUUUACUCUCUGUAAAAAUUCUCCUGUUGGUUCAAAUUUAAACAGAGGAAAAACAUGUAAAAACAAUUCAAAAUUCUAUUGUAAUUUGCAUGAAAACAUACAAAAUACAUGUUCAGAAGCAUUUCUCACAUUUAUCUAUUCUCUAAACAAUUUUCACAAUUUACAAAUUGCUUAGAAAUAAAAACAAUCAUUAAACAUAUUGAAAAUGAUUCUGAAUAGGGACAUUUAUUAAACUUCUUUUCCUUCGCCGAGGGACCUAAUAUGGACUUUUUUGGCCUUUGCCGGUCGGCCCACGGUCGCCUUUAGGCGCUUGCGGCCAUGCCCCCUCCCCCAGGCCGCAACCUAGGCCUGGGCCAGGAAAGCCGCCCCCCGCGCGCGCCCUCUUGGGCUAUUUUCGGCCCGGCCGCCGCCGGCCGUCCGAUCGCUAGGGUUUCGAUCGGACGACCGCGCGGAGAGAUCGGGCAAAACAAAACCUGACCCCCAGUCGCCUGCGCCAAAAACCCUAGCUUCUUCUCUUCUCUCUCAUGCGACCGCCGAAACCCUAGCACAGCGCCGGCGGCGGCACGGCCCCGGCGGCGGCUUACCGCGCGGCGGCGGAACGGCGACACGGCAGCGCCGUCGCACUCCCCCUCGCCGGUGCGCGCACUCACUCAAGGGUGAGUGCGCUACCGUCGAGCGGCUGUGCCGCGGCGCCCCCUCCUUUUCUCUUCGCUUUCUCUCUCGGGCGGGCUCGGCCGCGCCGAGCGGUGUCGUCGACGCCUCUUUUCUCUUCUCCCCCAUCGCGCCACCAGCCCCACCGAGUGAGAGAGAGUAGCGGCGACGAAGGAGAUGGCGGCGCCGCCGCGGGCCCCCUCGCCGGCGCGCGCGUGCACCCGCGGGUGCGCGCGCAGCCGUCGAGGGGCUCCUUGGCGGUGCCUCUUUGCCCCUCCCCCCUCCGUUGUCGGCGUCAACGACGGCCGGCGACGAGGUAAGAUUAGGGUUAGGGUUUCUCUUUUCAAUCCGUUGGAUCGUUUGCUUUUCUUUCUUUUGCUUUUCUCUUUGGAUUUCCAUCCCCGAAAACAAGAUCCAAACGCUAGGGUUGCUCUGAUACCAUUUGUUAGCAUUGCUUUGGGAUCACCUAGGUUAGAUCUAGUCGGGUAGAACACUUUGGAUAGACGAACAACAAUAGAUGGAUUAACAAAGAGGGAGUGAGAGGGUUUAGGGAUGUGACCGGUCGAUGUUGAGGAGGAGGAAGUGCGGCCGGCCAUCGUCGUUGUCGUCGCGGGCUUGACGUGGACGGCGGCGAUGGUGUGCUUGACGGCGACGGUGGUCGUAGCAGUGGGAGUCGUGGUCGACGAUGAGGCGUGGCGCGGCGGUGGGGCGUUCCCAUCACUGGCUGCGCCCCCUCUCGAUCUGAUUAGGGUUUGUGGGGUGGAGUUGGCGGCGGUGACAAACUUCGUGUCUUGUGCCGCUCUGCCUCCACCCCUCUUUAUAUGGCGCAGGGUGAUGGGGGCCCACCAGCCAUUGGGCUGGGCGCCCCCGAUCAGGGCGUGGGUCAAGGCCUCCUUGAGCCGUUGGGCUCAAGGGGAGGGAGAUCUAUCUAACAUGUAGCAGCCCAGAACUCACCUACUAUGGCUAAGAAAUUCAGACCAUGACAAUGCGCAACUUAUGGGUUCAGUGUUUCUAUCUCUCGUUUUGUCCACCGAGCAAAAACUUUACUCCUAAUUAAUGGGUGCUCAACUGUUAUAUAAUAUAAGUCAUGCGCCCAUGUCAAUGCAUUAUGCGUGCCAUGGCCCAUGGUGCCUGAAAUUUUGUUGAGCACAGGGUUCUCAAAUUCACGCCCCUCGUGUCGAGACCAAAGCUGCGGUGCAUUGGGUUUCUGCAACUCACCUUGCAAUUAACCAGUAAUAAACUAGUAAUCGAUUCCCUAAGCAGAAUAGUCGAUUCCAGAAUAACCAUGAUUCUCUCCCUUUUUUUAGUGCGACUACAACCAUGACUAGGACUAGAACUGGAUCGGGAGGGAUGCAAGCAGGGUGGGCAAGCGGGCUUUUUUUGCCCGCUUAUCCCACUUCUAGUUCAUUUAUUCUUCUAAAUUUUGAACUACCAUGCAAGAAAUACACUAGCAAGCGGAUUUUUAUGUGGGUAGCGGGACUACCCACUUGCAUCCCUAGAUCGAGUUAGCAAAGCAACGAAAACAAGGGUUUCCUUGCCAAGCAAAGAGGAUCCAAGAAGGAUUCGGAGGGGGAUAAGGGGGGAGAGAGCACCCGUAGAGGAAUGGCCUGGAUGGGAUUCUCCCUCGCCUCGUCGGUUGCUCUUGGUCCGGUCGUAGAGCCUCGCCUGCCGUCAAGCCGGCACCCUAGCGCUUAGCUGAUCGCCUCGCCGCCAUCGCCGGUCACCUCGCGAUUACUCGGUCGAGUUGACUAGUCGAGGGCACCCCUCAGUUUUCUCGGAUCGUGCGAAGUGAAGUUAGGAGAUCUCGGGAAGUAGAUGGGCUGAUAUGUAAUUGGGGCGGUUGGUUUAUUUCUGAACAGAAACAGAAAUAUGUACUUUCUCUGUCUCAAAAUAUUACUACUACCUAGUAUCUUCUGUUCUUAGGUAUUGCUAUCCAAAAUAUUAAAAGCUUAGCGAUAAACAAAUCAUGUUGUUACCUAAAAAUUCUAUCUUAGAUAGCAAUAUUUUGAGAUAGAGGUGGUAGUUGGUGUGGAGGAGCCGAGGAGGUAGUUAAGAGUUUCCUUCGCUGGCUCGAGCUACUCUCCGCCAAACAGCCGGAUCAGCUGUUUCGCAUAGCCUUCGGAUGUUACCGGCUCCCGGCCGCUCCGGCACGUGCCAAGCCAAACACUCCGAGUCCACGACAUUCGCCCUCUGACCAGUGACGAAGCUACAUGUAAUCUGUAUAGUCAGCUAACCCCAUAGGUUUUUGCAAAAUAGAUAAAAAAAAUUGAUAUUUGUGUUGUAACAAUAGAAAACUUAAAAAAAUUUAUAGCUUUGACCCCGCAGGUUUUUGCUGCUGGCUUCCUCAUGCAUCAGGCUGUGACCUUGCCAGUUGGCACCCAUCGGUCGGGCUAGGGCUGUCAACGAGCCGAGCUCGAGCGAGCUUGCUUGCCUAGGCUCGAGCUUGUGUGACACAGGCUCGAGCCAAGCUCGAAUCGAGCCUAGUCCUCCUUCGAGCUUUUAAGCAGGCUCAGCUCGAGCUCGGUUAGGCUCGCGAGCUCGAUCAAGUAUAAGACAAUGUAUAUUUUGAUGGCAAAAUUUUGCAAAAAAAAAUAAUUUUAAUUAACAAUAUUGAAGGAAAAAAAAUGAGAAUCUAAGAUUAAUAUAUGAUGCCAAAAUACAAUUUUCACACGAAUAUAUACUAAUUUAUCCUCGAGCUACUAACUUAUCAUAUAAAAAGAUAAAUAUUUCACACACAGUUAGGCUCGUGAGAAGCUCGAGCUCGGCUCGACAAAGCUCGCGAGCUUGCAGCUAGGCUCGGGUUCGGCUCGUUAAGAUCUCGAGCUGAGCUCGAAUCGAGUCUGAGACGAGCCGAGCUCGAGCAACUCGCGAGCCUCGUGCUUUUUUUGACAGCCCUACGUCAGGCCUCCCACAGGGCCGACAUCACGUCAGGUCCAUGUCGCGCUCCUCGUGUUGCUGAGUUUCCCGGCCCAACUGCCAAACCCGUGUGUCGCGAUGAACGCACGUUCACCUCACGUCCUACCUCCAAGCAUUCCAUCCCGAGUUCGGAUGCCUCCGACAGACAAGCUGUGUUUAGAUUCAGGGGUGAAAAGUUUUGGCAUGUCACAUCGGAUAUACGGAUAUAUAUUUGAAGUAUUAAACGUAGAUUAAUAAUAAAACAAAUUAUAGAUUCCGUCUAUAAACUGCGAGACGAAUUUAUUAAGCCUAAUUAAUCCGUCAUUAGCAAAUGUUUACUGUAACACCAUAUUAUCAAAUCAUGGAGCAAUUAGGUUUAAAAGAUUCGUCUCUCAAUUCACACGCAAUCUGUAUAAUUAGUUAUUUUUUCGUUUAUAUUUAAUACUCCAUGCAUAUGUCCAAACAUUCGAUAUGACAGGGUAAAAAAUUUUGCCGGGGGAUGUAAACAGGGCCAAGAAUUCCUGUCUUUUCGGAGACAUUGCCUGAUUGACUAUGACACAUGUGAGUCGCGAUGCGCCGGUGACAACCUGGCCAAAAACAACAAUAAGGGGAAUGAGAAAGAAGGUGAAACCACAUCUGCACCUGAUAAAAAUAACAGGGGAGAUGAGGUCAUGUCACCCACAUCUACCCAAUUGAUCUCACUAAUGUGCCAAUAAGCCAAUUAUUAAUUAGAAACUUCGCACUCGUGUCGAUUGUAGCUGAAUUGACCAGCUUCGUAGAGUCAAUGUUGCAGCUUUGAAUUUUUUGUCAGGCCGGCAAUGGAGCACCGCCCAGGUUUUUCUUUUUCUUUGGACUUCCCAGUGCCCACCAUUGUUUAAAAUUUUGGAACACAGAUUGAGUUGCAUCACCGGCGGUGCCCAAGGUCUCUUGUUGAAGCGCGUGGUCCGGAAAUGGGGGACAUCGCCGGCGAAGAGCAUCGAGUCCAGAUAGCAGCCAGAGCCAGCUCCGACCGGCAAGACAAGGUCGCGGCGCCGGAAAAAUGGGUGAAUUGCUUCGUUCGCGUGGUGACACUGAUGGAGAGGACGAGCAAUGCACUCGGCACGCUGGCUUUCACUUGGGCUACCGUUGUCCUGCUAGGUGGCUACCCUGUGGUGCUCGACUCGCAUGGCGAUUUUUGGUUCGCGACAGCCAUCGUAUUCCUAGAAGCCGCAAGGUAUAUACAGCUACUUAUGUACUGCCCAUCUACACCUGUUUUUGAUUUUUUGUUCUGCAGUCUAAGUUUUCACUUUUCUUUGAUUACACAGGAUGUUCGGUCGCAACAAUAGAUUUGAUUACCAAUUGUUCUUCCGGACAAGAGGUGCUUUCAGUUUCAGAUCACUUGGCGGGAACGGACUGAUCGCGAUCGUAUACUUUUCUGCUGCUAAGGUGGCCAUUGUUGUUCGGGAGGUGCAGGACGGGGCAUUUAUGUUGAUUAUAAUCAUGGUAUUAGUAGUAAUACUACUUACGGUUGGCCCAUUAGUAUCUCGAGGAGCUCGAAGACCACGCACCUGUAGUCUGCUGCUCCGUGUGAUAUCGCUAUGGAGCCCCGUGGUUGCAAUCCUAUUGAUGGGUUCCUCCAUAUUCCAUAUGUACGGAGACAGUUUUGUCAUGUGGAUAGUGUACAUAGUGCUCCUUGCGGUUGUGCUCUUGGUGACGGUCAGCAGGCUGCGGUUCUCAAUUAUUGUCAACCAAGUGCGUCCUGCUUUGGGCAGUAAACACGUAUUUUGGCGUCGGUUUAUUCUUUUUUUUUUUUUUUUUUUUUUUUUGGCAACCGUCGGUUUAUUCUUAACUCGUGCAUGCUUGCUGCGAUAGUGAUGAUGCUUUUCAUGGUUGAUCCAGUCCUUCAACUGUUCAACACGUGAUGAUCUUGCUCGAUUUAUGUGGUUUUGCCAUACUGUCAUCUGGCAACUUGCAGAUUCCUGCAGCUAUCGUGCGCGAAGAGCUCGCGAGGAUGCGCCUUACGCGACAUGACUACAUCGGUGUUGGUGAGAAGACAAAUCUUGGCCAAUCUCUUACCAUCCUCUACAGCAUGGUGCUUGGCCAAGGCAUACUUUACAUCGUUGCCGGCACGCUGGAGGUCUUCUCGUUCAUCCCACUGAGAUCCCUCGUUUGCCGUGCUGGAUUUACAGGUCAGUGGGGAGUUGAAUCUAUCAAUCUGUACUACGAAUAUGCCUUCGACAAAUACAUGGAAGGAGGUGUGUUUGCUCCAAAGAGGAUCAACCUCAGCAACUUUGCGAUAGAUUCUAUAAACUCUGACUUGUCCAAGAAUCAACUGUACGGGAUCCAGAUGAUGCACACUUUUCUGCAAAGAGAUCCGACAAGAGCACAACUCCUGGAGAAACUCACCACUUCAAUGCAGACGAAGGCCAGGUUGAUCAACAUGUUGGACUGGACUAAUGGAAACCAACAUACAACUAUUAGAUUAUAUGCUGCGAAGGUCAUGGCCGAGUUCGCAAAGAGCCUCCGAAUUGUAACUGUCCCUGAGGCAAUGCAGCUUGUAUCAACGCUUCUGGAUACCGAGGGAAGACCAAAAAGAGGACACCCACUUCUAAAUGCAGAUGAUGAUCAAGAUCCUUUUGUUGAUCCAACAGAAGAAAGACUAGAUGCAGCUGGUGAUCAAGAGCAAAGACAAGAAUUAGUUGCGGACACUGACAACUAGCUGGAAACGCCAACCCAAUCAGCACACAGCAACGACCAAGUAUCCAUACUCAGAAGUUGGCAGAGGAUAUCAGAGUAUUGGUCAAUUCCCAAGGAGCAGCCGCUGACAAAGGACGAUCUUCUCCCAGCAUUGGGCAUGUCAAUUGUCUACAGUCUUGCUAGUUGUGAUCAAAAUAACUGUGUGGAAAUAGACAAAGUAACUGACCUGAUCCCCAAAAUCAUAGGAUUCACAAGCUUCAGAAGUGCAAUGGUGAAUUCCGUAGCACAACAGAAGGUUCUCGUAAAGUCAUCACUGAGGGUGCUGUAGAGGCUCACAAGCAUUGAAGGGGAAAUUGGCAUAGCAUUGCGGUACAAGAUAUCAAAACAUCCCUUCCUGUUGGGAAACCUUGCGGAGAUCUUGGGAGACAACACUAGCAUGCAAGAAUUAAGGAAGCUCGUCGCAGGAAUCCUCAGAAACCUUGCCAUUGACCGAGACACAAGGCAGGAGAUUGGGCAAAUGCAGGUGCUCAUUACCAGGCUGAUGAAGGCGUCCCUCAAUUCUGAUGGACCAUCUAGUACAGAUGGUGAUUGCUUGCUUCCGAAGGUUGCUGGGCAAGCAUUGGCAAUGCUGGCAUCAGAAAAUGUGCAUAACUGCUUGGUUAUGUUGAAGGAACCAGAAUUCAUUAAUAAACUAAAAAAUAUGAUCCUAAUCCAUGAUGGGAAAUGUAUAUAUGUGGCUGCGAGCCUGUUGCGUAAUCUGUACCUGCAUGCUCAAGCUCAACCCGACCUCACAGAAUCAAACCAAAAUGACCUAUCUGAUGCCUUUCAAAAGGUGAGCCCUGCUAAUCCAUACUUCAAGUGUAAUAUUAGAUAUGUAUAGUAUGUUGUAUCAUUUGUACAUUUGUUGUCUAUUAAUGUUUGUCAAGACAUAAUUAUUUUAUAAUCAAAAUGGACAUUUAUUUACCACUAAAUUGUAUAAGUAUAAUUAUAGUUUACAACUAUGUUCAUCAUGCUACAUGACAUUGCUGGUUCCACUACACAGGUCUUGGAAACAAUAACGGAUGUUGAAGGGGCAGAAUUAGAAAUCCUCAUUGGUCUUAGUUCACAGAUAUGCAAAGUCAAACCUGAAGAAUUUGUGCAAGAGCUAGAGCACGGACAGAUUAAGCGAAGAUUCGUGAAGAAGCUAGUGGAUGCACUGAAUGCGAAUAUGAAACCAAGUGUUGAUUACCCUGGGAUCCGGAGGAUGAUACUUGAGCAAACCAUAUAUAUGAUGGAGAGCAGUUCUUGCUAUGCCAAUUGUUUCAAUGAAUUUCAGAUGAUGAAUGCACUGCUGAUGGUAGAAGAGACGCCCUCAAGGGUUGAGAACUACAUGAUUUUCUUGGGUGAUACAGGCUUCAUGGAAUGCAACACACCUCUCUCUGCUCUCGUGGACAGAGCAAAACAAUUGAUUGGACAUUAGUGGCUGCAAGGCAUCAGCAGCGACAAAUAAAUAAAUUGUAAGAGAUGAAUUCCCAUUGACAGUUGCAGUGAAUUAUUGAACUGUUAUUGCAGUUGAAAUGCUAUGAAUUUAUAAUUUACGCAUGUUGUGGCGAUGACAUAAGGAACAGAGAAAAAAAAUGGUGGCAUUAGAAUCAGAAUACCAUUCAUAUUGUUACUUGUUUUUUUUUUUUUGCCGGAAUGACCGAAGGAGGUCAUUCAAUGCAAUUAAGAUAGGAAGAAAAUAUUACAAGAAAAGUUUUACAUCGACAGCUGGCUGUCGAGGAAGGAUGUGCACUAGAGCACACGCCCCGAACCAUGUGCCAACCGUCCAAACACACGCUACAGAGAGGGAAGCCAAGCACCGAACCGGCCAUCGCUAUGCGAGACCGAUCGCCACCGGGCCAACAACACCAUUAUGACACGAAGACUCUAAAACGACGCCCUCACAAGGGUCGCGACGCCGAAAGACGCCGUCGUCAUCCGUCCAAAAACUGGACAAGGUUUUCACCCAGAGUUCCUUGCCGAGGGAGGAGGGGUAUCUCAACAAUGCCCUCAGGAUGGUUACCAUGCCUGAAGGCGUAGUCACCGUUGGCCCAAAGAAAUUAGGCUAAGCUUUCGCUCGAAACCCCUUACCGCCGUGGUCCAUCGCCCAAUCCGAAUCCACCAUCUAAACAUCGGCGGCACAUGGCUUCCACCACACCCGACCGAUGCCCCUCCGCGAUUAGCUUCCAGUCCUGCCAACGACAAGACUGCCACCACACCGCACCGACGCCCCACCGUCGGCCGACUUCAUCGAACCACCAUCCCUGAGAGCUGGCCUAGGACCCCUCCAUGCCACCACCCGCCGGCCUCCUCGCCAGAUCUGGCUGAAGGAGAACCUGGGACUGGGUGGCAUUGCUUCGGCAUCCUGAGCUUCCCCCGCUGACAAGUGACAACCUGCCGUCUCAAUCCAACCUAGAAACUCCCUGCAAAGAAGGGGGGAGCUCCAGAAAGGGCGAGGGUGCCGACCAGCAACGAAGAAGACGACCCACAGCCGCCAGCUCCCUUUGCACUACCAUCUGAGCCUACGCCGAUGCCGGAAAUGCUGCCGCUCCGGCUUCGGAGCCCCCCCACGGUCGCCGCGUCUUGGGCUGCCGGCCACUAGGCGGCCAAGCCGAGCGGCCGUCGCCGAGCCGCCGCUGCCGCACCUCCGCACCGACCUCCGUGCUGCACUUCGGCCACCGCGCCGACGCAGGCUCUACUCCGGCCGAUGCGUCGACAUCGUGCCACCGACACAGCCGGCGCGCCACCACCACUGGCCGCCGCGCCACCAGCCACCACAUGGGCGCAAGCGACACUCCGGCUGCCGCGUCACCGACGUAGCCGGCGCGCUGACAGCCCGAGCCGCCGCCACGCCGGAGCCAGACCGACGCCCAGCCACCGCGUUGCCACCACGGGCCACCGCGCCGCCGCAGUGGCCCUGCCACGGUCGCCACGCCGUCGCUCGAGCUCGCGCCGUCGCCGCACCGACCAGAUUCGGGGGUGGGAGGGCCGGAUCUACCGCCUCCACACGAUGCCCUGCCAUCUUCGCCUCCAACCGCUGAGGUUGACGCUGUCGGCUUUGCCCCAACCUCCUCGCGCCAAGGAGGACGCCGCCGAGCUCAACUGGCCUCGCCGCCGCCUUCCCAGCUCGCCGGCGGCACGCCGGCAAGCUCCGGCGGUGGCGAGGUGGAGGAGAGGGCCGGGAUGCGGCGGCGCGGGCGGCUAGGGUUUCGCCUCCCGAGCCGCCCACCCGUGUUACUUGUUAGCACGGGGUAAAAAACUGGAAUGUGCAUAUGGCUUUAGAAAGAAACAUGAUUUUCGUUCGAGAUGAGCAAACGUUAUUUGUAAUUUUACCUCAUUAGUACUGUUUGUCUGCUUUUCUACUGAUGAUUUGUCCAAAUAUCAUCUCUUAAGAGUGACCAAUUAAUGCAUAAUAAUUGGUUAGAUAUAGGUGUUUAAGGUGAUUGCAGUUCCUAUGCCAAGUUCUAGUGCGUCCCGCUUUUGGCAUCAAAUUUUUUGGUAAAAUCUUUGGGUUAUUUUUUAUACCUGGAAAUUAUUUGCUAUCAAUUAAUGUGAACUCAACUGAACAUCCAUGAAAUAUACAAAUCAUGCGCCCAUGUCAACCGUGCAUGCCAUGACAUCUGACUCUAGUUUAGUACAGGGCCACUAAAGUCAUGUACAUGGCCCUAUUGAGACCAAAACUAUGCUGUACUGGAGCUUUCUACUAACUCAGCAUUGCGAUUGACCUAGUAGUAAACUAGCAACCCAAGAGCACUCCCAAGAUUCCAAAUCCCUAAGCAGAGCAGUCGAUUUCAGUAUAACCAUCACUCUGUUCUUUCUGUAAGACUAAGAGUGUAAACAUCAGUUACCUUGCCAAGAGGAGAGGGGGCACGGAGGAAGAGAUGAGGCAAAAGGGUGAUCGGAUCGGGACCUGUUUGAGGAAUGGCCUGGAGGGGAUUCGCCGGCUCGCCCUCGCCACGUAUGUCGGCUGCUCGUCUCCACCGAAGAUCCUCGCCCGCCGCCCCCGCCUGGUGCCGUCGCGCCUAGCUGGUCGCCUUGUCGGCUGCUUUGGUUGCCCGCCGGAGAUCGUCGCCCAGCCAGCACCGUCGCGCCUAGCAGCCUGGCAGGUUGCCGGCCGCCUCGCGUUAGUCGAUCGAGGCAGCCAGGCCAUUGCCGGAUCGUGCGUCUGUCGGUGGGAUGGACAAUGAGGGCUGCUAGAGAACGGUAUACCGUUCAACGGUAUAUCCAUUACCUCUCCCCUAGACGAGAUGCGUGUGUAUCCACUCGACAGGACGUGCCCCCUAGACACACUAUAGGGUCUAGUAGCUUGCCUGCCGGCUGGUAUGGAGUUGUGCUAUGUGUCAAUCGCUAGCUAGCUACGGAGUAGAAGCUAUGCAUAUGCGUCAGUAUGGGACAGUGUUCCCUGGCUGUAGUCUGCACUAAAAUUAAUUACUCUUGUAUAAUGAGUUUGCUUAUGGUAAAAUAGUUGUUCCGUUAUUUUUAUUAUUAAAUAAUUUAGAUUUUUAAGCCAACCAUGCACAAUUAUUAGUUGGCUAAUUGGGCCAACUAAUGAUUGCUCAUUUAAUUUAGUUGGAUCAUAUUAGACGAAUUGUCAAUAUUAUAUCUGGUACCCAUAGGUAGGUACCAUAGGUACCGGAGCAAAGCUAAUAUCACGGGUACCAGGUACUUGGUAUCUGGUACCCGUGAUACCUGGUAGCCUGGACGAGGAGGAGAAGAGAGAGGAUAAGGCAGCCGCGUGGUGGAGCAUGGAGGCAAGACGACGGUAGCGCGGCACCUGGACCACACGUUUGAGAAAGCUCGCGUCAGCGCACUUCGUAAUGUAGUUGUUGGUGGUGAUACCUUCUAUGCUCGGGCGAUGAUACUUGUAGGCACUUAUGAUGAUAUAUGUCUAGUUAAAAGGGAUGAUAGUGAUGAUACGUAUCAAUGUAUAGUUAUAUAUACAUGUACUAGUGUACAUAUCCAUAUGACUGAUUUGACUGCUGCAUAGGCCUCACGAUCAUGCAUGCAUGACUGGUUCACCAGCUAUCACCUGCACACAUGGACCCCACCCAUGUAAGCCUACUUCUACCAUGCAGUAGGUGUCACGCCCUAAAAAUCCUAAUUAUAUAAAUUGUUGUUUAAUUGGAAUUUUUAGAAAUUUAAAUUAAAAGCCUACAAGCUAAACCCUAAUAAUCUAGGAAAAUUUUCAACAUAAAAAUGAGCUAGAUAAAAUUUUAUUAAAUACUACACUUGCUCCUCUAUUUUCUAGAUUUUUCUGGGAAUUAUUUGAGCAAGGGAAGUAUUUUUAAUAAAUGAAACAACAUUUCACAAAUUUUUUUUAAUUAAAAAGUUCCAAAACUCCUCCUUUAAGCCGUUGGGCUGAGUUUGGCCCAACAUGCCCCCUCCCCGCCCGAGCGGCCGAGCCGGCCCAUUCGGCCCAGCCGACACCGCCCGCCCUCCCUCACGUGGGACACCGACAUGUGGGGCCCACAUGUCGGGCCCUUCUCCUACCUCCGGCCGGCCGGCCAUGCCAAGCCCGAGCCGCCGCCUUGCGCCCUCAAAUCCGCCCCAAUCCAGCCGCCCCGAGUCCGAUUGUUAGGGGGGUUUUUAUCCUCUCAUCCUCCUCUAUCUUUACCCCCAAAAAUCGAAGCAAAUCGUUGAGUAUCUUGCCCGAAUCGAACUCGUUUUCGAGUUUAUCUCCAAAACCGAGUUUUGUUUUUCUCGGAUCGAUUUCUUGCGGGAGGAGUCCGAUCUCUUCAAUCCAAGGCUUUAUAUAGGACCCCCUAGUCCUUCUCUUUCGUUUGCCCCAUCUCCCGUGCUUUCCCGUGCCUUGUAGCGCCGCCGCCACACCACCCAACCCGCCGCCGCCGCCGGCCAUCCUCCGGCCACGCCGCACCGCCGCGUCCGCCGUCGUUGCCGCCUCUCGUUGCCGCCGUUAGGUGCGCACGGGAGCGAGGAAGCUCGGCCGCCCCCUCUCCGCCGUCGCCGGCCGUCGUAGCGCCAUCACCGCCGUUCAACCGAGCCGCCGCCGCCUCUUGCGUUGUCGCCGGCCGCCGUCCCUCGUUGUUGGACGCAUUGGUGAGUACCAUCGGGUUCGCGCCGACGUCCUCUACGCGUAGGUGUCCUCCAAAAUCCCGGCCGACCACCCUAGCUCCGGCGAGGUUGCCAUCCGAGCCGGCCACCAUUGAUGACGUCAUCAUGACAUCAUCAUCUUAUCCUUUUCGUUUUUUCUAAUAGAUUAAAUCUUCAGAAAAUCGUAACUAAAUAACCGUAGAUCCGUUUCAGGUGGUUCAAGUUGCUAAAUUUUUCUAAAAUCAAGAUCUACAUGUUAAAAAUAUUCACAUGUACUGUUUAUGCUUGUUUUUGUACUGUUUUGUUGAUUUUUUGUUUAAUUGCUUUAGUUUCCGACGUUCCGGAGGAGUGCGUUUCCGUUGAGGAAGGUUCCGAAGAGUUUGCGGAAGCCCAAGACAAGUCACACAGAUCCCAAACAACCCUUUGAGCAUGUUGAACCCGUUUAAAGCUAUUAUUUAAUUUCAACUAUGCAUUAUUUUCGAAUGUCAUCGGGUGGUGAACCUUUCCCAAUUAAUUAAUGGCCGAAGAUGAUCUUAUUUUCCUAUGGGUUAUAAUUUGAUUAGCAUGAACCUUAUAUGUUGGAUUGGUUCAGCUAAAUGCUAUAUGUAAGUUUGCUUAGCCAUGUUUAGAAACAUUAGCUAACUAAAGGGAUUAAUUAUAAAUUAUGUUACUUUAUUGUUUUAAUUAUGGUUACAUUAAAUGGUAGCUCACGAUGGUUAAUCGUGUGAUGUUAAUUGAUUGAUAAUUAAAACCUGGUUAAGGUGGGUUGUGAGCAUAUGGUUUUGAUGGUUGUGCUCAUGACAAUUAAGGACCGGUUCGCGAGCUACUGUUGUGAAACAUUUAUCGUGCCAACCACAAGCCAGCGUGGGCAACGGCUUUAUCUUUUGUAUAGCAUGAUUCAUUAUAGUGCGCCAGACUGAGAAGCGGCGAGAAGUCCACGGGGGUCGCUGGGGAGUCCAUGCCUUGUUUAUAAGGGGGUGAUUAUGAUCCAGGAAAGGUGCGCUGUAAUGGAUUAUGUUGUGCAAGGGGUAUUGUCACAACUCCUUUCCGAGGUACCGUGGUGGUAUUGAGGCACAUGGUGACAUGAUGUGGGGUUGUGUCUUGUGGGUACAGUGGUACACCUCUGAUCAGAGUAAAACUAUUCGAAUAGCCGUACCCGCGGUUAUGGGUGAGUUGAGCAAUGUUUUUCGUGAUUAGUUUCACACUACUCAUCAAUGUUAAUAAUGUGAUAAUUAAUUUGACUCCUGGUUUGGAAUGGAUAAUUCCUGGUUUGGAGGUUUGAUCUGUACGACCGGGGUUGGUUGUUCAGGUUUGGUUGGGCCUGAGUGGCAUGGGUGUGCUGUUCAGUGUUGAUUAAUAUUGAUGAUUAAUUACUCUAUUGUUUUACUACUCUUAAAUCUUUGCUAAAUGCUGUUUUUGCAAAUGAGCCUAUAUUAUGCCAUCCUUUGGUAUCCUUGUGCACUUGCAUACUUGCUGUGUAGCUUGUUGAGUAUGUCAUAUGCUCAUUCUUGCAAUAUUCAAUCAUCAGAAGAGGAGUAUUUCAGCGAAGGUGAUGAUCUGUGUCGCGACCGGGAAAAUUGCCUUUUCCCGAACGCUAGUGUAUUAAUCCCCGUCCCAGGAAAAGCCGGGGUACACCACACAAACAUGAUAUAAAAGACACAUCUUUAUUAUAUCGAUAAUAUUUACAUUAUUACAAAGGCACUUCAGGCCUGACAAGCAAAAAUAAACAGCAGCGGACUAGCGGCCUACGGCUCCAUCUUCACAGGCGCUCAACUGGGGUAUAAGCCAAGACUCCACCUAAGACUUCUUCUCCAAAGCUUCUCUUACUGAAGGGGGGAGAAAGAUAGAGCAAGAAUGAGUACAACCACAGUACUCAGCAAGCCACACCGGAGGUGCAUGAUUAAUGCAAGGGAAGUACAAGGGAAUAAUAAUAUAGGGAUUAAGUUUUGCAGUAAACCGCAUUUAAAAAUCACUUAGUUGCCCAAAGCCAUUUUGUAAAGACGAUCCUAGAGCUACACAGUGUUAUUAAACAAGGCCGUGAACCCUCACGAACCUGCCUUAACCCAAGGCCUACGAUGAUUUGGACCGAACUGGCAACCCGACCCUGGGUCCCAGCUCGUCCCAAGCCAACCCAGGCCAACCAUUCCAUAUUUUAGUUGUUGAGCAAAUUUUAAGAAUUAAAACACUGACUUGGGUACAUUGCUCGGCUUGCCCAUAUCCGAGGGCUCGGCUAUUCGAAUAGAUUUACUCUGAUCAGAGGUGUACAUCUUUACCCACAAGACACAUCUUUACUCCGCAUUCCAUGGCCUUGGAACCCGUCGUAAAGAUGUGACAUAGUUUCCAACCCAUCCUAGCCUUAGACAAGAGUACCGACCCAAUCCUACCUACGGCCGGGAUACCCGGGACAGGCAGGCAGAACUGAGCCCCUAGCAUUGGGCACCAACCCUCCGCCGUAUGACAUCUCGACUACCGGGCCGCAGCUCGUGUAGCCUUCAUUUGCCCUGGAGAAUGUCCAUCGACGCCCGACUUCAUCCAUCUCCAAUCCGUGUACUUUUGUUUAUGACUAGACUGAGCCACAAACUAAGCCUUACCCAUUAGACAUGUGGAAGUACGGUAGUGCUUUGCAACAGAGGCCCGAGCUUUAGUCCUUAUAGUGGCCGGGGUGCUACUUCCCCUAACUGGCAUGCACCCAAACCCCACCGAAAACAGGUUUUAGGGGUUUUGAAAGAGAAAGAGAGGUGUAUGUCCAAUUCCACCAUAAUCCAACAAUUCCAUAGUGUCCAAAUGAUAUGAGAAUUCCCAAAGUCUAAAAUUAUAAAACCACCUAAUGUUGCCUAAUUAAACAGCGAAGCAUCUACCUAAAUUUAUACUAGUGGAACCAUGAAUAGAGUACCCACUAGUUAGGGUUUUAUUUAUUCUAGGGUGAACAAGGUAAUAAUAAUAACAAUAACAAUAAUAAGGUCAUAACAAAGGUAAUUGGGCAUGGCUAGAUAAAACAGUGAUAACGCGGGAAUUUAAAUAAAGCGGUAAUGCAAUAAUUUAAAUCAACAUAAUUUUACAAACUGGGAUUCAAUAUGUUCAAGGAUGAUGUGACUUGCCUUGCUCAGAGAGAACGGCUUUCCGAACCUUCGGCGACGACCACGAACCACGCUUCGGGAACCUCCGGAACGACGAAAGCUACGCGAAGCACACAAGCAAAGCUACAAGCCUAUAAAGAAGCAAUAACAACACAUAAAAAGAAAGCACAGGGUUCUUUAGGUUAUAACAAACAUUAGGAGACUUGAACGGGUCGAUUCAGAGUUCGUAUGACCAAGAUAUGAUCAUCCGAAGUUUAAUGCUGUUAUAUGGAGAUUUGCGGAUUAUUGUAAUUAGGUUUUGCAACUAUAAAACAUGUGUAAGCGCUAGCCUGGAAAAGACAGGAAGGCUGCGCCGUUGACAUGCGGACCCCACAUGUCAACCUAAAGGACCGCGGUAGACCGAGUGCACAGAGACGGUCCACGGGUCGACGGAAGCGGAUCCCGUGUGUCAACCGAGGCGAGUGGCCAACAAACGGACUCCACUAGACACCACACGGCCUGCACACGUGGAAACCACGCGGCUACCGAGCGGGCACACUAACACGGACACUACACGGUCACCACCCGCACACGUGAACGACUACCGACACCGGUACACGGGUACCGGGGCCGACAACCGCACAACGGGCACGGGCGACACCGAAAGGACGAGGACGGGGCAGCGAGGGAGAGGGAACCUUACCACCACGCGACGAGGCGUGGGAACGACAACGACGAACGGGCGCGGCGGAGACAGACGGGCACAACGGAGACGAACGGCGAGGGGACGGCUUCGGCGGCGAUCCUUGGGCGAAGGCGAGCUGCGGCCGGCACGAGGCUUGACGACGCGGAGCCGAGGACGAACACGAGGACGGGGCUGCAGCGGCUCGCUUGACGAACGCGGACGACGGACGAGAACGGCUCGACGGAGGGACGAACGCCACGACGACCGGGAACGACGAGAGGACGACGACGACGACGACGACCGGGACCGGCGAGGAGGCGACGAGGACAGCCGGCAGCGGCUGCACGGGGACGAGGACGACGAGGACCACGCCGCUACGAUGCCGACGACGGAGGCGGCGCCGCGAGACGACGAGCCGGGCGAGAGGGAACGGGAUGAUGACGACGAACACCGGCGGGGUUCGGUCGAAGGGGAGGCGAGGCCGAGGACGACGUCGCGACUGCGAUGCCGAAGAUGGUGGUGGAGGUGGCCGACCGGUACACGGCGAGGAGGGACGGGCGGCCGAACAACUCCGGCGAGGCGGACGGAGAGGUUCGCGGCGACGUUCCGGCGAAACCGAGGGCAGGCCGGGGUGGAGGGCGAUGCGGCGUCGCCGAGGGAGGAGACGGCGACGUCGGCCGACGCUCUGGCGCGGCGACCGGGGCAGCCGGAGGAGAUGUCGACGAGGAGGAAGGUGAGGCCGGCGCGGGCGACGGCGUUCCGGCGAAAUUCGGGCGAGGAGGAGGUGAUGCCGGGGAAGAAGGCGAUGCCGCGGUGUCGAAGGAGGAGACGGCGGCGUCGAUCGGCGCACCGGCGAUGAACAGCAGCCGGCUGGAGGGAGUACAGUGGCACCAAUGCCACUGGUUGCCGGCGGGGGCACCGUUCCGGCGAGUUUCCGGCGAGGAGACGGUAAGGCCGGUGAAGGGGACGGUGUUGCAGAGCCGAGGGAGGCGACGGCACGGCCGGACGAUGCUCCGGUGAGGAGGGAGAGGUGGCUGGAGGCCGGCCGGCGUCGGAGAGGGAGAAGGAGAAGGCGGGGAGAGGUGAUACGACCACGGGGAGGCUCGGGAAGGGGCUAAAACGAUAGAACGAAGGAUGAGGAUCCCAUUUUAUAGGAUGGGGGAGAGAGCCGGCCACGGGAGGAGCGGGAACGGCGACGGGAAUGGCGGCCGGCGGCAAAGGAAGGCGGCCGGACUUGGCGCGGCCGUUCCCGGCGAUUGGGGGCACCAUUCAAGGGGAAAUUAAGGGGGAAUUGAAGAGGAGGGAAAGGGGAUUAAUUCCCCCUAAUUAAUUUUGGAAUUAACCGAGUGAAUCAAGCGGAUUUGAGGGAGGAUUGGCGCUAGGGUUCGCACGGGGAGAGGGAAGCCGGGCGGCGGCUGGAGGAAGAAGGCGACGGCGGCCUGACGCGUGGGCCCCACGCGGGGCGCGCGGUCAGCGCGCGCACGUGCGCGCUCGGGCGGGAGGGCGCCGCUCGAGUUGGGCCGGGCGGCCGGCCCAGGAGGGGGGGGGGAGGGGUAGGCGGCUUGGGCUGGGCGGCUGGGCCGAGGCAGGCCGGGAGGAAGGAGGGGGGGAAGGGAGCUGGGCCGAGAGGGGAGGAGGCCCAAGAGGAGGGAGAGAAGGAGAGGGAGAGAAAGAGAGGGAGGAGGGAAGGACUUCGGGCUGGGCUUGGCCCAAAGGAGGAAGAGGAGGGAUUUUUAGUUUUUCUUUUUAAUAAACUUUGAUCAAGGUUGUUGUUGCUUAAUAAUUAUUUCCGGUGCUCUGAAAAUUCAAGUAAAAUUUGAGGGCUCUUUUUAGACCAAGGAGAAUUUAACAAAAAUUCUCCGGGCCACAUUGGAAUUUUUCUUGCACGUAUUUUAGUGUUUGCCAAUUUCUUUUCGAAUUUUAAUUAAUUCUAUUAUUCCUUUUAGCGAAUGAAUUUUAUUUCGGGAUGAAUUUAUCAGGACGUGACAAAUCCACCCCCCUUACAAGAAUCUCGUCCCCGAGAUUCGAGGAGGCUAGCAAGAAGAUAGGUUGGGCGGUCUUCUCUUCUUGUCUGACUUCUUCCGCUCCGUCUUCUAUAACAAACUUGCCUAGCAAAACUUCUCCACUCUGGACUGCUUGGCUCAAUCUCCUGUUGCAGAUGGAAUCUUCUCUUCACCUGACUUUUCCCUGGUUGUACCUCUAGUUGACUUCGACUGGAUUAUGGCACUUGAAGAUGGGACUUUCGUUCCAGAACUUCUCAUAAUUCAUAUCUUUGGCGUCAACCUCAUACAAGUUACCCACUUCAUGUCAUGCGUCGAGAUCAGCUCGUCAUUACUAAGAUACCAUGCUUGUCAUCAUUUAGCAUUCAAAGUAUUCCUUUACACAUUCAGCCCUGACGUAUUCUUUUUAGAUUUCUCUUAUCAAUCACCUUUCGACCUACUUCUUGGUUCGAUAAUAAACACCUUUGCUGGUAUCUUCUAUCAAUCACCUCUUAAACUUUGUCCACCAGGUACUCUUCACUCCGAGAGUUGUGGAUGCUUCUGGUGACGAUGAGGUCCUUUGGCUUGCUGCCUUUCAGUGAAACCUUGAAGUGUUUUGCCGAAAGCUAUACUAACUGUCGUUGCCUUUGAUCCGAAAAGGACUCAUCUGUAACCCUUAGUCCAAACAAAUGUCUCUUUGGUUAAUCACUUGAUUUUUCUUUUCCAUCCUCAGGUUGGUUAUUAGCUCGAGGUUAGAAUAUAGUUCCUCUGGCGCGAUACCCUAGGUCUCCUUUGUCAGUAAACAAUUAUACACAUGAUCACAUAUCCGCAUCUUCCAAAAGAAUCCUCUUAGAACUUGUUUUUAUUACCAAUUUCUCCCAUAUUACAUGAAUACAAGGCACUGUCUUAAACAAAAAGGGAAGGUGCUUAACAUCGGUACAUUGUUUCCUCUAUGGGUUAGAAUUAAUAUGAGGCCUCACAGGUACGGCGUUUGCUCCAGUGACCACAAGACGAGUGACCUGUCUUCUUCUUGCAUAAUGGCCGGAGUGAUGGCGCAGGUUACGCUUCGGCUGUGGACAAUCUCUAGAGAAAUGACCUGGUUCUUUGCAGUUGUAACAAAUCAACGUCUUCUUUGCUGAGUUGUCCGUCUGGGAACGAUCGUUCUGAUUAGGAGUUGGAAUUGGUGGUUGGAAAUCCUUGCUAACAUCGGCAUCAGUGGUGCCAUUAUUGCUAUCACCAUUGGAGUCUUUCUCAGUGUCGAAAUUGCUAAGGUUGUCAUUCUGGGUGCCUUCAUUGAUACUAUCGUCGAUAUCUUGGUGAAUGAUGUUGACAUUGUACGCUUGAUCUAAGUGGUCAUGAAUGGGGCAAGAACCAUGGUUGUUGGUGGUAUCAUCAGCAUUAGUAUUGCUAUUGUUGUUGUCUGCAUUGCGUUCAUCUUCUUGGGGCAGGAACUCUGGAUACACAACAGAAGAUCCGGUGAUCUGAAGUGGCUCAGUGCGCUGUCUUUGGUUACCACCUGGAAAUACUGGGUUGUUAACCAUCCUUCUCUUGCAAUUCGUCAUCCGAUUAUGCUCACUUUCGAGUUGCAUGGCUUUGUCCACAAGUUUCUCAAAAUCUUCAUAAUCCUCUAGAAGUAGUUGCACUGCGAGCUCAUCUUUUAACCCCUGGAGAAACUUCUCUUGUUUGUCUUCGCCCGUUUCCACAUCUUCUGGUGCAUAGUGAGCCAAACGAUAGAACCCGUGCAGGUACUCUGCGACGGUCAAAUCUCCUUGCUUCAGGUAGCGAAACUCUCGUUUUCUUAGUGUGAUCAUUCCCGAGGGAACAUGUGAUCUCCUGAAUACAGAUGAAAACUCGUUCCAGGUGGUGGUAUGUCCUUCUGGCUGUGAUGCUUCGUAGUUAUCCCACCACUCUGAAGCCGGUCCAACCAGCUGAUGAGUUGCGAAGCCAACCCGCUCCUGGUCGGUGCACUGAAUCAACCCUAGCUUCUUCUCGAUGGUGCGCAACCACUCACUGGCUUCCAUAGGAUCGACGGCAAUGGCAAAGGUUGGAGGCUCAGUUUUGAGAAAUUCUGAUAACUUGCACUGUUGCUGGACUGUAGGCACUUGAACGUUGGUUGCCCCUGCUGGGUUGUUCCAAUUCUGUAAUAGUUGAAAGGCUGUUGCCAACAUGUUGGUUUGGUUAACCACAACUUGGAUUAGCUCUGGUGAGGUUGCGUUGGUGCUUCUCUCAUUCCCAUUGGCUUGGGUUCUUGAGUCAUCGGAUCCAUCAUUCCCAUAGCCUUGGUUACCAGGAUUAUCCAUCUGUCACAAGGUAGAGGUUGAGAGGGGAAGCAUACAAGGAAAGAAUAGACCAGAACUAGGGACAAGACCUUAAAGGAACUAACUCUUUUCAAUGAUGUGUUGUUUGUUUCACUUAUUCUGCAAGUUGAUUAAGCAAACAACCUAGCAUGGUUACAUCACAACCCACUGAUGCAAACCACGCGCUACACACACAAGCAAGGAAACACACGACAAACGAAACACUAGAGGGUGGCUUAGGUUCUGCGACGGGUUCUCGAAGAUCUUCACUCCUGCUUCACAUCUGGCUUCACUGCUUCCUCCACUUCGCUAGCGGAUCCUGCAGUCUUCCGGAGCUUCGGCAAACAACUGGCGAUGUCCUCUUCUUCACUGACCUGACCAUCUAGUACUAGUUGAAAUCCGAAGAAGGAAGAAGGGAGUAAACCUUUUGCAAAUAGCAUUAGGGGAAGGAGAAAAAGGAACUUUCGCAAAUAAUUUUUAUUUAUAAAAUAUGUCCUUGGGUUUUAUCCACUUGGCUUAUCCUACAGUCGAGAUGGCUCUGAUACCAGCUUGUCGCGACCGGGAAAAUUGCCUUUUCCCGAACGCUAGUGUAUUAAUCCCCGUCCCAGGAAAAGCCGGGGUACACCACACAAACAUGAUAUAAAAGACACAUCUUUAUUAUAUCGAUAAUAUUUACAUUAUUACAAAGGCACUUCAGGCCUGACAAGCAAAAAUAAACAGCAGCGGACUAGCGGCCUACGGCUCCAUCUUCACAGGCGCUCAACUGGGGUAUAAGCCAAGACUCCACCUAAGACUUCUUCUCCAAAGCUUCUCUUACUGAAGGGGGGAGAAAGAUAGAGCAAGAAUGAGUACAACCACAGUACUCAGCAAGCCACACCGGAGGUGCAUGAUUAAUGCAAGGGAAGUACAAGGGAAUAAUAAUAUAGGGAUUAAGUUUUGCAGUAAACCGCAUUUAAAAAUCACUUAGUUGCCCAAAGCCAUUUUGUAAAGACGAUCCUAGAGCUACACAGUGUUAUUAAACAAGGCCGUGAACCCUCACGAACCUGCCUUAACCCAAGGCCUACGAUGAUUUGGACCGAACUGGCAACCCGACCCUGGGUCCCAGCUCGUCCCAAGCCAACCCAGGCCAACCAUUCCAUAUUUUAGUUGUUGAGCAAAUUUUAAGAAUUAAAACACUGACUUGGGUACAUUGCUCGGCUUGCCCAUAUCCGAGGGCUCGGCUAUUCGAAUAGAUUUACUCUGAUCAGAGGUGUACAUCUUUACCCACAAGACACAUCUUUACUCCGCAUUCCAUGGCCUUGGAACCCGUCGUAAAGAUGUGACAUAGUUUCCAACCCAUCCUAGCCUUAGACAAGAGUACCGACCCAAUCCUACCUACGGCCGGGAUACCCGGGACAGGCAGGCAGAACUGAGCCCCUAGCAUUGGGCACCAACCCUCCGCCGUAUGACAUCUCGACUACCGGGCCGCAGCUCGUGUAGCCUUCAUUUGCCCUGGAGAAUGUCCAUCGACGCCCGACUUCAUCCAUCUCCAAUCCGUGUACUUUUGUUUAUGACUAGACUGAGCCACAAACUAAGCCUUACCCAUUAGACAUGUGGAAGUACGGUAGUGCUUUGCAACAGAGGCCCGAGCUUUAGUCCUUAUAGUGGCCGGGGUGCUACUUCCCCUAACUGGCAUGCACCCAAACCCCACCGAAAACAGGUUUUAGGGGUUUUGAAAGAGAAAGAGAGGUGUAUGUCCAAUUCCACCAUAAUCCAACAAUUCCAUAGUGUCCAAAUGAUAUGAGAAUUCCCAAAGUCUAAAAUUAUAAAACCACCUAAUGUUGCCUAAUUAAACAGCGAAGCAUCUACCUAAAUUUAUACUAGUGGAACCAUGAAUAGAGUACCCACUAGUUAGGGUUUUAUUUAUUCUAGGGUGAACAAGGUAAUAAUAAUAACAAUAACAAUAAUAAGGUCAUAACAAAGGUAAUUGGGCAUGGCUAGAUAAAACAGUGAUAACGCGGGAAUUUAAAUAAAGCGGUAAUGCAAUAAUUUAAAUCAACAUAAUUUUACAAACUGGGAUUCAAUAUGUUCAAGGAUGAUGUGACUUGCCUUGCUCAGAGAGAACGGCUUUCCGAACCUUCGGCGACGACCACGAACCACGCUUCGGGAACCUCCGGAACGACGAAAGCUACGCGAAGCACACAAGCAAAGCUACAAGCCUAUAAAGAAGCAAUAACAACACAUAAAAAGAAAGCACAGGGUUCUUUAGGUUAUAACAAACAUUAGGAGACUUGAACGGGUCGAUUCAGAGUUCGUAUGACCAAGAUAUGAUCAUCCGAAGUUUAAUGCUGUUAUAUGGAGAUUUGCGGAUUAUUGUAAUUAGGUUUUGCAACUAUAAAACAUGUGUAAGCGCUAGCCUGGAAAAGACAGGAAGGCUGCGCCGUUGACAUGCGGACCCCACAUGUCAACCUAAAGGACCGCGGUAGACCGAGUGCACAGAGACGGUCCACGGGUCGACGGAAGCGGAUCCCGUGUGUCAACCGAGGCGAGUGGCCAACAAACGGACUCCACUAGACACCACACGGCCUGCACACGUGGAAACCACGCGGCUACCGAGCGGGCACACUAACACGGACACUACACGGUCACCACCCGCACACGUGAACGACUACCGACACCGGUACACGGGUACCGGGGCCGACAACCGCACAACGGGCACGGGCGACACCGAAAGGACGAGGACGGGGCAGCGAGGGAGAGGGAACCUUACCACCACGCGACGAGGCGUGGGAACGACAACGACGAACGGGCGCGGCGGAGACAGACGGGCACAACGGAGACGAACGGCGAGGGGACGGCUUCGGCGGCGAUCCUUGGGCGAAGGCGAGCUGCGGCCGGCACGAGGCUUGACGACGCGGAGCCGAGGACGAACACGAGGACGGGGCUGCAGCGGCUCGCUUGACGAACGCGGACGACGGACGAGAACGGCUCGACGGAGGGACGAACGCCACGACGACCGGGAACGACGAGAGGACGACGACGACGACGACGACCGGGACCGGCGAGGAGGCGACGAGGACAGCCGGCAGCGGCUGCACGGGGACGAGGACGACGAGGACCACGCCGCUACGAUGCCGACGACGGAGGCGGCGCCGCGAGACGACGAGCCGGGCGAGAGGGAACGGGAUGAUGACGACGAACACCGGCGGGGUUCGGUCGAAGGGGAGGCGAGGCCGAGGACGACGUCGCGACUGCGAUGCCGAAGAUGGUGGUGGAGGUGGCCGACCGGUACACGGCGAGGAGGGACGGGCGGCCGAACAACUCCGGCGAGGCGGACGGAGAGGUUCGCGGCGACGUUCCGGCGAAACCGAGGGCAGGCCGGGGUGGAGGGCGAUGCGGCGUCGCCGAGGGAGGAGACGGCGACGUCGGCCGACGCUCUGGCGCGGCGACCGGGGCAGCCGGAGGAGAUGUCGACGAGGAGGAAGGUGAGGCCGGCGCGGGCGACGGCGUUCCGGCGAAAUUCGGGCGAGGAGGAGGUGAUGCCGGGGAAGAAGGCGAUGCCGCGGUGUCGAAGGAGGAGACGGCGGCGUCGAUCGGCGCACCGGCGAUGAACAGCAGCCGGCUGGAGGGAGUACAGUGGCACCAAUGCCACUGGUUGCCGGCGGGGGCACCGUUCCGGCGAGUUUCCGGCGAGGAGACGGUAAGGCCGGUGAAGGGGACGGUGUUGCAGAGCCGAGGGAGGCGACGGCACGGCCGGACGAUGCUCCGGUGAGGAGGGAGAGGUGGCUGGAGGCCGGCCGGCGUCGGAGAGGGAGAAGGAGAAGGCGGGGAGAGGUGAUACGACCACGGGGAGGCUCGGGAAGGGGCUAAAACGAUAGAACGAAGGAUGAGGAUCCCAUUUUAUAGGAUGGGGGAGAGAGCCGGCCACGGGAGGAGCGGGAACGGCGACGGGAAUGGCGGCCGGCGGCAAAGGAAGGCGGCCGGACUUGGCGCGGCCGUUCCCGGCGAUUGGGGGCACCAUUCAAGGGGAAAUUAAGGGGGAAUUGAAGAGGAGGGAAAGGGGAUUAAUUCCCCCUAAUUAAUUUUGGAAUUAACCGAGUGAAUCAAGCGGAUUUGAGGGAGGAUUGGCGCUAGGGUUCGCACGGGGAGAGGGAAGCCGGGCGGCGGCUGGAGGAAGAAGGCGACGGCGGCCUGACGCGUGGGCCCCACGCGGGGCGCGCGGUCAGCGCGCGCACGUGCGCGCUCGGGCGGGAGGGCGCCGCUCGAGUUGGGCCGGGCGGCCGGCCCAGGAGGGGGGGGGGAGGGGUAGGCGGCUUGGGCUGGGCGGCUGGGCCGAGGCAGGCCGGGAGGAAGGAGGGGGGGAAGGGAGCUGGGCCGAGAGGGGAGGAGGCCCAAGAGGAGGGAGAGAAGGAGAGGGAGAGAAAGAGAGGGAGGAGGGAAGGACUUCGGGCUGGGCUUGGCCCAAAGGAGGAAGAGGAGGGAUUUUUAGUUUUUCUUUUUAAUAAACUUUGAUCAAGGUUGUUGUUGCUUAAUAAUUAUUUCCGGUGCUCUGAAAAUUCAAGUAAAAUUUGAGGGCUCUUUUUAGACCAAGGAGAAUUUAACAAAAAUUCUCCGGGCCACAUUGGAAUUUUUCUUGCACGUAUUUUAGUGUUUGCCAAUUUCUUUUCGAAUUUUAAUUAAUUCUAUUAUUCCUUUUAGCGAAUGAAUUUUAUUUCGGGAUGAAUUUAUCAGGACGUGACAAUCUGAAGGAUUGAGCUUGUUCUGGUUAAGAUGCCUGUGGAGUGGAGUCGCCAUAGCUGUUCCGUAGUUUGUUAUAGUUUUAUUUUUUUUUCCGCUGCGUAGAAGGUUAUUCUUUGAGAGGAACUAUCUACCUCUGUAAUAAUUUGUUUGCAAAUAUUAAAUAGUUAUUUAUUUGUACUCUAUUAUCAAUUUGUUAUUGUGUGCCUCGGUUGAUUCCUGGACGAGGGUUUAACACACAUGUAAGCGCUUGGAAUUUUGGAUAGAAAUUCCGGGCGUGACAAGUUGGUAUCAGAGCCACCUUGACCUUAGGAUAAGCCAAAUGGUAAACCUUAAGUAGCCUUCAAAAUAUUUUGAAAAAAAUAGAACUGUUCUUCUCUAUUCUCUUAUAAAUUAAUUAAGUUGGCAGCACAUGCAAGGUUAUGCACAAAAUUAAUUUAAUUCAUUUUCUUUUCUUUUAAAAGCAAAAAGUUGUUCUUUUCAAAAUGUUUCUUAUUUCACUUUAUUAAAUUUCGUUGAUUAGUCGGCACUGUACAUCUAUUAUGGUAUUGAUACAAUCAUGAUAGCACUAGUACUACUCAUCCUUUUUAUGGUGACACUGUACCGUGCUUAUAAUAGAUCAUAAGUAUUUUAGUUUUACUUUAGUUAUUUGUCAAAAAAAAAAUUAUUUGUCUCUGUCCAAAAAGUUAAAUGCUAAAAAUAUAUUUAUAUAAUGGCUUAGUACGUGUCUUUUCUUUUAUUUUUCUUCCUCUUUGGUCAAAUCAGUUAAGUCUAGAUGGUGCAGCUAACUUAAAAAAAAAUAUGCAUUAAUUCCUCUCUUCUAUGUUUCUUUAGAUGCCGCCCCAUUCACCGAGAAAUUUGAUCAAGGUGUUAGGAUUCGUCAGGGAGCUGAGGUUGAUGGCUUUUGAGGUAGGCUAUGAAGUUGCUCCUGAGUAUCGCCGGAUUUCCCAUGACCCCAACGAGGAGAAGUGUCGUGUUCGUGUGACGUUGGCUAGUGAUCGUGAAGACCUUCCGUCCAUUAAGUUCGAAGCUGGAGGAAGAUCGUACAGCCAUGCUUGUCAAGAAGCAGCUUUGGUGGCCAUUGGAGAGUUGCGUCAACGUUUUGAAGAAGAGUUGGAUUCAUCAGCUUUCUAGUAUCAUCCUCACAAGCCUCAUGGUCAAGACUAUGGAACCUAUACCUGUCCUGAUGGUGAAGAGAGUGCCACUCUGAUGCAUGCGGUGCAUAUGCUUAGUGCUAUGGAUGCAGUAAGUGUGGAGCGAGACAAAGCAGCUCAUGACAGGGAAAACUGGAAUCGAGGCAAGAUUUGCAAGUUGGAGAGCAAGGUGUACCGUCUCCAGAAGGAAUUAGCUGAACUUAAAGGAGAAACGCCGCCGCCAACCCCCAAGCUUCGCCUCACCGCAAGAAAGAGAACCUGUCCGCCACCUCGUCUCUAGUUAGCUUCGAAGAUUCGCGUGAUGGGUGAAGUUGUGCCCGAUCGUGCUGAACCUGUCAUCGACAUCGUAAGUGAUGAGGAAGAAGAGGAAGACCCUGAAGAAAGAGAGCCAGCUACUCCAGAGGAAGAAGAUCCAUCGCUUCGUUCCGACGCAAGGCGGGAUUAGUCGCUUAGUUAGGUCGUUGCCGUAGUUCGCUGUGUUAGAUUGCUUGUUUAAGUUUGCUUGUGAGUGUGUGGGUUUUAGUUGUUGCUUACAUCAUUGGUGGGAUGUAACAGCAUGAGUCUAGUUCUUUUGCUUGUCAGAGUGUAAGAUAGUUGGUGAGAUAGUGUUAAUGCAACUUAAAUGUAAGCAUACACAGUUAAGAGCAAUAUAAAAUUUAAAUUAAUUAAAUAACUCCGUUCUGAGGGUGUCUCUCUGUCGUUCUUUCCUGUUGUCUCUGCUUAUCGUCAGAUGGUGAACACGCGCACCGGAAGUGGAAGUGGAGCUGCUAACAAUGGAGGAGAUCCCACGCUAGCUCAGAUUCUGGCCCAACAAACACAACUGAUCAAUCUGUUAGUGCAGCAGGCACAGAAUCAGCAGGCAAACAAUCAGAACCAGAAUCCACCCCCACCUCCCCAAAACAAGCUGGCAGAUUUCUUACGUGUGAGACCCCCUACCUUUUCAAGCACCACCAAUCCAGUAGAAGCAGGAGAUUGGCUGCAUGCGGUGGAGAAGAAGUUGGAUUUGAUCCAGUGUACUGAGCAGGAGAAAGUUUCUUUUGCUUCGCAUCAAUUGCAUGGUCCUGCUGCUGAAUGGUGGGAUCAUUUUCGCCAAGGCAGGGCUGAAGGAGAGCCUAUUACUUGGCAGGAAUUCACGGCCGCUUUCAAGAAGACACACAUACCAACGGGUGUUGUAGCUCUAAAGAAGAGAGAAUUUAGAGCACUCAACCAGGGAUCUCGUUCGGUCACCGAGUACCUCCACGAUUUCAACCGUUUAGCUCGUUAUGCUCCGGAAGAUAUUCGCACCGAUGAAGAGCGUCAGGAGAAGUUCUUAGAGGGACUAAAUGAUGAGUUGUCUUAUGCCUUGAUGUCUACGGAUUUCCGGGAUUUCCAGCAGCUGGUGGACAAGGCGAUUCGUCAGGAAGACAAGUAUAACCGGAUGGAGCAGAAGAAGCGCAGGGCUGCCCAAUUCAAGGCACAACAGGGCAGUAACCAGAGGCCGCGUCUCGUUACGGGACCUCAAGCUCCAUCGUACCCUCAAGGAGGAUCUUCAUCAGUUGUCCGCCCCCAACGCCAGUUCUACGACAACAAUACUGGUAAUCGUGGCAAUGACAACCGCAACAUGGUUGCUCGUCCUGCAGCAACUCCAGCUCAGAACCAGCCCGUCAGGAAGGAACAGGGAAGCAAGCCAGGGGUGUGCUUCAAUUAUGGUGAUCCAGGACAUUAUGCUGAUAAGUGUCCUAAGCCUCGGCGCGUGAAGAACGCUCCAGCCCCGAACAACUCCAAUGCUCCAGCACCGAAGGCACGUGUUAAUCAUGUUGCAGCAGCAGAAGCUCAGAAUGCACCAGAUGUGGUUUUGGGUACGUUUCCUGUUAACUCUAUACCCGCAUCUGUGCUUUUUGAUUCCGGUGCUACACAUUCCUUUUUGUCUAAAAGUUUUGCGAGCAAUCAUGGGAUGGAAGUUAUUAGUCUUGGGAGACCUUUACUAGUUAAUACCCCAGGCAAUCAAGUAUCUUCGACACAGUAUUGUCCUUCCGCUACUAUAGAAAUAGAAGAAGUUCCUUUCCCAUCCUCGCUUAUCUUGCUAGAAUCCAAAGAUCUAGAUGUUAUCUUAGGGAUGGACUGGUUAUCUCGUCACAGAGGAGUUAUAGAUUGUGCUAACCGUAAGGUGACUUUAACCAGUAGCAAUGGGGAAACCGUUUCUUUCUUUGUGUCCUCUCCUAAAUAUCAUGGUGUGUUUUUAAACCAAGUUGCUCUACAAGAGAUCCCCAUAGUACAAGACUACCCAGACGUGUUUCCCGAGGAUUUGCUAGGUAUGCCACCUAAGAGAGACAUAGAGUUUCGGAUAGACUUGGUACCUGGAACCAACCCUAUCCAUAAGAGACCAUACAGAAUGGCAGCUAAUGAGUUAGCUGAGGUGAAGAGACAGGUGGAUGAUUUGCUUCAGAAAGGAUACAUCAGACCCAGUACCUCGCCAUGGGGAGCACCAGUCAUCUUUGUGGAGAAGAAAGAUCAUACUCAGAGAAUGUGCGUGGAUUAUCGAGCGUUGAAUGAGGUUACUAUCAAGAAUAAGUACCCUCUACCCAGAAUUGAUGACCUGUUUGAUCAACUGGAAGGUGCUACAGUUUUCUCCAAGAUAGAUCUCCGUUCUGGAUAUCAUCAACUUCGAAUCCGUGAGGAAGAUAUACCAAAGACCGCCUUCACAACUCGGUAUGGUUUGUUCGAAUGUACCGUUAUGUCAUUUGGACUCACUAAUGCCCCAGCCUUUUUCAUGAAUCUGAUGAACAAGGUGUUUAUGGAAUAUCUAGAUAAGUUUGUCGUGGUGUUUAUUGAUGACAUUCUUAUUUACUCCAAGACGAAAGAAGAACAUGAAGAGCAUCUUCGUCUAGCUUUAGAGAAACUACGUGAGCAUCAGCUUUAUGCCAAGUUCAGUAAAUGUGAAUUUUGGUUGUCCGAAGUGAAGUUUCUUGGUCAUGUCAUCUCAUCUGGAGGAGUGGCAGUAGAUCCAAGCAAUGUGGAGUCAGUGUUAAGUUGGAAGCAACCCAAGACGGUUUCAGAAAUUCGUAGUUUCCUUGGACUUGCGGGGUAUUACCGCAGGUUUAUUGAGAACUUUUCAAAGAUCGCCAGACCAAUGACUCGUCUGCUUCAGAAGGAAGUGAAGUACAAGUGGACAGAGGAUUGUGAACAAAGUUUCCAAGAACUGAAGAAAAGGCUAGUGACUGCGCCGGUGUUAAUUUUGCCUGAUUCGAGGAAAGGUUUCCAAGUGUAUUGUGAUGCAUCCCGACUCGGUUUGGGUUGUGUGUUGAUGCAAGAAGGAAAGGUGGUUGCCUAUGCAUCUAGGCAAUUACGUCCUCAUGAGAAUAACUACCCAACGCAUGACCUAGAGUUGGCAGCUGUGGUGCAUGCAUUGAAGAUUUGGCGUCAUUAUCUUUUCGGUAACCGUACAGAGAUGUAUACGGAUCAUAAAAGUUUGAAGUACAUUUUCACUCAACCUGAUUUGAACAUGCGUCAGCGAAGAUGGUUAGAGUUGAUUAAAGAUUAUGAUAUGGAAAUCCACUAUCACCCAGGGAAAGCAAAUGUUGUAGCCGAUGCUCUUAGCAGGAAAAGCUACUGUAAUAUGUCAGAAGGUCGACAUUUACCUUGGGAGUUAUGCCAAGAAUUUGAGAAGUUAAACUUGGAUAUAGUCAGCAAAGGUUUUGUGGCUACUUUAGAAGCUCAACCUACUCUGUUUGAUCAAGUUAGAGAAGCUCAAGUGAAUGAUCCUGAUAUCCAAGAAAUAAAAAAGAACAUGAGAAGAGGAAAAGCCAUCGGUUAUGUAGUAGAUGAGCAAGGAACUGUGUGGUUAGGAGAAAGAAUUUGCGUCCCAGAUAAUAAGGAGUUGAAGGAUACUAUCAUGAAAGAAGCUCAUGAAACUUUGUAUUCCAUUCACCCUGGAAGCACUAAGAUGUACCAAGACCUAAAGCAACAAUUCUGGUGGGCCAGUAUGCGACGUGAGAUAGCAGAAUAUGUGGCUCUAUGUGAUGUAUGUCAGCGGGUCAAGGCAGAACAUCAGAAGCCAGCCGGUCUGUUACAACCGUUGAAGAUUCCAGAGUGGAAGUGGGAAGAAAUAGGAAUGGAUUUUAUAACCGGUCUACCCAGAACGUCGGCAGGACAUGAUUCUAUUUGGGUAGUAGUUGAUAGGUUGACAAAAGUCGCUCACUUCAUACCGGUCAAAACAACCUACACGGGGAAUAAGCUUGCAGAGUUAUACAUGGCCAGAGUGGUAUGUUUGCAUGGCGUUCCUAAGAAGAUAGUGUCAGAUAGAGGUAGCCAGUUUACUUCGAAGUUUUGGCAGAAAUUACAAGUAGAGAUGGGUACCCGUUUGAAUUUCAGUACCGCUUAUCACCCUCAAACAGAUUGUCACGCCCGGAAAUUCACUAGUAAUUUCCGAACUUAUUUGUGCAUAAAAUCCUCGUCUAGGAAUCAGCCGAGGUACACAAACUGACAAUUUAAUAUACAGAUUCAUCAAAUUAACUAAAACGAUAAAUACUUACUUAUGAGGCACUUAGUCCUCAUCAUGAAGAAAACUGCAGCGGAAAAUAAAAUCUAGCGAAGCUCCGGCUCCACUCCCACAGGCAGCUCAACUGGGGUAUAAGCCAAACGUCUUCUCCUUCGAGAUCCUUUUUCUUCAACUGAGGUUGAUUGAUUAUUGCAAGGUGAGCAUAUGACAUACUCAGCAAGCCACACAGCAAAUAUGCAAGUGCACAAGGAUACCAAAGGAUGGCAUAAUAUCGGCUCAUUUGCAAAAGCAGCAUUUAGCAAAACAUUUAAGGGAAGUAAAACAGUGGAGUAAUUAAUCAGAAAUUUUAACCAACACUGAACAGCACACCCAUGCUGCACAGGCCCAACCAUUCUGAACAACCAUACCCGGCUGAACAGAUCUAACUCCAAACCAGGAGCUAAGCAAAUUAUUACCAGUUAUAACAUCUAAAAUUAUGGUGAGAGGUGUGGGACUAAUCACGAAAAACAUUGCUCAACUCGCCCAUAACCGCGGGCACGGCUAUUCGAAUAGUUUUACUCUGGCCAGAGGUGUACCACUGUACCCACAAGACACAGCCCCACAUCAUGUCACCAUGUGCCUCAGUACCACCACGGUACCUCGGAAAGGGGCUGUGACAGUACCCCUUGCAUAACACAAUCCACCGCAGCGCACCAUUCCUGGAUCAUAAUCACCCCCUUAUAAAACAAGGCAUGGACUCCCCAGCGACCCCCGUGGGCUUAUCUCCGCCACUUCUCAGUCUGGUGCCCCGCAAUGAACCAUGCUAUACAAAAGAUAAAGCCGUUGCCCACGCUGGCUUGUGGUUGGCACGGUUAAUGUUUCACAACAGUAGCUCGCGAACCGGUCCUUAAUUGUCAUGAGCACGACUCUCAAAACCAUGUGCUCACAACCCACCAUUAUCAAGUUUUAGUUGGCAAGUAAUUAAUUAACCAAUCACGAUUGACCAUCGUGAGCUACCAUUAAAUAUAACCAUAAGUGAUAGUGAAACAUUAGUUAUCCCAAAUGUGUGCUAAUGUUUCUAAGCAUGGCUAAGCAAUCAUAUCUAAUAUCUAGUUGAACCAAUAUAUAUAUAAAGCUCAACUAGUCCAAUUAUAAUAACCCAAGGUAUCAAGGAAUAAAGUAAUCAAGAACAAAAGGGCCAUAACAAAGAAUAGGUUAAUUCCACCCAAUGACAUUCGAAAAUAAAUGCACAGUUGAAAUAAAUAGAGAAUUUAAAUAUAGGAUCAACAUGCUCAAAGGAUUGUGUUUAGGAUCUGUGUGACUUGCCUUGCAAUAAUCGGUCUUCAAUUAAUCUUCUUGAAUACUUCCGGCGCACUCGCGAACCUUCGCAACGACGGAAACGACAAACUAUCACGCAAAACGAGGAAAAAGACUAAUAAAAACCAAAUAAACAAUACAUAAAAAGUAAACAAACAUGUAGAUCAUGAUUUUAGAUGAAUUUAGAGACUUGAACGGCCUCAUUCUGAUUUCAUAUGAAUUUAUUAUGAAUUUUACAAGAUUAAAUCUAUUUAAAGCCCAUUUAAAAAGAAUUAAAUAAAUUUAAUUCAAUUUAUGGACAAUUUUAAUAUGUAGAUCUUUAUUUUAUACAACUUUUGCAACUUGAACCACAUUAAACUGAGUUAAGAUGAAUUAGUUAUGAAUUUUUAAAGAUUAAAUCAGAUUAAAACCUUUAUAUGGAUUUUAAUUGAAUUAUGACGCAAUAAUGAAUUAUUUUUGAAAAGGAAAAGAAGGAUUAUUGCGUCAGCGGCUAGGGUUUCGGUGGACCGGGCGCACGGGCGGCGGUUCACGCGAACGGACGACCGAGAUCAACCCUAUCCAAAACGGACGGCCGAGAUUGAUCGGUCCACGACCGGCUCACGGCGGACGACCCCGAUGACGUCAGCGAUGACGUCACCCCGGCGGCGGCGGCUCGGCGACUCGGGCUCACAUGCUCGCCGGCGAACGGCGGCGCGACGACGCGAACGGAGGGCACCAACGGGUAGAGGGCGACGCGGCGAACUCACCGGUGACCAAAGGAACGGCGGAAGACCAACGGACGGCGGCAGCGACGAGGAGGAAGCGGCGAAGCUCUUCGGGUCGACAACGGCGACGGCGCUCCGGCGGUCUUCGGCGGCGGCGAAGCGGCGGACGGGGACGGCGGCGACUUGGCGAUCCCGACGGUGGCCUUCCCGAGUGACGACGACGACCGUAGCGACGGCGGCGCAUGGCUGGACGAACGGCAGCGACGGCGGCGCAAAAGCUCCCGAGGCUAGGGCGCUACACACGACGGCGGGCGAAGGCGAGGGAGGCGACGGGUAGAGGAGAGCUUGGGGGUCCUUAUAAAGGGGCUAGCGAGCGGCGACGGAGGCCCACGGCGACCGGCGGCGAGAAGGAAACUUUAGGGUUUGGGAGAGAGAGGAAUCCGAUUCGAUCUCGAUUCCAUCGAGUUUCCAAACCGAAUUGACCGGAGAUUCCAAAAGAGAAAAGGAAGAGGAGAUCGAGAAGAUCAUUUCCCCUCUAAAGAUUUCACCGGAGAAGGAAAGAAUCGAGCGGAUUUGGAAGGAGAAGGCGGCGGCGGCGCACUAGGGUUUGCGGGCGGCGGCGGCCGAAGGAGGAAGACGAAACCGACAAGUGGGGCCCACCUGUCAGCGGCUGAGAGAGAGAGGAGAGCGGCGGCUCGGCGAACUGGGCCGGCUGGGCCGAGGGAAAGAGAGAGAGAGGGGUUUUGGGCCGGCUUUCGGCCCAAAGCCAAAAGAAGACUUUUUAAAACCUUUUUCAAUUAAAUUAUUUCUUAAAUGCAAUUCCAUUUAUUAAAAAUACUUCCUUAGCUCAAAUAAAUCCCAGAAAAAUCUAGGAAUUAUAGAAUUGAGCAAAGUAUUUAAUGAAAUUUUAUCUGGCCCCUUUUUAUAUUGAGAUUUUGCAAAUUAAAAUUAGAUCUUCUCUUUUAGACUUUUAAAAUCAUUUCUAAUAAUUCCUUUUAAACAACAAUUUAUAAUUUAAGGAUUUUUAAACAAGAAAAGCUCUUAACAAUUAUACUUAGAUCAUUAAUGAUCAAAUAAUUACUGAACUGUUCUUUGUAUUAUUUAAGAAUUGAGCUCUGAAAAAUCCGAGAAAAUUUCAGAGAGUUGACUUAACCAUGGAGAAUUUAACCAAAAUUAAAUCCAUCCAUGCUUUAGAUUUAAGAAAUUUUAUUUCCCACAUUUAACUUCACUUGUAAAUUAAAGAACAUUUAAUAUAAAUUCUAUUAAUAAUUUAUUAAAUAAUUUAUAAAUCCUGAAACGAAAAUCAGGAUGUGACAAACUACCCCCCUUACAAAGAAUCUCGUCCCGAGAUUCGGAACGGCUAGAAAGAAAAAGGGAAUAGGUAAACUGCAGUCUAUCUUAUUCCAUAACUCCGAUAAUUAUUCUAAGGCUUUGAAGAAAACUACUGCUGCCUUGAAACUGGUGGCUGAGUUGUAACACUUGAAGACACAACUCUUGAAGACGCAACUGGCACUGCAUUGGCUCCUGUGACAACAAUGUUGUUGACCUGACCUUGCGGCUGCUGAUGCUUUGGCUUCGGACACUCUCUAGCAAAGUGGCCUGGCUUGUAACAGUUGAAACAUACCUGCUGCUUCCUUCCACUACUGUUAUUCUCCUGAGACUGAUCCUGCUGAACUGGCACCGGCUGAUUAGCUUGCUCGAUGUUAACUUCAUUGCUUUCAUUAGUCUCUGAUUUGAUCUCACCACCGAUGUUCAACUGUUGCGACUGUCCUUGACCAGCGGAAGAAGAUUCACCAAUUUGGAGUGGCUUGAUACACUGCCUCUGGCUACUACCUUGUGCCUCCUGGAAUACAGUCAUUCUCCUUUUACGGUUAUCCAUCCUGUUCUUCUUGUCUUCAAGUCGAAUUGCUUUGUCAACCAACUCCUGAAAAUCCUCAUAGUCAUGAGAGAUCAACAUAACUGAUAGCUCAUCCUUUAAGCCUUCCAAAAACUUCUCCUGCCUUUCCUCGUCAGUACGCACAUCUUCUGGAGCAUAGCGAGCUAGACGAUUGAACUCAUGAAGAUAUUCCGUCACGGUACGAUCCUUUUGCUUAAGUGCCCGGAACUCACGCUUCUUCAAAGCAACAACACCUGCAGGUAUGUGUGUCUUCUUGAAUGCUUCCGUGAACUCCGCCCAAGUGAUUGGUUGUCCUUCUGCUUUGUUCAUCCGGAAAUGAUCCCACCAUUCUGAUGCAGGUCCUUGCAACUGAUGUGAAGCGAAAACAACUUUCUCCUGAUCCGUGCACUGGAGCAGUUCCAACUUCUUCUCAAUAGUGUGCAACCAAUCACCUGCUUCCACUGGGUUGGUAGUGCUAGAAAAGGUAGGUGGCCUCACACGAAGAAAAUCAGUUAACUUGUUCUGCGGCGGUGGAGCAUUGUUGUUCCCUUGGUUGAGCUGGUUCUGCAUCUGCUGUAUCAUCAUGUUCAUUAACUGAGUCUGUUGAGCCAGAACUUGAGCAAGAGUUGGGUUCCCUUCAUUGUUAUUGUUUCCACUUCCAUUAGCACGAGUGUUCACCAUCUGUUGCAGAUUAGAGAAGAUAGGAGGAGAGGGGUUACGCUAAAGUUAAGACCUUAACCAGGUUAACACUGAUCUGAUGUGUGUAGACCAUUAUAUUGUUCAAGUUGAUUAAGCAAGCAACCUAGUAUAGUUACACACUCAUCAUUGAACCACACCAAUGACGGGAAUGCAACCAUACCUACACACAAGCAAACAACAAACGUUCUAUCCUACUAACUAUUCUUCAAAGACACUUUGGCGGCAUAGGUUCUAAGGUAGGAUCCAAACUUCAUUCCAUCUUGACCACUUGGCCCUUCAGAUCGACCAUCACCUUCUUAUUUAUCGAUCCACUUGACUUAACCUCCAUAAGUUGACCACAUUGGCGUCUUCAAGUUUCAACAACUAGUUUCAGAACCACUUAAGUUGAAAGAGAGAGGGGAGUAGACAAUGAAACAAUUUGCAAAGAAUUCUAGAUAAGGAAGAAAGGAGAAAUUUUCACAAAUCAUGUUUUCGGAAAAUUAGUCCUUAAGGUUUGACCAUUUGGCUUAUCCUACAGUCGAGAUGGCUCUGAUACCAACUUGUCACGCCCGGAAAUUCACUAGUAAUUUCCGAACUUAUUUGUGCAUAAAAUCCUCGUCCAGGAAUCAGCCGAGGUACACAAACUGACAAUUUAAUAUACAGAUUCAUCAAAUUAACUAAAACGAUAAAUACUUACUUAUGAGGCACUUAGUCCUCAUCAUGAAGAAAACUGCAGCGGAAAAUAAAAUCUAGCGAAGCUCCGGCUCCACUCCCACAGGCAGCUCAACUGGGGUAUAAGCCAAACGUCUUCUCCUUCGAGAUCCUUUUUCUUCAACUGAGGUUGAUUGAUUAUUGCAAGGUGAGCAUAUGACAUACUCAGCAAGCCACACAGCAAAUAUGCAAGUGCACAAGGAUACCAAAGGAUGGCAUAAUAUCGGCUCAUUUGCAAAAGCAGCAUUUAGCAAAACAUUUAAGGGAAGUAAAACAGUGGAGUAAUUAAUCAGAAAUUUUAACCAACACUGAACAGCACACCCAUGCUGCACAGGCCCAACCAUUCUGAACAACCAUACCCGGCUGAACAGAUCUAACUCCAAACCAGGAGCUAAGCAAAUUAUUACCAGUUAUAACAUCUAAAAUUAUGGUGAGAGGUGUGGGACUAAUCACGAAAAACAUUGCUCAACUCGCCCAUAACCGCGGGCACGGCUAUUCGAAUAGUUUUACUCUGGCCAGAGGUGUACCACUGUACCCACAAGACACAGCCCCACAUCAUGUCACCAUGUGCCUCAGUACCACCACGGUACCUCGGAAAGGGGCUGUGACAGUACCCCUUGCAUAACACAAUCCACCGCAGCGCACCAUUCCUGGAUCAUAAUCACCCCCUUAUAAAACAAGGCAUGGACUCCCCAGCGACCCCCGUGGGCUUAUCUCCGCCACUUCUCAGUCUGGUGCCCCGCAAUGAACCAUGCUAUACAAAAGAUAAAGCCGUUGCCCACGCUGGCUUGUGGUUGGCACGGUUAAUGUUUCACAACAGUAGCUCGCGAACCGGUCCUUAAUUGUCAUGAGCACGACUCUCAAAACCAUGUGCUCACAACCCACCAUUAUCAAGUUUUAGUUGGCAAGUAAUUAAUUAACCAAUCACGAUUGACCAUCGUGAGCUACCAUUAAAUAUAACCAUAAGUGAUAGUGAAACAUUAGUUAUCCCAAAUGUGUGCUAAUGUUUCUAAGCAUGGCUAAGCAAUCAUAUCUAAUAUCUAGUUGAACCAAUAUAUAUAUAAAGCUCAACUAGUCCAAUUAUAAUAACCCAAGGUAUCAAGGAAUAAAGUAAUCAAGAACAAAAGGGCCAUAACAAAGAAUAGGUUAAUUCCACCCAAUGACAUUCGAAAAUAAAUGCACAGUUGAAAUAAAUAGAGAAUUUAAAUAUAGGAUCAACAUGCUCAAAGGAUUGUGUUUAGGAUCUGUGUGACUUGCCUUGCAAUAAUCGGUCUUCAAUUAAUCUUCUUGAAUACUUCCGGCGCACUCGCGAACCUUCGCAACGACGGAAACGACAAACUAUCACGCAAAACAAGGAAAAAGACUAAUAAAAACCAAAUAAACAAUACAUAAAAAGUAAACAAACAUGUAGAUCAUGAUUUUAGAUGAAUUUAGAGACUUGAACGGCCUCAUUCUGAUUUCAUAUGAAUUUAUUAUGAAUUUUACAAGAUUAAAUCUAUUUAAAGCCCAUUUAAAAAGAAUUAAAUAAAUUUAAUUCAAUUUAUGGACAAUUUUAAUAUGUAGAUCUUUAUUUUAUACAACUUUUGCAACUUGAACCACAUUAAACUGAGUUAAGAUGAAUUAGUUAUGAAUUUUUAAAGAUUAAAUCAGAUUAAAACCUUUAUAUGGAUUUUAAUCGAAUUAUGACGCAAUAAUGAAUUAUUUUUGAAAAGGAAAAGAAGGAUUAUUGCGUCAGCGGCUAGGGUUUCGGUGGACCGGGCGCACGGGCGGCGGUUCACGCGAACGGACGACCGAGAUCAACCCUAUCCAAAACGGACGGCCGAGAUUGAUCGGUCCACGACCGGCUCACGGCGGACGACCCCGAUGACGUCAGCGAUGACGUCACCCCGGCGGCGGCGGCUCGGCGACUCGGGCUCACAUGCUCGCCGGCGAACGGCGGCGCGACGACGCGAACGGAGGGCACCAAUGGGUAGAGGGCGACGCGGCGAACUCACCGGUGACCAAAGGAACGGCGGAAGACCAACGGACGGCGGCAGCGACGAGGAGGAAGCGGCGAAGCUCUUCGGGUCGACGACGGCGACGGCGCUCCGGCGGUCUUCGGCGGCGGCGAAGCGGCGGACGGGGACGGCGGCGACUUGGCGAUCCCGACGGUGGCCUUCCCGAGUGACGACGACGACCGUAGCGACGGCGGCGCACGGCUGGACGAACGGCAGCGACGGCGGCGCAAAAGCUCCCGAGGCUAGGGCGCUACACACGACGGCGGGCGAAGGCGAGGGAGGCGACGGGUAGAGGAGAGCUUGGGGGUCCUUAUAAAGGGGCUAGCGAGCGGCGACGGAGGCCCACGGCGACCGGCGGCGAGAAGGAAACUUUAGGGUUUGGGAGAGAGAGGAAUCCGAUUCGAUCUCGAUUCCAUCGAGUUUCCAAACCGAAUUGACCGGAGAUUCCAAAAGAGAAAAGGAAGAGGAGAUCGAGAAGAUCAUUUCCCCUCUAAAGAUUUCACCGGAGAAGGAAAGAAUCGAGCGGAUUUGGAAGGAGAAGGCGGCGGCGGCGCGCUAGGGUUUGCGGGCGGCGGCGGCCGAAGGAGGAAGACGAAACCGACAAGUGGGGCCCACCUGUCAGCGGCUGAGAGAGAGAGGAGAGCGGCGGCUCGGCGAACUGGGCCGGCUGGGCCGAGGGAAAGAGAGAGAGAGGGGUUUUGGGCCGGCUUUCGGCCCAAAGCCAAAAGAAGACUUUUUAAAACCUUUUUCAAUUAAAUUAUUUCUUAAAUGCAAUUCCAUUUAUUAAAAAUACUUCCUUAGCUCAAAUAAAUCCCAGAAAAAUCUAGGAAUUAUAGAAUUGAGCAAAGUAUUUAAUGAAAUUUUAUCAGGCCCCUUUUUAUAUUGAGAUUUUGCAAAUUAAAAUUAGAUCUUCUCUUUUAGACUUUUAAAAUCAUUUCUAAUAAUUCCUUUUAAACAACAAUUUAUAAUUUAAGGAUUUUUAAACAAGAAAAGCUCUUAACAAUUAUACUUAGAUCAUUAAUGAUCAAAUAAUUACUGAACUGUUCUUUGUAUUAUUUAAGAAUUGAGCUCUGAAAAAUCCGAGAAAAUUUCAGAGAGUUGACUUAACCAUGGAGAAUUUAACCAAAAUUAAAUCCAUCCAUGCUUUAGAUUUAAGAAAUUUUAUUUCCCACAUUUAACUUCACUUGUAAAUUAAAGAACAUUUAAUAUAAAUUCUAUUAAUAAUUUAUUAAAUAAUUUAUAAAUCCUGAAACGAAAAUCAGGAUGUGACACAGAUGGUCAGACGGAAAGAGUAAACCAAAUUUUAGAAGAUAUGUUGAGAGCCUGUGUUCUAGAUUUUGGUGGAAGUUGGGAUAAGAAUUUGCCGUACGCGGAAUUCUCAUAUAACAACAGUUAUCAAGCUAGUUUGCAAAUGGCUCCGUAUGAAGCAUUAUAUGGCCGAAAGUGCCGUACGCCGCUCCUUUGGGAUCAAACCGGUGAACGUCAAGUUUUUGGGACAGACAUACUGCGAGAGGCAGAAGAAAAAGUGAAGAUUAUCCAAGAAAGGUUGCGCGUUGCUCAGUCACGUCAGAAGAGCUAUGCCGACAAUCGUCGCAGAGAUUUGGCUUUCGAAGAAGGAGAUUAUGUAUACCUUCGGGUUACGCCGUUACGAGGUGUUCAUCGUUUUCAAACCAAAGGGAAAUUGGCACCGCGUUUCGUGGGACCUUUUAAGAUUGUGAGUCGAAGAGGUGAGGUAGCUUAUCAGUUAGAGUUGUCUCCGUCAAUGGCGGGAAUACAUGACGUGUUCCACGUGUCUCAGUUGAAGAAGUGUUUACGUGUACCUACGGAGGAAGCAGAUCCUGAUCGUAUAGAGCUUCAAGAAGAUUUAACUUAUGUUGAGAAGCCAGUCAGAAUCUUGGAAGUAAGCGAGAGGAAUACCAGGAAUCGCGUUAUACGGUUCUGCAAGGUUCAGUGGAGCAAUCAUUCAGAAGAAGAAUCAACUUGGGAACGAGAAGAUGAAUUGAAGUCAGCUCAUCCGCAUCUCUUUGCCAGUUCUUCUGAAUCUCGAGGACGAGAUUCCGUUUAAGGGGGGUAGGUUUGUCACGCCCUAAAAAUCCUAAUUAUAUAAAUUGUUGUUUAAUUGGAAUUUUUAGAAAUUUAAAUUAAAAGCCGACAAGCUAAACCCUAAUAAUCUAGGAAAAUUUUCAACAUAAAAAUGAGCUAGAUAAAAUUUUAUUAAAUACUACACUUGCUCCUCUAUUUUCUAGAUUUUUCUGGGAAUUAUUUGAGCAAGGGAAGUAUUUUUAAUAAAUUAAACAACAUUUCACAAAUUUUUUUUAAUUAAAAAGUUCCAAAACUCCUCCUUUAAGCCGUUGGGCCGAGUUUGGCCCAACAUGCCCCCUCCCCGCCCAAGCGGCCGAGCCGGCCCAUUCGGCCCAGCCGACACCGCCCGCCCUCCCUCACGUGGGACACCGACAUGUGGGGCCCACAUGUCGGGCCCUUCUCCUACCUCCGGCCGGCCGGCCAUGCCAAGCCCGAGCCGCCGCCUUGCGCCCUCAAAUCCGCCCCAAUCCAGCCGCCCCGAGUCCGAUUGUUAGGGGGGUUUUUAUCCUCUCAUCCUCCUCUAUCUUUACCCCCAAAAAUCGGAGCAAAUCGUUGAGUAUCUUGCCCGAAUCGAACUCGUUUUCGAGUUUAUCUCCAAAACCGAGUUUUGUUUUUCUCGGAUCGAUUUCUUGCGGGAGGAGUCCGAUCUCUUCAAUCCAAGGCUUUAUAUAGGACCCCCUAGUCCUUCUCUUUCGUUUGCCCCCUCUCCCGUGCUUUCCCGUGCCUUGUAGCGCCGCCGCCACACCACCCAACCCGCCGCCGCCGCCGGCCAUCCUCUGGCCACGCCGCGCCGCCGCGUCCGCCGUCGUUGCCGCCUCUCGUUGCCGCCGUUAGGUGCGCACGGGAGCGAGGAAGCUCGGCCGCCCCCUCUCCGCCGUCGCCGGCCGUCGUAGCGCCAUCACCGCCGUUCAACCGAGCCGCCGCCGUCUCUUGCGUUGUCGCCGGCCGCCGUCCCUCGUUGUUGGACGCAUUGGUGAGUACCAUCGGGUUCGCCCCGACGUCCUCUACGCGUAGGUGUCCUCCAAAAUCCCGGCCGACCACCCUAGCUCCGGCGAGGUUGCCAUCCGAGCCGGCCACCAUUGAUGACGUCAUCAUGACAUCAUCAUCUUAUUCUUUUCCUUUUUUCUAAUAGAUUAAAUCUUCAGAAAAUCGUAACUAAAUAACCGUAGAUCCGUUUCAGGUGGUUCAAGUUGCUAAAUUUUUUUAAAAUCAAGAUCUACAUGUUAAAAAUAUUCACAUGUACUGUUUAUGCUUGUUUUUGUACUGUUUUGUUGAUUUUUUGUUUAAUUGCUUUAGUUUCCGACGUUCCGGAGGAGAGCGUUUCCGUUGAGGAAGGUUCCGAAGAGUUUGCGGAAGCCCAAGGCAAGUCACACAGAUCCCAAACAACCCUUUGAGCAUGUUGAACCCGUUUAAAGCUAUUAUUUAAUUUCAACUAUGCAUUAUUUUCGAAUGUCAUCGGGUGGUGAACCUUUCCCAAUUAAUUAAUGGCCGAAGAUGAUCUUAUUUUCCUAUGGGUUAUAAUUUGAUUAGCAUGAACCUUAUAUGUUGGAUUGGUUCAGCUAAAUGCUAUAUGUAAGUUUGCUUAGCCAUGCUUAGAAACAUUAGCUAACUAAAGGGAUUAAUUAUAAACUAUGUUACUUUAUUGUUUUAAUUAUGGUUACAUUAAAUGGUAGCUCACGAUGGUUAAUCGUGUGAUGUUAAUUGAUUGAUAAUUAAAACCUGGUUAAGGUGGGUUGUGAGCAUAUGGUUUUGAUGGUUGUGCUCAUGACAAUUAAGGACCGGUUCGCGAGCUACUGUUGUGAAACAUUUAUCGUGCCAACCACAAGCCAGCGUGGGCAACGGCUUUAUCUUUUGUAUAGCAUGAUUCAUUAUAGUGCGCCAGACUGAGAAGCGGCGAGAAGUCCACGGGGGUCGCUGGGGAGUCCAUGCCUUGUUUAUAAGGGGGUGAUUAUGAUCCAGGAAAGGUGCGCUGUAAUGGAUUAUGUUGUGCAAGAGGUAUUGUCACAACUCCUUUCCGAGGUACCGUGGUGGUAUUGAGGCACAUGGUGACAUGAUGUGGGGUUGUGUCUUGUGGGUACAGUGGUACACCUCUGAUCAGAGUAAAACUAUUCGAAUAGCCGUACCCGCGGUUAUGGGUGAGUUGAGCAAUGUUUUUCGUGAUUAGUUUCACACUACUCAUCAAUGUUAAUAAUGUGAUAAUUAAUUUGACUCCUGGUUUGGAAUGGAUAAUUCCUGGUUUGGAGGUUUGAUCUGUACGACCGGGGUUGGUUGUUCAGGUUUGGUUGGGCCUGAGUGGCAUGGGUGUGCUGUUCAGUGUUGAUUAAUAUUGAUGAUUAAUUACUCUAUUAUUUUACUACUCUUAAAUCUUUGCUAAAUGCUGUUUUUGCAAAUGAGCCUAUAUUAUGCCAUCCCUUGGUAUCCUUGUGCACUUGCAUACUUGCUGUGUGGCUUGUUGAGUAUGUCAUAUGCUCAUUCUUGCAAUAUUUAAUCAUCAGAAGAGGAGUAUUUCAGCGAAGGUGAUGAUCUGAAGGAUUGAGCUUGUUCUGGUUAAGAUGCCUGUGGAGUGGAGUCGCCAUAGCUGUUCCGUAGUUUGUUAUAGUUUUAUUUUUUUUUCCGCUGCGUAGAAGGUUAUUCUUUGAGAGGAACUAUCUACCUCUGUAAUAAUUUGUUUGCGAAUAUUAAAUAGUUAUUUAUUUGUACUCUAUUAUGUAACAUACCCGAAAUUUUAGGACUUAAAAUUUCUUGUCAAAAUAGUUAGAGGUUAACUUCUCCAAUUUUGAGAGCCAAAAUUUCCGUUUUAAUUUAGGUGAUGACCAACUUAAACCAUUGCAUGAUUAAAAUUUGAGAACAAAAUAAAAUCUUUUCAUUCCCAACAUUAGACUAGAAAUGUCACCAAGCAUACAUGUACAUAAUGCAUGCCUAGGCUCGAGUUCUUUGUGCAUUUGGAGUUUUGGUCUUGCAUUCCAUAAUAGAUCCCAUGAGCAUAAUCUAAAAGAAUUACUUCACUAAACAAACCUAUAGUUAAUCUUGAGUGAUAACAUGUGGACUUAAUAUUAAACUCAAAUAUCAUCUUCUCAGUCUAAAACAAGUUUAAUGUAAUCCCUAUAAUAAUAUUAGAUGCAAUUAUGAAGUGGGAACACAUAUACAAACAAAGGUCAACUUAAUUCUCUAAAAUAUUUUGUGCAAGAUAAAAUCAUGGAAAAAUUUAUGUGGACAAUGAUUAGCACAAACUUAUCCUCUGUAAUUUGGUAACAUGUUAACACUCAAGUUGAUAUCUCAAAUUAAUCGGUUGAAGCAGACAACUAAAAGAAAUCAAAUUAAAUUUAAUUGGCUAAAACCAUAUUUCAUCCAAAAGUACAUUGAACUGCACAUAAGUGAACAUGGGAAAUGAUUUAUUCAAACACUAGAUUAGUUAUCAUGAAUAAAUGUAAUUUUUCUAGAAUUUUCCUCCUCUGUUUAAGCCUCCUAAAAAUUCAAUCUAGCUUUCUAAUAGCCCAUCUUUGUUUAAUUUCUGUGAGCAGUCUACCCAUUAUUUUUGAGUGCAACCAAAGAAAAUGGAAUCUAGGUGUAAUCAUUUACCUCCAGUAAAUUCAACACUAGAUAAUUUGGUCCACACAUUAAGUUAUGAAGCUACAAAGUUAGAGGAGAAAAUAAUUCCGAAAAUUAAUCUAAAAAUCAAGUUUACCAGUCUUCUACCCAUAUCUCUCUCCCUGGCCUAGUUUCCAUCGAGUUGGCCCCACUUGUCAGUGCCUUAGGCUAGGUUCAGCCCUGUCCAACACUUCCUCCUUCUACACCUCUCUCUUGCCUAGUGGGACCCCAUUGUCAGCCUCACAUCCCUCUCCACACGGGCCCACGACUCAGACCCCGCGCGCCACGCGUGUGAGCACGCGUUGAGCGCGGAAGAGGGCGAGCUCCUCCUCCCCAUCUCCGCCGGCGACCGUACUUAACCCGACCGGCCGACCAACUCUCACUCUCUCUCGCCCCUGUCUCGUUUCGCGGAAGAACCGAGGUACCCCGCCUCGGAUUCGCCGGGAACGGGGGUGCCAACUCCGGCGCCGGUGAGAGAAGUCCUCGACGCCGUCGCAAUCCGGUGAGCUCCAUUUCCGUUCAAUAAGCAUUCUGUAAUUCCCUCUCAAUGCCGUCUCUAACGCCACCAAGAACGCCUCUUUUAGUGCAGCCAAUCUCCGGGAACGCGACCGCGUCAACUCGGAACACCGUCGCGCUCUGGCCGCCGACGCCAUUCCUUUCUUUCUCCUUCUCUGGUGAGCUUCGGCGCAAUCUUUUUCGCCUAGAGCUACCUUGUGCUGAUCUAAACCGAAGCAUGCACCCUCUAUAUGCAGUAGAAGCCCGGGAGUACACCGUCGACGACGACCGUAGCAGUUGCGCCGUCGCCGAACCAGUACACCGUCGCUAAGACUUCGCCGAGCCGCGUUUGAUUCUUGGUGAGCCUCCUAGUAGUCCCUAGAGUCCUUAUCAUACGCAUGCACGAUUAAAUCGAGCCUCAAAACCCACGUGCAUGUGCAAGCCGAGCUUAGCCACCGCCUCUAACACCCUAACAGCCGCUAUAGAGCACCAAAUCUUGCCAGAAAGCCACCAAUAGGUUCGCACGGUUGUUCUCUACACUUUUUGUUUUGGGAGCUUAAGCUGAAUCGCCGUUGUUCGCCACUGGUGAUGCUGUGAAGCUCGCGGCUGUGCUGCUGCUCUGCUCUGUCCAGAGCAAGGGCAUGGCUUUUGAAAUUUAAAGACUCCCAGGGAUGUAUUAACAACUGGAACAGUCACUUACAAGUAGGACCAGUAAUAAUCUGUAAAUAAACUAAAACUCAAGCAUCGUUUUGCAUACAAACCUAAAACUAGGGGACUGCGGGAUCUAUUUCCCGAGAAACCAGGGGUUUUUGCGAAAAAUGUUAGUAACUGACAUAUGGGCCUAGGACUGCGGGUUGAUUCCUAGAAACCUCAAGGGCCUUUGUGCAUAUUGGUCCCUCACAGCCAUGUGGACCCAUCCUUUAAAAUCUGAAGAAAAAUUAGGAAAAUGCCCAAACAAUUAUAUGUUUAGCAGAAAAAUGCACAAAGUUGUAAAAUCUAUAUAAAAUCAAAUAUAGCUCAUUUUGAAGUGAUUCCAGUUGCUGUAGAUUCUUGAAGUUAUGAAAUUUAUUCCAGGAAUAUAAAACUUGACACUUACUGUACAAAUAAUGUCUCUAAGAUUUAUCUAAGAUAAGUCAUACAUAAAACAUGUACAAACUUAUAAAAUGCAUAGAAAAUUCAUUUCAACUCAUUUUGAAACAAAAUCAAAUUCUACAGAUUCAUCAUCAUACAGUCUCUGAUUAGGUGAAAUAAAAGUAAUUACUUACUUUGCAUCAAAUGCCUCUAAAACUAUAAUCUCUAUAAUGAUUAAUUUUAGAUAAGCUAAACUUUAGAAAUUGAUGUAGAACCCAAUUUAGCUUCAAUUUGAGUAAACUUAAGUUCUGUAGGAUCAUUAAAACAUGUAUUUCCAAGUUAUGAAAUAAUAUUAUAUACUUACUGUGUAGUAAAAGUCUCUAAAUAUUCAUAUAAGGAUUUACUAACAUAGAGCAGCCAUUAAUUUGUAAAAACUUGUAGAAAAUUCAUUUUUAGUCCAAAUGAAAUGAACAAAGUUUCUAUAGAACCAGCAAAUAGUUAUCUUCAACAUAGUAAAAUAAAAUUUGGCACCUUCUGUAGAGAACAUUGAUCAAAACCUUAACUUAGUGAAAUAAGAAUUUAAACACAUAGUGUUGUUUAAGUAAUACAUAAACAUGUAUAAGUAUAUAUAUACACUUUAGGUCUAAUUAAACCUAAAUAAAAACUUGAUUGACCAGUGAAGCCAUAGUUCCAUCCUCAUCCACUAAAAUUAGAAGAACUUAGCUCAUAUAACAAUUUCUAGGUUAAUAUAAUAUAUUGCUAGUUUAGAUUAGAGCAUCUCUAGUUUAUAAAAUAUGAACCAUACUAGUAAAGAUCAUAAACAUGUGAACUAAAAAUGUUUUAGUUAACCAAAUUAUUCCUUUUAUUCAACUUAAACAGGAAGUAGCAUGUUCUGAACCUAUCACUCAAAAGUCAUGAACAUAUAAAACACUAUAUGCCUAAAACAUGUUGUAACUUGUAAAAUCUAUAAGAAAAUCAUUAUAACUCCAAAAAUUGUGAAACCAAAUGUGUUAGUCUUAGAAAACACAACUUCACACUCCUAUGAAGUCUAAUCUAGUAAAAAUCACUUUACAAAAGUAUUUCAUAACACUACCUAAGACUAUACUACUAUAAACCGAUAAAACUUCUAAAAUUCAUAACUCCCAAAUGGAAUAAAAUAAAAUAGGAAUUAUUUCACCUAAAUUCAUUUUAGAUCAGUACCAACCCACUGUGCAUAAAUCAUGCAUUUUAGAGCAUUUUGGAUUUUCAGCUCUUUCGGUGUUUAAUUGCAUAUCGUGUCCUUUAUCUAGAUAAUUGCAUAAUCGGUGAAGAAGUGGAUUAGGUGCUAACAAUUCUCUGAUCAAGGCAAGUUUUCUCCUCCCAUCCUUUGAACACAUUGAAUCCCAUGAUUUGAGGAAUGAAAAUAUUUGUUUGCAAAGUUGCAUGUGAACUUAGACUAUAUCGGUAUUUGAAAUUGGGUUAAGGUAGUUAUGACUUAUUUGCUGCAUAUUCCACCUUGAAUAAUUGAUCCUCUUGCUGUUUGAACCCCUAGAAAUGGUUAGAGUACACUCUUUGUGCUCAAAUGGGUUUAUAUAUGCUCUAUGUGCAACUACUUGCUCAGCCAUGCUUAGAAAUAUGCAAAUGCUCAUUCCAUCUAUAAUUAAAAUGUGAAUUUUUAUACAUGAACCCUUGCUGGAAUAAAAUGAAUAUGAUGGGUAUUUACGAACUAAAAUGUGUAAAAUGUGAUUUUAUACUUGGGCGGCAAGUGGUGUGCAUAUGGUAUUAGUUGCAUACCGAUAGGGGAAGUGUUUGCCCAAGUCCAUAAGGACCGAACUUGUGUCACCCAUUUAAAGUUAUCCGUACAUCCACAUGUGCUAGUAUGGGAUGGCCUAAGCUGAUUAAUCUAUUUAGGACUAGCCUUGCAUUCUGGUAGGCCGGUGUGUAUGAGUUAGUCGAUAAUUCUGAGGAAUUAGUCGAUGAUUCAGAGGAACUUCCUAUUUGCCCCGACGUGGUAGUUUAGGUGACUAAGUCUGUCCAAUACAACGGUAUUGUGCCACGUGGUGGGUUCCCGUCGUGUCCGCCACCACGGCGUUAAGUUUAAGGCGUGGGCCCGCCACUUAACGGUUCUAGGUAUAUUCCAAGUAUGCCUAGGAUGGAGGAACACGUAUCGUGCUGGUGCAAGGCUAGAUUCUAAGUAGUGUAAAGGCUUCGUUAUGACCUCUAGAUCACAUUCAACAUGAAGAGUGUGAUGGAGUCUUGCAAACUCAAAACAAACUAGAGAGUUCAUAUCAUGUGGGUAAAGCUGUACAAACUCUGCAGAGUUCUUUAAACUAAUCGAUUAGCCGUGCUCACGGUCAUGAGAGCUUUGGUGAUGUGUCAUGAGUAUAGACUAUGUUUUAAAAAUGUGAUCUUGUGACAUUGGUUUGAAAUUGAUAAAUGUGUUGAGUUGUGUAUGUGGUGAUACAUUAUGACUUAUUGUUAAGUAUGGCAAUAAGAGAUUGUUUAUGAUGGAAUUAUGAAGAAGUUAAUAAUGAAACUUAAAACUUGUCUUUGUUAAUUGAAGCAUCAACUCUUUUACAAAAGAAUUGCGAAACAAAACUUGCUUUAUGCUGAAAAUGAACUACAUAUUGCCUUCCUUUGAAUAUAUGCCUUACAUGUAGUAUGGUAGGAUUGACUUGUGCUUGCCAGUACAUUAACUUGUUUAAUGUACUGACUCUUGCUGUUGAUAUAACCCUUUGUUUGCAGGUUUAGUCUUAGUCUUUGAGUGAUGCGGGUUCCGAUUGCUUCUUCUAGGAUGAGAACUUAAUGGGGUAAACCCCUAGUCGGUGUGCUUGUGAUUGGGUAGUCAAGCUUCCGCUGUUCUCUAUUAAGUCUAUUUGGCCGGUCGGCCUAUGUAAUUAUUAAGUUGUUGUAAGUCUUAAGUUCUUUCAUCUUAGUUGUGUUUGCUAUGUAUAAUCAUGCUUAAGAUGAAAGUGUGGAUCUAGUGCACAUCCUGGGAACUAGAUUCACAUGAGUAUGAGUUAGGAAUAUUUGAGAGGUUGUAGAUCUUUAGCCAUUUUUGUCAAGUCUCCUGAAUGUGUAACACAUCUGGUCGCCGCCUUCGAGUGGUUUGACGGGCACAUCUCAGGCUGAAGUUGACUGGCAGGCUAAGGGCCCAGCAAUGUCUCCAAUAUUCCUCUCUCGAGGUGUCGGAUGUUUCAUUAUGCUUGUUUGAUGACUUGAAUUAUUCACUUCAUCUCUCAAAUAUAAUGGAAGGUCCGGAGAGCCUACGACAUAUUAUCAAUUUGUUAUUGUGUGCCUCGGUUGAUUCCUGGACGAGGGUUUAACACACAUGUAAGCGCUUGGAAUUUUGGAUAGAAAUUCCGGGCGUGACAGUAGGCAAGAGGAGUUAACUGCUCCUUGGGCCAACCAUUAUGCACGCAUGCACAUAGUCACCAGCUAUCAACCUAUCACCUGGCCCUACUGACGCAUAUGUAAAAGACGCGCAUGGGUCUAUAUACUUUCAUGAGAGAGCUGAUGGGGGUGAGAUGGUAACGGUUCGGGCACAUUAAGUUUGUCCCGUGACCGUCGCACCACCACAUGAUGCCGUUAGGUAGUUUUUGUGAUGGAUAAUAGAUAUAGAUGGGCUAAAUCGGUUUUUUUUUCCGUAGAAAAGAAAUAUACUCCAUAUUUGGGCCGGUUGAAAUUUGGGAAUGCAAAGUAACGGAUGAAGACUCCAACAUUUCAAACGGACAUACUUGAUCAUUUUUAUAUAAAACUACUUACGUAUUUUAUAUUGGGAUCAUGAGAUUUUUUUAAGGACUGUUUUCUCAAGGAAGAGUGGUUUUCUAUGAUGUUUUUUUAUGAGAGGGAGCGGUUUUUGACGAAAAAAGGAAAAUGAUUGUCUUUUAAAGUAGUUAAGAAAUACACUGGCUUCUUUAAAAAUAUAUAGUUCAAGAUAAAUAUAAUUAUUUAACCCUUUUUUAGAGAAACAUCAAUAACCUGCUGGAAACACCAACCCGAUCAAUGCACAUCAACGACCAAAGAUACAUACCUAGAAUUUGGUAGAGGAUACCGGCGUACUGGUCGAUUCCAAAGGAGCAGCCAUUGACAGACAAUGAUCUCCUCCCUGCACUAGGCAUGUCAAUCAUUUAUAGCCUUGCUGGUUGUGAUCAAAAUAACUGCGUGGAAAUAGACAGAGUAACUGACCUGAUCCCCAAAAUCAUUGGAUUCACAAGCUUCAAAAGUGCAAUGGUAAAUUCCGAAGCACAACAGAAGGUUCU